Molecule: long non-coding RNA, 97104 nt
Filed under: Capsella rubella
Lineage: Eukaryota; Viridiplantae; Streptophyta; Magnoliopsida; Brassicales; Brassicaceae
Description: long non-coding RNA (CRUB_LNC001828)
Rfam family: tRNA (bases 65717-65800)
Source: RNAcentral
UCUCUCUCUCUCUCUGUUAUGUUUAUUACAAACAAUUAAUAACCUCACAGAUGCAUUAAAAACUUAUGGAAACUUCAUAGUUAAUUAUGAUAACUCAUUAGUCAAAACUUUGCCACUACAUUUAGAGCUCCCUAGCUUAUGUAUGAAACUAUGAAUGAUGCUGAAAUAAAUAUCCUAAAGUUAGAUGUGUUUUAGUGUUUUUUUUUUGUUAGUGCUUUUUCCUUCUUUUUUUAAAAGAAAUUAUUGUCAUUAUAUGGAGCUUUAAAGAGUGCGUUUAAUAAGUAAUAACAUGUGGUUGAUGUGUGGGAGAGAUCCCAGGAGUCAAAGAAUUACAAUAAUCACGACAAAUAGUUUUAUAAAAAAAUAAUUAAAGUGAAAGUUUUUUUUUUUAAAGUGCUUGAUCCAUCAACAUCUAAAAGCAGUGAAAAAAAUAGAUGUCGACAAAGGACGUCUGUUUCUCAUAUCCAAUUUAAGAUAUUUUUUUUUUAUGUUGUCAAGUUCUAUCUUAAACUUUAUAUAUUUUGGAACAAACAUUGCAAGAUCAUAUUAUCGUUGCAAAAUAGUUUUGUUUAUCUUUUUCGGGUAAUGCAAAUAUUGUGAUUCAUCAUCAUGAAUUCAUGAUGAUGAGUGCACUAACGUUUUGACCUUUGACUUAAAAAGUACCAAUUAAAGAGAAUAGAAGGACUUAUCACAUGUUGACUUUUCUUUGAGAGGUCAUAAAUAAAAGUGAAUUAUUUUUUACGAAAUCAUGACUAAGUCAACGAGUCUUCGCUAUCGAAUCAGGUGGCUAUGGUACACUAGAGGAGCUACUUGAAGUGAUAACUUGGGCACAACUUGGUAUACAUGAUAAACCGGUAUGUAUGUAAACCGGUUUGGCCUGGUAUACAUGUGAAUUUGAUGAUUAAAAGACAAGUGUUCCAACCGUGCAGGUCGGUUUAUUAAACGUUGAUGGAUAUUACAAUGCUUUGCUAUCAUUCAUCGACAAAGCUGUCGAAGAAGGGUUUAUUCUUCCAACCGCUCGACAUAUUAUUGUAUCCGCACCCACCGCAAAAGACUUGUUCCAGAAAUUAGAGGUAAUAUUAAACCCCAUAGAAGAUGAUACUACUGAGUACUAACUCUAACCCUAUAUCAGAUCAUAUAUGUCGAUCAAUGUGGUUUAAUUUGGUAACCAAAUAUUAAUUAAUGAUGCAAGGGGUUUUUUUUUUUUUUGGUCUUAAAAUUUUUUUUAGACUAGACUGAGUUCUUGUUUAGUAUCAUUUGAUUGGUUUAAUGCAGGAAUAUGUGCCUCAACACAAGUAGUCAUAACACAUGCCAUAUAUCGAAACUGAGCUCCGAGACGAAUCAUACCAAACAAAUUUCGUAGAUGGACGAGUAAAGAUUUGAUCACCUCAUAGACAAUCUAAAAGUCGGAUUCUAUUGGGAAGUACAAAUUGUAACUUUUUAUUUCUGGAUUAUUUUUUUAGCAUGGUAUCAGAAAUUUCGGUUAAUGUGUUGUGAUAUAUAAACUAGUGGUGCAUUUCACUAAUAUUUUAAAGUAAAUGUUAUAAUUAUCUUUUCUUGUUGGGUCAAAACUGAAAAACAAGAGAUAUAUAGAACUUCUAGGGUUUCUUGGUUCAAUGGAUUUGUGUUUAAGGAGCUAUUUUGGAGUACUGAUUAAUCUUAUGUAUAGAAAAACCAUUGCCUGAAAAACUUAUAGAAAUUAAUGUAACAUAUUACCCCAGCAAAAUUUAUUAUUCGUUGGGCCUACGUACUUAAAAAACACUACUAUUCAUUGCACACAACACUUGGUUGUUGAAAGAUACAAUUUUCUUGGUAGAUAUCAAUUUUUUUAUUAUUAGUAUGGACUUAUGGUAUUGCAUUGAAUAAUUCUGAAUGUUUAAGAUCGAUCAUAUCGAUUCAACUUAGCUUACAAAUAAAGAAUGAUCUGAGCUAACGACUUCUCAUCUCAAAUCAUGAAGCCAGAAGCAAUCAUUAAUUACAAAUAUUAAAUCAUAUAACAUAAUCUUGAAUUGUUUAGGUUACAAUAACAUCCAUAUGUCUCCUCCUAAAACAGCCCCGAUUCGAUCUUAUUCUUCUGGUCUCCACGUAAUAACUUACAUACUAAAAAUUAACAAAGAAAUAUAAAAAUAAAGCCACUUGAUUAACCGAAAACAUUUGUUGAGUCGAACCAAUUAAAUAUAAACUUAAUUAACGACGAGUCUGACUUGUAACUGACGUCUCUUGUUUCGAGGUUAGGAUCAAAAUCUCCAAAUUCGUAUGAACCCACCCACACCAUGUGUUUUAAGCCCAAGAGAAGAGAUUCAGUGAACCAAGAAGGAAAAAUUGAUUUAAUUUUAAACUGUGUCCCUUACACUAAUGAAAGGUUAUGUUUACAAAAUCCAGUUUAUUAAUAGAUUAAUACAGUAGUAAUAAAUAAAAUUAUGUGGACACAAAGCCCAAAAGAUCACAAUCUAGUUUUAAAAGAGCGACAAGAAAGAUUCUUUAAGCUGAUGAAUGAUCUGUACCAUGUAGCUUUGUUCCCUUUUUUGGUGUUUAACUCUUUUACUUAACUGCCCUAAUUACAUGAUCAACGAGAGAGAGAGACCUAAUAAACACUUCCUCAUCACCAAAAUAAAUAACCCAAAUUGAUUCAUUGGUCAAAAUUUUGUGUAUUUUUAUAGAAUUGAUAUAAUUAUACAUUCCAUGUUACGAAUUGUGACUUUGAAAUUUUGUUUGGUCAUCAAUUCAUCAUCGGUACGGAUGAAAUAUUUGUAUGUUUUAAAAGUAUACAAGCCAUGUAUUGUAUUAUUAGUAGAUAUCUAUUUAUAGUAUUAUAAAAAAACAAGUGUGGUCUCUUAUGUUAUGGUUCAUUGAACAUAUACAUGAAACAUAGGACUGGGGAGGAGCCCAUGUUCCUUUCAUUGAUGCAAAAUUUUAGUUUCAUAUGUUUUAAUUUUGCUUCCUAUCCAAUGUGCAUAUAUAGAUAUAGUUUCACAUAUGGAUAAUGAUGAGUAAGGUUAAGUAUAUAGUGACAAGUUUAAAAUAAGAAAGCCGAAUAGGAGAAGAAAAUAGUAAGGUACAAUGUAUGGUUAUCGAAACCCCCAAGCUGUGUACUUCCAUUGAUGUAGGAGAUGAUUGGGAACACGUGGAUUUUAUUUGACUAAAGAAUAUUAGAAAAAAUUUCAAUUUUUUUUUUUUGGUUUUCGGAUUGAUUUGUGAAUUUGGUUAGUUCGGUUUAGGAGGGUUUGAUGAAACAUAACCAUACUAGUAGGUAAAGUGACAAAUGUUGAUACUACAUGAAAUUUAGAUAUGAUAACAAGAUUUUUUCUUUUAGAACACCUUUCAUAUGUAAACUAGUUUUACUGUCAUAUUUUAUGAUGAUUUAAGCUGAUCAAGUUCUUAAGUUUCGGAGAUUAAAAGGGUACAUAAGAAAACAAAAUCCUUGAGUUAUUAUUAUUUUUCGACAAAUAUUUAUUCUGUGCAAUUAAUAAUGAUGUCUACACAAAGACAGCAAAAAUAGAUAAAUAAGUUGCCAUAUAAAGACAUAAUAUUUAUAGCAUUCUGUGGAGUAUAAUGUCCAAUCCUGUUUUAUUUUUCCGAUUUCUUAGGGCAUCCUCGUUGGGGGUAUCUUAUGAGGCUAAGAUACCCCCACUUUUUCAAAGAAAAUAUGUUAUAUAAGGAUUUUCUUUGGAAAAGUGGGGGUAUCUUAGCCUCCUAAGAUACCCCCAAUGAGGAUGGUCUUACAUCUACAUAUAUGUAUAUUUAUAUGGAUGGUUCUAACGCCAUCAUUUAUUUGAUUUUUCCAUUUUUUUAUUAGUCAACAACUUCACCUUUUGAUAACGCCUAAAUUGUAUCAGCUACUUUAGUUUAGUUUCUCCUCAAAUAACGUCAUUUUCAGAGCAAGUUUUGGGCUUCUCUUUUCAUUUAUAUGCACAAUGGGAAAUUAAAAAUAUAAAAUAUAACAUGUUUCAUGUAAUUUACAUUCAAAACUCAUGUGUUUCUGUUAGUUUCUUUUAACAAAAAUAUUCUUUUUAUACUAACAUUGGUAUAUCACUUUUAAAAAACAGUACAUUCCUAUGGAUGGUCUCUUAUAUAAGAUAACCAAAUUUAAAUUUAUAUUUGAUUUUGUAUUCUAGAAGAAAAUUGACUUCGCUAUGACGAUGUAUAUGCAAUAGCUUUAUAUUAUUUAAGUGUUUUUUGAAUACGAGAAGAUCGUGUAAACCUUUUUUGCGUGAUUAAAAUUUUUCAACUAAUCUUACGAACACUUGUAGUCUUUUCCCAGUUAGAGGAUUCGAUUCUCAUCUUUAUUUUGUAACGUUUGUUUUGAUUUUUAAAUAUAAGUAACGUUCUUUUUGAAUUUUUAAAUAUGAGUAACGUUUGUUUUAUUUUAAUAUAUAAAAGAAAUAUCACUAAAAUUUUACAUUAUCGUAAAUUAUAAGAAAUGUUAAUAUGUAGUACACAAAGAGAGUAAAUUUCCCUCACAUUUCACAAAAUCAAAUUCUUAUUCCUUUAGUUGCUAAAACUAAAAAGACAUUUCAUGUUAAUAAACAAGUAGUAUUAUAUCAAGGCAUAUUUCUAAAAAGAAAACUUUAUAUUCAUUUUUGCGAUGGGCCUCAGGACAAAAUAAUUUGAUUUCUCAAUAGAUAAAUAAAAGUGUACUAUAUAAUUGCAAUGAGGUGAAAGAUGGGUUCAGAAUUUUCAAAUAAAAUAAAUAAAUAAUAAUGCUCUUCUUGUCCACUUAUCUUGGAAUCAAAACCUACGAUUAGUUUAAGAUAAGUGUAUAUUAGUAAUAAAGAGUUUGGGUUUAAACCUGAAAAUAAUUUAAUUAAAAAGACGUUUUUUCAGCUAAAUAUAAGAAAAAAGGAAUAUUAGCUUUUUUUAUUUAUAACAUUUAUAUUUUUUUUACAUCUCUUUUGAAGGUGGCACGAGCACCCAUAACCUUUCAGAACCUAUAGAUACAGAUAAUGUGUACGUAUAUAUGUAAAUUAUAUAUAUAAAUUAUAUAAUUGAUUUUUUGGAUCUUCUUUUAUCUCUCUCUUUCUUUCUCCUUUGGAUGGAACUGAGCUCUUCUUCUUUCUCUCUUUCCUCUCUCUUCUUCUUCUUCUUCUCUCUCUAUCUAUCUCUAUCUAUCUCUCGUGGCUUGAUAAGAAAGAGUUUUCUCUCUUGAAGAUCCGUUUCUAGACCCUCUCACUUGUUACUGAUUAGUUCAAUAUUUGCGAUCAUGGCGAUUUCACAGGUCACCAUCUCCAAAAACCCUAAUUCUCUGUUUCUGCUUGAGUUUUUUAUUUGGUUGGGGGCUUUGUUGUACGGACUUCCAUGGGAGUUUUUUUUUAAAAGCUUAUGUCUAGUAUUUUGUGCAAAUGAGAGUUUUUUUUUUUAUUAUCUUACUUGCACAGCUUCUGUUCGUUUUCAGCUUUUUAUAAUGAUCGAAUUCGAGUUUCAGCUUAGAUCUUUCUCUUUCUCCGAAUCUGUUUUCGAAGACGUUCAUGUUUUCUCUCAUCUAGGUUUCUGGGUUUUGUUUUAAUUUGGAGAUUUUAGUUUUUUUUUCCUUUUCUUACUGUACUUGUUUGUGGUUGACCUUUUUUUUUUUUUUUCUUUCUCUCUUGAAGAUCUGAAUGCGUAGAUCAUACGGGAUCUUUGCAUUUUUGUUGCUUUUCUUCAGCGUUACGAUUCUUUUAACUUCGAUUAAGUUGGAAUUUGUAUCUUUUUUUAGCUUAUCUCUAAGAUCGAUUUAUUGAUUUUUUUUUUCUGAGUAUUUUGUUUUUUUUUUCACCAUAAUUUUUUCUCAGGUUUGAAGAUAAAUCCGUAUUGGUUAAAGCAUAUGGAAGUGUGUGUUCUGUUCUUGGUUGCUCUGAUAGGGCUUCCUCCUUUUCACCCAACUUAGUUGAUGUUAUAAGAUCUCUCCUUGAAGCUGCAGUAACGUCUGGUCCUUUGAACUUUUUAACUUAAGAAGCUUCAUUUGGUGUUACUUGAGGCAAUUUCAGCUAGUAGGUAAAGACUGUACAGACCUGUAAAACAAGAUAACGAUAGAGUGGCUCUAUUUGCCUCAGUGUUAGUUACUGUUUGCGCGUUGGAAGGAAUCAAAUUUUAGCAACGGAAGGUGUUUUGGAUCGAGUCUGUCAAGUCUACUCGGCUGAGGCUUUUUUUUAAGUGAAGUACGAUUGGAUCUGUAGAGUUGACCUUAUAUAAUCAGAUAGAUUUAGGAUGGAAGCUGAAAUUGUGAAUGUGAGACCUCAGCUAGGGUUCAUCCAGAGAAUGGUUCCUCCGCUACUGCCAGUUCUUUUGGUUUCUGUUGGAUAUAUUGAUCCUGGAAAAUGGGUUGCAAAUAUCGAAGGAGGUGCUCGUUUUGGGUAUGAUUUAGUGGCUAUUACUCUGCUCUUCAGUUUCGCCGCUAUCUUGUGCCAAUACAUAGCAGCUCGAAUCAGCGUUGUAACUGGUAAACAUUUAGCUCAGGUAUUUUUCCCCCUUUCUCUGUUUUUUUUUCCUGAUCCUGAAUUGUCACUUUUUCAUAGUUGCCAAUUGUAUUCCCCGUAUCUGGUUUUUGGUUUUCCGAAGUGUAUUUCUGCUAACCAUCUUCUCUAUUUCUCUAACAUUUGAAUGUUCUUUACUUGGAUAGAUCUGCAAUGAAGAAUAUGACAAGUGGACGUGCAUGUUCUUGGGAAUUCAGGCGGAGUUCUCAGCAAUUCUGCUCGACCUUACCAUGGUAGUUACUUACAAUCUUUUUCGUUCUUAAAUUUUUAGUUAUGUUUGAUGGAAAAUUUGCAAUUCCUCUGACGUGAUGCUUCUGUAUUAUAAACAGGUUGUGGGAGUUGCGCAUGCACUUAACCUUUUGUUUGGGGUGGAGUUAUCCACUGGAGUGUUCUUGGCCGCCAUUGAUGCAUUUUUAUUUCCUGUUUUCGCCUCUUUCCUUGUAUGACUGGUUUCAUGUCUUUUUUUUAAUCACCAUGUUCUUGGAAUAGCAUUAUCGGAAAUGAUCUGACAUGCAUACAAAUUUUACAGGAAAAUGGUAUGGCAAGUACAGUAUCCAUUUGCUCGGCAGGUCUAGUUUUACUUCUCUAUAUUUCUGGCGUCUUGCUGAGUCAGUCUGAGAUCCCAUUCUCUAUGAACGGAGUGUUAACUCGGUUUAAUGGAGAGAGCGCAUUCGCACUGAUGGGUCUUCUUGGAGCAAGCAUUGUCCCUCACAAUUUUUAUAUCCAUUCUUAUUUUGCUGGGGUACCUUAUUCUCUUUCUAUGCAUCUCUCUUUUCUAUUUAGAAGCAAGAAUUGUACUAAGCAGUGAACACUCUAUUGCAGGAAUGUACAUCUUCUUCAGAUGUCGACAAGAGCAGCUUGUGUCAAGACCAUUUGUUUGCCAUCUUUGGUGUCUUCAGCGGACUUUCACUUGUAAAUUACGUAUUGAUGAAUGCAGCAGCCAGUGUGUUCCACAGUACUGGCCUUGUGGUACUGACUUUUCACGAUGCCAUGUCACUAAUGGAGCAGGUUUGUUCUAUUAGUUUUAUGUUUCAUAUUAAUCUAUAAUUCAUUUUAGGGAUACAAUUUCAGAAAUUUCUUGUGAUUAUUAACUAUUCUUUUUCUUGAUUGUUGAGCACAGGUAUUUAUGAGUCCGCUCAUUCCAGUGGUCUUUUUGAUGCUCUUGUUCUUCUCUAGUCAAAUUACAGCACUAGCUUGGGCUUUCGGUGGAGAAGUCGUUCUGCAUGACUUCCUGAAGAUAGAAAUACCCGGUUGGCUUCAUCGUGCUACAAUCAGAGUUCUUGCAGUUGCUCCUGCCCUUUAUUGUGUGUGGACAUCAGGUGCAGACGGAAUAUAUCAGUUACUUAUAUUCACCCAGGUCCUGGUGGCAAUGAUGCUUCCUUGCUCUGUCAUACCGCUGUUCCGCAUUUCUUCCUCUAGACAAAUCAUGGGUGCCCAUAAAAUCCCUCAAGUUGGGGAGUUUCUUGCACUUACAACGUUUUUGGGGUUUCUUGGUUUGAAUGUUGUUUUUGUUGUUGAGAUGGUAUUUGGGAGCAGUGACUGGGCUGGUGGUUUGAGGUGGAAUACCGUAAUGGGCACCUCGGUUCAGUACACCACUUUGCUUGUAUCGGCAUGUGUAUCCUUAUGCCUGAUGCUCUGGCUCGCAGCUACGCCGCUGAAAUCUGCCAGUAACAGAGCAGAAACUCAAAUAUGGAACAUGGAUGUUCAAAAUGCUUUAUCUUAUCCAUCUGUUCAAGAAGAGGAAAUUGAAAGAAGCGAAACAAGACGGAACGAAGACGAAUCGAUAGUGCGGCUGGAAAGCAGGGUAAAGGAUCAGUUGGAUACUACGUCUGCCACUAGUUCAGUCUAUGAUUUGCCAGAGAAUAUUCUAAUGACGGAUCAAGAAAUCCGUUCGAGCCCUCUAGAGGAAAGUGAGUUAGACAUAAAAUUCUCUGCCUCUCAAGUUAGUAGACUUGGGGAAGACCAUGAUGUAAAGGAACAGUCUGUAUUGCAGUCAACGGUGGUUAAUGAGGUUACUGAGAAGGAUUUGGUUGUUGAGACAAAGAUGGUGAAGGUUGAACCGACCAGUCCUGUGGAGAAGACUGUUAGCAUGGAAAAUAACAGCAAGUUCAUUGAAAAGGAUGUUGAAGGGGUUUCAUGGGAAACAGAAGAAGCUGCGAAAGCUGCUCCUGCCAGCAACUUUACUGUUGGAUCUGAUGGUCCGCCUUCAUUCCGCAGCUUAAGUGGAGAAGGGGGAAGUGGGACUGGAAGCCUUUCACGGUUGCAAGGUUUGGGGCGUGCUGCCCGGCGCCACUUAUCUGCCAUCCUUGAUGAGUUUUGGGGACAUUUAUAUGAUUUUCAUGGGCAAUUAGUUGCUGAAGCCAGGGCAAAGAAAAUUGAUCAGUUGUUUGGUGCUGAUCAAAAGUCAGCCUCUUCUAUGAAAGCAGAUUCUUUUGGAAAAGACAUGAGUAGUGGAUAUUGCAUGUCUCCAACUGCAAAAGGGUUAGACUCACAGAUGACUUCAACUUUAUAUGAAUCACUGAAGCAGCAAAGGACUCCAGGAAGUAUUGAUUCGUUGUAUGGAUUACAAAGAGGGUCUUCACCGACACCUUUGGUUAACCGUAUGCAGAUGUUGGGUGCAUAUGGUAGUAAUACCAAUAAUAAUAGUGCUUAUGAAUUGAGUGAGAGAAGAUACUCUAGCCUGCGGGCUCCAUCAUCUUCUGAGGGUUGGGAACAUCAACAACCAGCUACAGUUCACGGAUAUCAGAUUAAGUCAUAUGUUGACAAUUUGGCAAAAGAAAGGCUUGAAGCUUUACAAUCGCGUGGAGAGAUCCCGACAUCGAGAGCUAUGGCGCUUGGUACAUUGAGCUAUACACAGCAACUUGCUUUAGCCUUAAAACAGAAGUCCCAGAAUGGUCUAACCCCUGGACCAGCUCCUGGGUUUGAAAAUUUUGCUGGGUCUAGAAGCAUAUCACGGCAAACUGAAAGAUCUUAUUACGGUGUUCCAUCUUCUGGAAAUACCGAUACUGUUGGCGCACCAGUAGCCAAUGAGAAGAAGUAUAGUAGCAUGCCAGAUAUUUCAGGAUUGUCUUUGUCUGCGAGGAACAUGCAUUUGCAGAACAACAAGAGCGGAUACUGGGAUCCGUCCAGUGGAGGAGGAGGGUAUGGCACGUCUUAUGGUCGAUUAAGCAGUGAUACAUCAUUGUAUUCUAAUUUGGGUUCACGGGUUGGAGUACCCUCUACUUAUGAUGACAUGUCUCAAUCAAGAGGAGGCUACAGAGAUGCCUACACUUUGCCACAGAAUACAUCAACAGGGACUGGAUCACUUUGGUCCAGACAGCCCUUUGAGCAGUUUGGCGUAGCGGAGAGGAAUGGUGCUGUUGGUGAGGAGCUCAGGAAUAGAUCAAAUCCAAUAAAUAUAGACAACAACUCUUCCUCUACUGUUGAUGCAGAGGCUAAGCUUCUUCAAUCAUUCAGACACUGUAUUCUAAAGCUUAUUAAACUGGAAGGAUCCGAGUGGUUGUUUGGACAAAGCGAUGGAGUCGAUGAAGAACUGAUUGACCGGGUAGCUGCACGAGAGAAGUUUAUCUAUGAAGCUGAAACUCGAGAAAUAAAUCAAGUGGGUCACAUGGGUGAGCCACUGAUUUCAUCAGUUCCUAAUUGUGGAGAUGGUUGCAUUUGGAGAGCUGAUUUGAUUGUGAGCUUUGGAGUUUGGUGCAUCCACCGUGUUCUUGACUUGUCUCUCAUGGAGAGUCGGCCUGAGCUCUGGGGAAAGUAUACUUACGUUCUCAACCGCCUUCAGGUAAGAUAAACAAAAACCCGCCAUUUUGCAGUUAGAAACAAAGCUUUAUGUUUCUGACAUGUACGGAUUCAACAGGGAGUAAUUGAUCCAGCGUUCUCAAAGCUGCGGACACCGAUGACACCGUGCUUUUGCCUUCAGAUUCCUGCGAGCCACCAGAGAGCGAGUCCGCCUUCAGCUAACGGAAUGUUACCUCCGGCUGCAAAACCAGCCAAAGGCAAAUGCACAACCGCAGUCACACUUCUUGAUCUAAUCAAAGACGUUGAAAUGGCAAUCUCAUGUAGGAAAGGCCGGACCGGUACAGCUGCAGGAGACGUGGCUUUCCCAAAGGGUAAAGAAAAUCUGGCUUCGGUUUUGAAGCGGUAUAAACGUCGGUUAUCGAGUAAACCAAUAGGUAUAAAUCAGGAUGGACCGGGUUCAAGAAAGAACUUAACUGCGUACGGAUCAUUGGGUUGAAGAAGAACAUUGAGAGAAUCUCGUGAUCAAAGAGAGACGUCGAGCGGGAAGCUGAAGAAUCAAAACUCUUGCUUUUGAUUGCUCCUCUGCUUCGUUAAUUGUGUAUUAAGAAAAAAGAAAAAAGAAAAAAAAAUGGAUUUUUGUUGCUUCAGAAAUUUUUCGCUUUUUUUUUUUCUCUUCUUUCUAUUUGUCUCUCUUAAUUUGGUUGUAAUGUUAUGUUUAUAUACAUUAUCAUCAUCAUAGGACCAUAGCUACAAACCGAAUCCGGUUUGUGUAAUUUGAUGCGGAAUCAAUCAUAAAAAAGAAUCCGCCGGUUUGAAUUGUUAAACAUUCUUAACCGGAUUACAUUACGUCGCUGACACACACACAUCGACGCUGGAUUGCCGACAGGUGUUCUUAUCAAUCUCGUCUUCUCGAAUCGUCUUCUGGUUCCUUCUUAUUUCUGGGUUGGAAAAAAAUAUAAAAAGUCCAGCAGAGUAAACCUAACAAUGGGUUAUGUGAUCUACAUCUCGUUUUCGUCGAUUCUUCUCCUUCUGGUCAUCGCUAUCACUUUCUACCUCAUCGGGAGAAAAAUCGGCCGGCGAGAAGGCAUGUAUGGACCGCCGUUGGCUGGUUUACCGGCACCUGCACCGCCGCAUAAAGCUACGGAGAAGCCACCGGAGGUUUAGCAAAAACCGUUUGUGUGUAGUCUGUGUAGGUAGUGUAUGUGAUGACGUAAUCAUCUUUGAUAAUGUAUAUGUUGUUUGUGUUACUAGAUUUCACACUGUUAUUGGGCCGAUAUUGAAACCUAAUAAAGGAUUCUCUUUACUGGGCCUGAGCUUUUAAGAAAACACUUCGUUCGGUUUUGUAUUUCGACGUACUCACUUCUUGUCGUUUAACUUGUGUAUUAACUAUUAACCUAAUGCAACUAAAAGAAACUACGCGGCGUUUGAUGGAAGAAGAAAUAUUCGCUUCUUCUUUACAACUUUUUGUCCCAACGGAGAAAAGUCCUCUCUUUCUUUCUCUCUCUCUCUCGAAUAAUAAUAACUUUUCAUUUGCUGCGUCCUUUUGGUGCUUGAAGCGAUGACCAUGGCAGCACAUCUCGCGCGACGGCUGAUCGGAAACCGAUCGACUCAGAUCCUUGGUGCUGUGAACUCUAGCUCAGGUGCGGCCACUUCCGUCGCUAGGGCUUUCUGCUCAUCCACCACUCCGAUCACCGCAACUAUGUUCCCUGGCGAUGGGAUCGGUCCCGAGAUCGCUGAAUCUGUCAAAAAGGUUCCUCAUCCUUAUUUUGAAAAUUGUAUUUACGAGAGAAUUGUUUGAAUGAAUUUUGAAUUGCGUACUAUAAUUUGCGAUUGGUGGGAAUUCGGCAAUUUCAUUGAUAGUUUUUUUUAAUGCUGUUUGUACUGAUCCAGGUGUUUACAACAGCUGGUGUGCCAAUUGAGUGGGAAGAACACUAUGUUGGGACUGAGAUAGAUCCUAGAACACAGAGUUUCUUAACCUGGGAAAGUCUCGAAUCUGUGCGUCGAAACAAAGUUGGUUUGAAAGGUCCAAUGGCUACUCCAAUUGGGAAAGGUCACCGUUCUUUGAACCUGACUCUUAGGAAAGAGCUUAAUCUAUAUGCCAAUGUUAGACCUUGUUACAGUCUUCCUGGUUACAAAACUCGGUACGAUGAUGUUGAUCUCAUUACCAUCAGAGAAAACACGGAAGGAGAAUACAGUGGCCUUGAACAUCAGGUUUAAUUCUUUUUUUUGUGUCUAUCGAUUGAACAUUUCAAAUUAGUUCUUCUAAGAAGUGUUGUGGAUCAUUGUUUUGUUUUCUCGUGACUCAUAAUAGGUUGUUAGAGGUGUGGUGGAAAGUCUUAAAAUCAUUACCCGUCAGGCGAGUUUGAGAGUUGCAGAGUAUGCUUUUCUCUAUGCCAAGACUCAUGGAAGAGAGAGAGUUUCUGCAAUCCACAAAGCCAACAUUAUGCAGAAAACUGACGGCCUUUUCCUCAAGGUCUGUCCUUAUAACUCCAUAAUGCAUUUAACAAUUCCUUAUAGGAGGAUCAAAGUAAUGAUUAUUAUGUCUGCUAGGUUUUUUACCGUUUGUUUUGAGACAAUGUUUACUCUGUUCUUGUUUUUCAGUGUUGUCGUGAGGUUGCUGAGAAAUAUCCUGAGAUAACUUACGAGGAGGUUGUUAUUGACAACUGUUGUAUGAUGGUAAGCUAUGAUGUCGAAACUACCAGUUUUUCAUUUAUUAAGUUGGUGAUAGAGAUUACCUUACAGAUUUUAGAAGUUCGGUUUCUUAGCAACUUGUAUUUGAGUUCCGUGUUACCACUGUUAUAACGUGGAAGAUGUGACUGAUAAUAUUGAGAUGCCUGCAGCUUGUGAAAAACCCAGCACUUUUUGACGUUUUGGUGAUGCCAAACCUCUACGGUGACAUCAUCAGCGACCUGUGUGCCGGAUUGGUUGGAGGACUAGGGUUGACUCCAAGGUGAAACACUGGCUCCUUCAUCUUUAAUAAUAGUGUUAUUUAGCGUGAUUAUGAGCUAAAUCAUCUUAAGGCCUUAUUAUCUAUGACGCAGUUGUAAUAUCGGAGAAGAUGGUGUUGCCCUUGCUGAGGCAGUUCACGGUUCUGCACCUGAUAUCGCUGGAAAGGUUAGUCCUUGAAGCAAUGUAUCAUUUAAAUGAACUCAAUUCAAACCCUUACUGUUAGACCAAGUAUAAAAAUAAAACGGCAACAGAUAGAAGAGUCCUCAUCUCCUGCUAUGCUCUUUGUUUCUUGGUAGCAUAGUCAGAUGCUUAGUCUCACUAUAUAUUAGACUGUGUCAUUUACGCGAUAACGAGGUUCAUUUAUACAUCCAAUGUUUAAGCUUUAACAAUCAAAUGCAGAAAGGUUAGAACUUGAUGAGUUGAUUCAAAUGCCUUGAUAUAUGAUUUUUGAAUUGGUUGUCACCCUUUUGUUUUUGGUUUGGUGAUGUCAGAACUUGGCGAACCCAACGGCUCUGCUUCUGAGUGGAGUGAUGAUGUUGCGUCAUCUGAAGCUGAACGAACAAGCAGAACAAAUCCACAGUGCAAUCAUCAACACCAUAGCAGAGGGAAAAUACAGAACCGCAGAUCUUGGAGGUAGUUCGACCACCACAGACUUCACAAAGGCAAUCUGUGAUCAUCUCUGAACAUCGUAAAGUCCAAUUCUUUAUCGAAUCUUCUUCUUUUGGAGGGCUUUUUACAGCCUCGAAUUCUUCUUCUUUGUUUCUUGUUUACGAUUAGAAUAAAAGAAAAGGAAAGAAAAAAGGAAACGACUCUUCAUGAGUUUGAUUACUUGUGAAGUUGUUUGUUUCUGCUUGAAAACGUCUUUUUAAUAGUUCUCUGUUCUCUGCCGUAAGGCAAGAUUCAUGACACACUGAAAUUGAAUGAUGUUUUUCUGAAUCUAUCAGAAGAGUUUUGUUAUUAUUAUUCCUUUGUGAAUGCUUUUACUAAUUAUUAUCUCAAUUGAUACACCGACAAAAGAAAAAGGAAAAAAGAGAGUUUAUUUAAUUAAUUUAGUUUAAAAGUUAUUUUAAGGGAAAAAACACCUUCAAAAGACCGAAUAUAUAUGUCGUUGGUGCACCAACUUCUUCUAUGAUUAUAAACUCAAGACGCUUCUUCACUGAGCAGCACUAAACUUGCUUCCAACCAAUCCCAGAUCUGAAUCGAGUAAACCUAAACCUCUCAAAAUCUCAUCAUCAUCAUGGCUUCUUCUUCUAACUACGAUGGAAUCCUUCUCGGUAUGGGCAACCCGCUCCUCGAUAUCUCUGCCGUCGUCGACGACGAUUUUCUCACCAAGUAAAAUAAAAACUAAACUCUCAGAUCCCUCUUUUCCCAAUAUGUUUCCACUUUUUUGUUGUUGUAUUCGCAAUCUGCUUUCGGGUCUUUUAGUAUGAAUCUAGGUUUUAUUGUUUGUUUCUUCUUCAGUAGCAUCUCUAUGAUUUGUUUGCCAUUUUUUAUAUUUAUUGAUGCUCUUCUUUUGUAAUCGUGUGAUGAUGACAGAUAUGACAUCAAGUUGAACAAUGCGAUUCUCGCUGAAGAAAAACAUUUACCCAUGUAAGUAUUCAUUUAUGCUCUGCUUUUGGUAUCUGUUGUGUGACUUCAGGUAUUGUAAAAUCACUAAUCAGGAAUAUGAAUUGAAGUAGAUAUUGAUUCAAUGCUUCACAAAGUUCUUUCUUUGUUUUAUCUUUGGUUAAUGCCUUGACUUUUUUAAUUGUUUUAUUUAAAGGUAUGAUGAGAUGAGUAGCAAGUUCAAUGUUGAAUACAUUGCUGGAGGUAAUUAAUCCUUUGUCCUGUUUAAUCGCUUAUAAAUUGACAAGAUUGUGAUAUUUCCAUGACUCAAUUCUUUCUCUAGGUGCUACUCAGAACUCAAUCAAAGUGGCUCAGGUAAAUUCUCUUGCCUUCUUCUUGCACCUUUUUUUGGGGUGAUAAGUAAGUAACCACUGCUAAAUUCAAGCUUGUUUUUUUUUUUCACUUGCUUGUGUCUUCAGUGGAUGCUUCAAAUUCCUGGGGCAACCAGUUACAUGGGAUCCAUCGGAAAGGACAAAUAUGGAGACGCAAUGAAGAAGGAUGCUACAGCAGCUGGUGUCAAUGUACGCUGAGAGUCCUGAAUCUUCUCUGUUUUUCACCUUUUCUUUUGUUUGAGUGUAUAUACAGCUGGUGCUUUGUCUGUCUGUUGAAACUGAAGUUGUAAUCUAGGUGCAUUAACAUGACAGUAUGCUUUUGUAUCAGGUUCACUAUUAUGAAGAUGAGUCAGCACCUACUGGAACUUGCGGUGUCUGUGUUGUUGGUGGAGAAAGGUCGCUUAUUGCCAAUCUUUCGGCUGCAAACUGCUACAAGGUUGAUCACCUUAAGAAGCCUGAAAACUGGGCAUUGGGUAAAAUUCUUUUCCAAUCUUUGCAUCUGUUUUAAUAGUUCUGUACUUUUUCUUCAUGAUCUUACAUCUGUGAUUGAAUAUGUUUUGGGUAGUUGAGAAGGCCAAGUUCUACUACAUUGCUGGAUUCUUCCUCACAGUAUCGCCUGAAUCCAUUCAGUUGGUAUCUGAGCAUGCUGCCGCAAACAACAAGGUAAUAAGACAUGGUCCACCAUUUCAUGAGACCCUGUUGCAGCAAGUGCCUUUUCUUUAACAUCCCCGACUUAUUCACUUGUAUUUCAGGUGUUCACAAUGAACCUUUCUGCUCCAUUCAUCUGUGAAUUCUUCAAAGAUGUGCAGGAGAAGUUCUUGCCGUAAGCCGUCCCUUUAUCUUUUUAAUCCAUUACAGAUUUUAUGAUUGCGUAAAUGUACUGAAAAGCACCCUACAUUGCUCGUACAGCUACAUGGACUUCGUUUUUGGGAAUGAAACAGAGGCAAGAACAUUCUCCAAAGUUCACGGCUGGGAGGUAAGAAAAUGUCUCUUGCACGACUAAAUUUCAGCAGUCUGUAUAGUUUUGUUUAACAGAGAUAGUACUUACCCAUUUUUAUCUUUUUUAUAUACAUAGACUGAAGAUGUCGAACAAAUAGCCAUCAAGAUUUCACAGCUUCCCAAGGCCACAGGAACAUACAAGAGGACCACUGUGAUUACACAGGGCGCUGAUCCAGUGGUUGUUGCUGAAGAUGGAAAGGUGAAGAAAUAUCCAGUCAUCCCUCUCCCAAAGGAGAAGCUGGUUGACACCAACGGUGCAGGUACUAAUUUUGAUAAUCGAAAAACAGGUUCCUACAUUCAACCUUGGUAGAAACUGACAUGAUCAUAGAACUAGCUGAUCCUUACGCAUGUCAAACGAACUUUCUCCUCUGUUUCAUAGACAGAACCAUGACCGAUGAAUGAACAGCUAUUUUUGUUGAUCUCUCUUACAGGUGAUGCAUUUGUGGGAGGAUUCAUGUCACAGUUGGUGAAAGAGAAAUCGAUUGAGGAAUGCGUGAAGGCUGGAUGCUACGCAUCCAACGUGGUGAUCCAAAGAUCUGGCUGCACUUACCCUGAGAAGCCCGACUUCAACUAAAAUGUUGGGUUAUCCUCUGUUUUGUGAUAUCUUCCAAACGAAACAACCUUUGAUUCAACAAACUCCCACGAUUAUUGCUCGAGUGUAGUUUUUUACCAUUUUAUUAUCAUAAGCAUUUGAUCAUUUGAUAUUACUACCAGAGUUUGAGACAAGUCAUGUUAUUUCAAUGAAGGAAGAUUAUACCUUCUGUCAACUAAUACCUAACAAUGGCUCAUUAAUUUCACAACAUCCUUCAUUAAUUCUACAAACACCUCAAAUGGAUCCUCUCACAUUAAUGUUAUCAAAAAACCCUAAACGUUAAAGUACGUAGAACCCUCUUAUUGAAUCAAAGACUCAUCAAGAAUAACGAGGAGAAGCGCAACGGAUAACCUCAAGAAAGAAAGUUUCGUCACAAGGAAUACAAAGCUUGGAAUCUCCGGAAGUGAAAUCGUCGUAAGCUUCGUCUUUUGAUUGAUCAAGCAAAGCCCUGAAGAUGGGAUCGUGAAGUAACGUGAUCUUUAUAACGAACCUCUUGUAACUGUCCUCUUCUUUACCUACGUACACCACCAGGUGUCCUUUUGGUACGUCAUGUGGUAUACGAUAUUGAUCCUUAGGCUUUCCCGACGUGGCUUCGCGGUGUUUGGCAACUCUGCUUGACAUUUGCUUCCAUGCCUUGGUGAUCAGCUUGCUUUUCUUCAUCAUGUUUAUGAGAGAGAUGAGAGAGAGAGAGAGAGAGACGUAUUUGGGGUUUAGUGUGAGAUAGAAUGUAGAGAAGUACUAGUGUCGUACGUGUGUAUAUAUACACAAAGUCACAAACAUAGGUCCACUAUAUAUCUAUCUAUUAAACGUAUUUACUAUAUGAAUAAGGUAUGGGUAAUGAAUUUUUUGGACCAUGUCGUCGUCUUUACAAUAAUAUAUACAUGAUGAUGAUCUACAUUAGUUAACAUGAAAGAACAAUAUACAUUCCACUCAAUACAUACAUAUAAUAAUACCAAGAAAAUAUAUAAAUUAAAGAUGUUGAAUGUCAUUAUCAAUUUGGUUUUGACAAUAACAUAUGACAAUUACUUAGAAACGAAAAGAAGAUAUACUCAUCAAUUAAUAUAUAUUUUUUAUUUUUGUUUGGGGGAUAUCAACUACGGCCAAGCUGUACUUACGAUAUACGAAAUCGUACGAACAUGCAUCUUCACAAUCUCCUCCAAUGGGCGCUUUCGCUUUAAUCAUUGAUUCAUUUUAUUUUGAUUUCUUUAAAAGUUUUUAUGAAAACAAAAGGCUCUUUAUCGGCAUGGCAUGCACAUUGGCACUCAACUAUAUAUAGGCAUUUAGAGAUAACUAGUGGUCGGUUAGUGGUAGCAUCAUUUUAGGUUAUUGUUCGUUUUGUGAAAUCUUGUAUAUAUAUAGAAUGAGAAAUAUCAUGAUCUAAUAUAUAUCUAAAAUAUAUAGUUGCCAACGAAUAAAUAUAUAAAUGAUACCAUACUAUUCGUUUUCAAUCGAUUCUAUACGUUUAAAAGUCCAUACGUAUGUUAGUAGUUCAUUAACUCGGUGAUAUUUGACUAAAGCAGAAAUUUCUUGAGUAAGUAAGUAAAGAUUUACAUUUUGAUUCAAGUUGUGAAAAUAGUAGAUCCCACGGUUUGAUUUAAUAUUGUUGGUGAAAAGAUAAGAUUUUAAAAGAGAUGAGAGAAAUGAGAUAAGGUUCUUGGACAAAGUGCAAUUCCACUUACGUACCAUACAUCGCGAUAUGUAUUCAUAUGCAUGUAAGUAACUCACGUAUUAUUAUUUUUUAUGCUGAAUUUGCUAUAAAUUAUCUAAUCCGAACGUAAAUGAUCUGUUAAUUGCUAUGUUGGAUAUAUUAGUAGUGAUCUGUCACUGAUGCUUUUUCUUAAUUAUUUUGUAGUAUUGUAUUCAUCAUGCCAACAUACGUAAGCAUGUUCUAAUUGUGCUAAAAUGCUGUCAACCAUUAUAUAUUCUUUAUAUUCAUUAGGGGAUUCAAUAUUUUGUCUUAUUGGUGGUCGACUAUAGGGUUACUUUUUAAGAAAUUUUAUAAACGAAUAUAUAUAGUGGAUAUCUUAGAGCAACAUUAUAGGAAGGAUGUUAGUUAGGGUAUGUUAGUAUUAAUUUAGUAUUAAAUUUGAAAAAGUUGAUUUAAAAGUUUUUAUUUUGUUUUUAGUUUUGAGAUGUGUUUAUUGGUAGGAUCUUAAGUUGGGUAUCUUAAAUUUUUUUUUAAAAUUAAAUAAAUUUAUAAUUUGUAAUAUAAGAAAAUUGACUUGUGUUUUUCAUGUAUGGCUAAUUUUAUUAGGUUUUUCUUAACAUCGAUUCAUCAAAUUCAUAGUUAAAUUUGAAAAUUGUUAUGUCAUAAUAUAAUUAUCAACGUACCCAAUUCAUAGAAAUUAUAGUAAUGUCAUAAUAAAUGGUUUACAAAAAAAAUAAAAAAAAAUUUUAAAAAAAAAUUAUAAUGUCAUAACCCACCAAAAGAAUCAUUCUCCAAAAAAAACUAAAAAAUUUAAAAAUUAAAAAAAAAAAGCUUACCCAAUCCGAUUGCGCCACAUGGCGUCUCUUAACCCACAAAAAGAAUCGUUCUCCAACAUACCCAACUCAAGUAUCUUAGUAAAAUUAAUCAAUUUUGAUUUAUUUUUAUAACAUCAAUACCCUAACAUACUCUCUAAAAGCCAUUGUUAAUAUUGGUCUUACACUUGCGCAUAAACAUGAAAUGUUUUACAUAUACAUUUAACACUGUAUACAUGUACGUAUAGUAUGGAUAUAUAUAUAUAUAUAUAUAUAUAUAUAUUAGCUGUAUAUAGUAUAUCUUAUAACCCAAAACUGUAAUUAUUCUUUCUUCAACCAGAAUUCCGAUUGCCUGAUCAAGAAAGCAAUUGUUUAAUCUUUAAUCUUUAAUCUUUUUAAUUAAAAAUAUUCAGUGGCACUUAAUUAAGAUUUAAAAUUCAUACUGUACAGGAACAAAAAAAAAUGUAGGAAAUUCCACCGGACUUGUUACUAGAAAAUGCUACUAGAAAUAUUUUUUACUAUUAAGUGAAGAAUUAAGUUUUCCUUAUUUUUAUUUUUUUAAAAUCUAAUUUUUGUUUGUGUUGGAGAUUCCGAGGCGACCGGUUCAUCCCCCCCAGAGAGACAGGCAGGUGCUUCAUCCCAUUGCUUCAGUGUCUCUCUUUAAGGAAACGAUAGACAUUAUUUAGCCUUUGGAUCAGAAAAAUAUCGAUUCAUUCCUAGCCGUUUGAUAUAACACGUCUUGCUAUUCUGGUAUAUUUUUUUCCAAAACACCAAUUUUCAAAGUGUAAAUGUUUCUUAAAAUGAAUCGAAUAAAUAAAUAGAAAAGCAAAGUAUGGGUACUUUGCCUAGUUGAAAUGUGAAAAUAGAUUGUAAUACUUUGGUAUGAGAUGCUUUCUUGUCAAAAUUGACAUCCAACAAUUGAUCGUCUGUAUUGUGUAUAUAUGUAGAUCAAGUCACUCGAAAUUUCUAAACGGUCACAUUUUUUGGAGCACAUAGCAUUGAUGGACACCAUUAACCAUUCCCUUCUACUCGUCUUCUAUGUCCUGCCGUUCGAACCAAACACAUAAAAAAGCAAAGUUUCAGUAUCCAAGGAGCAUCUUGUCUUAUAGUCGAUAUUUGGGUGUAACAAUAGAGAAACUGUAGCAAACAUAAAUUCGUCUACAGAUGAAGAAGCAAAUUGUGGGGGUUGUCGAACUAAUACAAUUGGUACGCGGGUCUUCCAUAUAAGGUGUGAUACAAGAAUGAUGAACAUUUACUCACCUUUUCAUGUAGAGAAUCCAAAGACUACACGGCGUCGUUAAGACAUUUCAAAGGGAGACUACUCACGUGAUGUUUGUGAAGAAGCAAUAACACUAAGAGGGGAUUCAAGAACCGGAUUCUAAAGAUGCAACGAAUGCCAAGUCUCACUCCAUAAAGAAUGUUGCAUUGGGAAAGAUUUAUACAUGAAUCCUGGUUCAAGAUUCAGGGUAAGAAGACAGGAAUUCGAUAUUGUUCAAAACAAUGCUUUCAGUAUUCGACCUGUCAAAGACGUUGUAAAUAUAAAAUGAUGUUUAGAGCAUCUUCUGGAGAUGUAUAUUGCUCGAUAAAACACAUUUGAUUUUAGCAAAAAUAUAUGGCUCAAUGAAUCAUGCGAAGUGCACGUGAGAAAAUCAAAUAAAUAAGAAAGUCUCAUACUUUCAUUCUAUUUUGUAAUAAAAAAGAAAAUUGUUCGGCUUUGAAACUAUACAUAUCAAGAUUAAAUCUAUAAAUAAAGAGAUUAUUCAUACAAAUACGGUUUUAGUGGUCGAUACUUUCUUCAAUUAGCACUUGUCUUUUUUUAUGCUUUCAAUUAUUAUUCAUUGACCAAAUUGUCGACUAAAAGAAUAUCAUAAAAAAAGAAAAGUCGUCUAUCUCUCUCAACAACCUUUGACUUCCUUUAUUUGAUCCUCCUCCUCUUUGAUGGAUGGAUUAGUCUUUGUUCGUCAGCUUUUCUUCCUUCUCCCAUCUCUUUUAUUUUUUUUUGGGUUCCAAGUUCAUUUCAUUAGGACCACUAAACAGCUCCUAUCUUCCUCUUUUCAAGUCAACUAUACUUCGCUUGGUCAUUCUCUUAAAAAUCUCUGUGUGUUCAUCUUCUCACAAAGUUUUGAUUUUUUUUGUUGUCUGUAAACAACAAAGAUCUCAAAGGUCAGUUCGUAAUUUUUUCUGCCAAGUUACUUUACCUUUUCUAUCACAAAUUUCAUACUUCCUUCUGAUUCUUGUUUAGGGAUGAAAGAAAGGUUUUUACUUUUUAAUCUUUAGUAUACAAUUUUUGCAGGUUAGGCAAAGAAUGUUUUUUUUUUUUGGCCUAACUUGCAAAAUCUAGGGUUCGUUACAGAUUUUGGGGCUUUGUUAAAUCUCUAACUUUAUUUCACAAUUCAUCAGGUUCCUUGCUCUUGGUGAUAUAGAACUUGAUCCUUUCUUUUUGGUUCAAAAAUAGUGCAUUUAAUUGAACUUCUUCAGUUUGGUUUCUUCUAGUGUAGUCAAAGUGGUUUGGAGUUUCAAUCAUUGUUUUGGUUUGAAUGCUACAAUGAACUAAAACUUGCUCACUCUGAUUCGUUUGUGUAUCAGUGGAGGAACCUCGGUGUUUUAAUAUCUUUUCGAAGAUGAAAUGCUUCUUAUUCCCUCUUGGGGACAGGAAAGAUGACCAGAGAAGCCCUAAACCGGUUUCACCAACCUCUAACUUCAGUGAUGUAAACAAAAGCGGUUCAGAUUUCAGUCCCCGGGAUGUUUCUGGAACGAGCACUGUAUCUUCCACUGGGAGGAACUCGAACAUAAGCAUCUCAGCUAGAGAAAACAACCUUAGAGAGUUCACCAUUGGUGAUCUUAAAUCUGCCACAAGGAACUUCAGCAGGUCUGGUAUGAUCGGGGAAGGCGGUUUUGGUUGUGUCUACUGGGGAACGAUCAAGAGCUUAGAAGACCCGUCUAAGAAAAUCGAAGUUGCGGUUAAACAGCUCGGCAAAAGAGGGUUGCAGGUAAGGUUUUGUACAUCCUUGUUCACAGUAUUCUUCAUCUUCAUCAAUGGAUAUCAUAUAACAUUUAGAUAUCAUGCUUUGGUUUUUGCAGGGUCAUAAAGAAUGGGUGACUGAAGUAAACUUUCUCGGUGUAGUCGAGCAUCCAAACUUGGUGAAACUGCUGGGCCAUUGUGCAGAAGACGAUGAGCGUGGAAUCCAAAGGCUUUUGGUUUAUGAAUAUAUGCCGAACCAAAGCGUUGAGUUCCAUCUAUCCCCGCGGUCACCAACUGUACUUACUUGGGACCUCAGAUUGAGAAUAGCCCAAGACGCAGCUCGAGGUUUAACAUACCUUCAUGAAGAGAUGGAUUUUCAGGUAAAUGAACAUCAAAUCCUCUGUUUUUUUUUUCACUUCAUCAGUCUCUCUCAUCAGUUAACUAAAAAUAUGUUUCUUUUUGUAGAUAAUAUUCCGCGAUUUCAAGUCAUCCAACAUUCUAUUAGACGAGAAUUGGAAAGCCAAGCUUUCAGAUUUCGGUCUGGCUCGCUUAGGGCCUGCACCAGGAUCAAGUCAUGUUUCUACUGAUGUAAGUUUUUUCACAUUUUCACUUGAUUGGUGAUAGAAAUCAUUGCAAGAUCAAGAAAGUUGUAUUUUUUUUUUCGGGUUUAACAGGUGGUAGGAACAAUGGGUUACGCAGCUCCAGAGUAUAUCCAAACCGGUCGUCUCACAUCAAAAAGUGAUGUAUGGGGUUACGGAGUUUUCAUCUAUGAGCUCAUUACAGGAAGGAGGCCGCUAGACCGGAACAAGCCUAAAGGAGAGCAGAAGCUUCUAGAAUGGGUGAGACCUUACUUAUCAGACACAAGGAGGUUCCGGCUCAUAGUAGACCCGAGGCUCGAGGGGAAGUACAUGAUCAAACCAGUGCAGAGACUCGCGGUUGUAGCCAAUCUUUGCCUUGCUAGGAAUCCAAAGGCGCGUCCAAAGAUGAGUGAGGUGUUAGACAUGGUGACAAAGAUUGUGGAAUCAUCAUCGCCUGGGAAUGGUGGCAAGAAGCCGCAGCUGGUUCCGCUAAAGAGUCAAGAAGCUUCUAGAGACGAGGAAGAGAAGAACAAGAAGGAUCUUGAUGGUGGCGAAGGAGGUUGGCUGGAAAAGUUGUGGAACCCAAAGAAUGUGAGAGCUUGUUGAUACGGGCUAAGUCAGAAACACAUUAGUGAAGUUCAAAAAAGCCUUUGUUUAAAUACUGUAAUUUUAACAAACUUGUGAGUUUUCUUACAUUCAAUUUUUUCCUUUUUUUGUACUAAUUCUGUUAAUUUUAUUGUUUGUUGGGAUUCUCAUAUUAAGCUUCUUAUUAAACGAUGUAUCUGAAAUAUGUAUGAUCCAAGUGCUUUCGAAGUCUUUUUGCAGUACUUCACUCACCUCGUAGCAGCUAACAUCAACAAGCUAAUAGGCUAUUUGGGCCUUUGGUCACAAUCUUAUGAUAAGCCCAUUAUAAAGCUCAUACGGUCUGUUAAAAUCGGUUUAAACUAGGUAACCUCUUCGCCCACCUUCUGGGCCUUUGAGCACAAUCUUAAUAAGCAUAUGAUAAGCCCAUUUUUUAUUCACAUUCACAAAAAUUGAAUGCACUAUGCAUCUGCAUCAUCCAUGGAUCAAGAGAGGGUCGAGUCGUCGUCACUAAUUCAUAUGCAUUGAUGCCUAGUUAUCUAUUAUCAUCAUAGUCACAUACUAGUUUUAAGAAAUUUCGUUUCAGAUUUUUUGUUUAAAUUUAAGUUUAGUUUUUAAGAACUCGAAAUUUAAAUGAAAAUUAUCCAGGAAGAGGAAAAGAAAAAAAAAAAAAACACAUUAAGUGGAAUAAUGUUGAUAAGAUUGCAUUCAACUCAUGUGUACUAACAAUGGCAAACAAUCUGACUUUUGAAGCAUUGAUUUUGGCUGAAAACAGGGGAAGCCAUUAAACUUAUAGCCUCUAGGUUCAAUUAUCAUAUAUGACAUCUCAAGAUUUAUUAAAAAAAAAUUUUUUGUAUAAAAGUGACGUGAAAAGCAAAUACAGUAGGCAAAUAAAAUUUCGAGUAGCUCAUUAGUGUUAAAUAAAACUCAAUUGAGAGUGAUUCACAUAGUAAGUUGAGAAAAUCUAGUUAUAUAAUAUCAACAUAACAUAUUGUAAGCAUUUUAUGCAAACAUUAUAGUAUACAUUAUUAUUUACAUAAUCGAACUUUGGAGAACCCUUGCUGCAUUCGAAAGCAUGUGUCAAGUUUGUUAUAUCUCUUGGAUAAUACGAAUCACUAAGUAUAUUACUUCUUAUACAGUCACGCUAAUCACGUAUUACUUUUUUUUGUCAAGUAGCUAGUAUUGUCACUAGAUUUAUUUAUCUAUUUACAUGGUAUGAUUGGUCUGAACAUAGAAUUUAUACUAAACCACAAUGCAAUGCAUGCAUGUUGUUUUGGUAGUUAUGCUCUCUAUGAAGUAUGAACUACCAUAAUAGUAACAUUUAUUCAUAUUUUAACUCUAUAUAAUAAUGCAUUGACCCUUUUGAAAUGGACUAUUUUGGUUAUUGUAUUACAACUAAUUGACAUGUAACAUAUAAUAUGCACAUAGGAUAAUCGUUUUUUAUAUAUAUAACAGUGUUGCUUAAAAGACUACAUCAGCAUAAUCCUCACAACUACUUAUGACGUUCAUUAAAAACCACACGAUAAUUACGUAUAAGUUUAAAUAAAUUUUGCUACCUAACAAAAUUAUUCGUUACAAAUGAAAUUACACACAAAUAAUGGCUUUUGGGUUUCUCAAAUCAUUCAUGACCCAUGCCAUAAAUUGUUUUAUAAAUUAUAUACCGUAAUAUUAUAACAUUAGGCUGAUUCAACAUAAAAUUGACUAGUUUCCUCUUUUUUAUACUAGUAUUUUUUUGCGAAGCAAUUUGACAUAUUAUAUUACGACUAGCUAGUCCAUUUACAUUAUUUUAAAGUAUUUAAUCUCAUUAGUGUAGAUCUCAUUGCUGCAUGAAUAUGUCAAUCUAGGUUCCUUUUUAAAUAAUUUGAAGCAUUCGUAAAGCAUUCCAUAUGAUAUGAUUCAUUCACCGCGAGAACAUAGAACCUUGUUCAUUUAUUAUAACCUAGAGAAUGCUUUAAUAAAAUCAAAUUUGUUUUUAUGUGUUCCCUAAGAAUAUUAAAAUGUAUUGCGUGGGUUUUAAAAAUUAAUAAAAAUUAAACAAAGGGGGCUGCCUGAAAUAAUUGAAUUCGAUGGUUUUGGAAUUCAAUAAAAUUGAGUUGGUGCCACGUGUAAUUCUUACACUGACAAUUAUAAAUAAAGUUAUUUAUUCCCGCCGGAUAUGAUUGGGAAUGUAAUUAAUCAAAAAACUAUGCAGCCAUGUGUUUUAUUAUUGGACCCUCUUUUCAGAAAAUUUUCAAUAUUUUUAGCCUAACACUUUGGUUUAAAUUUGUAUUUUCACUUUUAAAACUAUUACAUUUGCAUGCUAAUCCUUCCUUAAAUGCUCAUUAACUACAAAACUGAUUUUUUGGGGAUUUGUUAAAGUGUCCAAAAUAUUUACGAUGAAAAGAAAUUCAUGAUUCAUUUAUGAUUUUAUAUCAAGGAAAAAAUAAAUGGAAAUAAGAUUUUUGCAUGUAAAAAGAAAAUAAAAUAAAAGGAAAUUAAGAUUUCUUACAGGAUGACCCGGUAAAUUUGAAAAAAAAGUCAGAAUAUUCAAUCUAAUCACACAAACAAAAAUCAAACUUUACUUUGAUGAAAAUAAUGAUAAAGCUUUUCGUUUUUUCCCCUUAAUUCAUUUCAUGCCAUUAGAUUUUACUUCUUUUGUUUUCCAUCUAUAAACAACUUGUUAGCUCAAGUCUAAAAAAAUAAAUUAAUAAACAUAAUCUAAUAUAGAUUCCAUUUCAAUUCCAUCUAUGAUAAGAAAAAUAAUUUAGUAUCAAAACUAGAUUCUACGCCCCCCUAAUUGAUAAAAUUAUAGAUUUUGCUAAUCAAGUUUAUUUAUUCUCAAGUAGACCUCUUUGGAAAAUGCUCUCACAACAUUAAAGAAUAAUAAAUAAAACAAUAAAUUAUAAGUGACGAAAUCUUGACCGUUCAUAUUAAUGAUCCGACGGCUACAAAAUCUUAUGACAAAAGAGCAAAAGCCCCCAGAAUUUCAUAUAAAUAUUGAGUGGCAUUUUGCGCGUUUUCUCAUUUUAUUUUUUAUCUUUUUUAUUAUUUUUGUUUUUCUGGGUUUCUCAGAAUCGAAAAAGGCGACAACUUUAUUUUUAUUCGAAUCAUUCUCGAUCCUUUUUUUUUUUUUCCAUUUCUUCAUCUUCUUCAUUCAUCCGCCAAAAAAAUUGAGUCUUUUCAGAAGAAAAAAGUUGCGAAAAAGUAACACAAAAUCCCAUUUUGAAAUUAUGUUUACUAUUUCCAACCUAAAUUCUCAAUCUUUCUUCCUGAAUUUCUAGUAAAAUUUGUCUAUUUUUAGUAAAAAAAAAUCAAUUCCGUCUUCAAGUUGCAGGGAUUAAGCAAGUGAAAGGUGAGUUUUUUUCUCCUUUUUGAUCUUACUUCUUCUUACAAACUAUAUUAUUUUCUCAGAUCUAGGUCGGUUUUUAUAAAUCUUUUUUUUUUAUAUAUGUAUCCUCGAUUCAUAGCGAAAAAAAUCGAGUCUUUGAGUUCAUUACUAAAUCUCCAAGUUGGUCUCUUUGUUCGACUCUUCAAAAGCUUUGAUUGCGACAAUGACAACAGUGUCUAAUUUAGGAAAAAACGAACAUUGAUUGGAGAAUUUUGGAGUAACAACAUUGUAUUAGUUCUUUAGAAGUCACAUUCCCCUCUUUGUUGAAAAGUCUCUGUUGUUUAAUUUUCCCGUCAAUGCCCAGAGAGGUCUCCCAAGAUUUACGCAACUCAACUCUUUGUGUAUAUUUAUUGAAUUUUUUUGAGUGUAAACUAAGUCUUUUCGUUUUGUUUUCUUCUUUGAAGAAAUGGGUUAUUUGAUUUUGAUUUGUUAUGGAUAAGAUUUUUUGAUUUCCUGAUAACAUUUUUCUUGGCAGGUUUUUUUUUUUUUUUUUUUUUUGGUUGAAGAUGGUGUCACAUGAAGAAAACACAGGUAUUGUGGAAUGGUUUCUUGGUCCGCAUCCAUACGCGUAUCCUCCUUAUGGUAUUGAGAUGAUUCAUGAGGAUGAUGAAGUAGCUCAUCAUCACCAGAGCGGUGAGUAUUACAGAGAGUAUGAAGAUCAUCAUCCUAGUAGCGAUGUAGAUAAUGAUGAGAUCAUUGCAAGAACACUCCAAGACGAUUUUUUGCAGCUUGAAAUCGCAGAAAGUAAUGAUUAUCCGCAUCAACAACAACAACACCAUCAACAAGAAGGUUAUACUAACAACUAUAGUAAUAACAACAAUGGAUAUGCUUGGAAUGAUCGGCCUGCUGUGAAUUAUUCUUCAGGUUAUUAUUGAACAAGCUCUUCCAGUGGUUUAUGCUUUUUAUGUUGUUAUGGUUUUGGGGAUUAAAUAACAGAGAUGUGAUUUUGGGUGUUGUAGAAUGGGUAGGAAAUGAUAACGAUCAAGAUGGGAGGAGUGAUGAUUCGGUUAACGUCUUUUCAUGUUCAAGCCCGAGUGACACGGAUGAGUAUGUGUACUCGUGGGAAUCAGAUCAAUGUGAUGCUGAUGGUGAAUUUGGAAGGAGAUUGAAUCAAAUGGUUCCCAUUCCGGUUAGUAUUCUAGAGAUUCUAUUAUGUUUAAAUUGAUGUUAAGAUGUUCUUUUCAUUUGACAAUCGAUUGUGAUCUAUAUGCAGUAUAUACCAAAAAUAAAUGGAGAAAUACCUCCAGAAGAAGAAGCAGUUUCAGAUCAUGAAAGACUUCGGAAUAGGUAUGUUUGUUUUCUCAUUUUUGUUUGCUAUCAUAUCGAAGCCAUUCUUGAUUCCAUUAUUUUAUCAUUGUUUCAGGUUAGAGAUGUUUGACUUCACGGAGGUUAAGGUUCCAGGGGAUGGUAAUUGCCAGGUAAACUUCUUCAUUAAGUGAAUUGUUGUGGAAGAAUUAGAUUCUUACUCAUCAUUUUUAAUCUUGAAUACUCCCUCCCAACUUUUUCUUUUCAGUUCCGUGCUUUAGCUGAUCAACUGUACAAAACCGCAGAUCGCCAUAAACAUGUUAGACGACAAAUAGUAAAACAGGUUUGAUGUUCUUAUUGCUCUUCAGAAUCUUUACAAGCUUCCACAAAGUCGCAUGAACUCAUUUUUUUGCAAUUUUCAUCUCCUGGUUUAGCUCAAAUCUCGUCCAGAUUCUUAUCAAGGAUAUGUUCCUAUGGACUUCUCUGAGUAUCUAAGAAAGAUGUCACGGUAAAAUCUCUUCUCCUAGUGGACUCCAUAACCGCUUCUGUUUCCCCUUCUCUUAUUUAAGCCUAGUGUUAAAUUUUGAAACAGGAGCGGUGAGUGGGGCGAUCAUGUGACAUUACAGGCAGCUGCAGAUGCGGUAUAACUUCUUAAAGUUGAAAAAUAUGAGCUUAUCUUCAUUUGCUUUUCUCAGUUUAUAGUUAAUCAGUUUGGUGAAACAUUUUAACAUUGCAGUAUCGGGUGAAAAUAGUAGUCCUAACAUCGUUCAAGGAUACAUGUUACAUCGAAAUUCUUCCUACCUCCCAAGAGUCCAAAGGAGGUAAAGAGUUUAUUUCACUGUAAAUUUGCUUGUCUACUAUAUUCCUAUCUUGUGAUUGUUAUUACAAAUACCUUUUAUUUUUGCUCUUGUUGUCUGCAGUAAUCUUCUUGAGCUUCUGGGCAGAGGUUCAUUACAAUGCCAUCUACUUAAACAGAGGUAACUUGUAGAAAUCUUAUAUUUUACAGACUAUGUUUUGCUUCUUUCCUCUUCAUCUUAGUUCUCUUCUUCUUCUUCAUAUUGUUGGUGUUCAGAUACAUCUGAAACAGAGCUACAGAGGAAGAAAAAAUGGUGGCGUUUCGGAAACUAGACAGGCCAAGGAUCAUCAUCACUGGGUUACAUUAAUAUUUAUUGACUUGAGAGAGGGAUGUUCUUUGAAAUAGUCCCUUCGUAGAGAGAGGAUGAACAGAGCUCACAGCUUCAAAAAGGCUUACAAUAAUAUUAUUUUCUUCUUUGAAAGAAAGAAAAUUUUCUGCCAAAAAACAGAAUUAACAAAUGAAAUAAAAAAUACACAACAUUUUGAUCAUUUCCUUGUUCAUCUAGUCCAAAUCCGAACGAACAGUUCCAACGAAUUAACUUUUUGUCGUAUAUUAUUACUUCUAAGAAUAUUAACCUUAGGAAACUGAUCAAAAGGAUUGUGAAUGAAAUAAACAUCGAAACAAUUUCCUAAGUGAGUCUUUUGAGUGAUGGAUAACAUGACAAACCCGGAGGAGUUAACUGUGUCGCUCUAGACAUCAUCUAAAAGAUCAAUUUAAGUUAAAAAGAAAAUAAAAAACCAUUACUGUGCGAGAUCAUAAUCUAACUGUAGAGAUCGUCGUCCUCAGCUGCAGCUGAUGAAGUGGCAAAGGGAUCAGCGGCUGCACCACCAGUAGUGCGUCCGGCAGCAGCGGUUGGGUCAAACCUGAACUCAGAUCCAAACCCUCUCGAUUGCUGCAGCGUCUGAGCAAAAGCUUGGUACUUGCGAAUAUCAGCAUCACUUACACUUCUCCUUGCAUAUUUCAUUGACUCUUCGAAAUGGGCAGCUCUAAUCUCUGCAACUUCAUCAUCAACCAUAUCUUCCUCCAUAGCCUCUGGAUUCUCGCUCCUUCUACGCUCUCUCUCGAUAUCCUGAGGAACAAAAAAAACACAAAAUAUUGUCAAGAUUAAAACGAAUUGGCAUUUAAGGUUACUCAAUCAUGUUUCAGGAGGUAAACAAAUCUCUGACCUUCUCAAUGUUUUCUCUGAUGGCGUACUUGCAAGCUCUCUGGCAGAUUUCAGUGAUAUCAGCACCACUGAAUCCCUGGGUGUACUUAGCAAGUGCAGUCACAUCGACAUCUUUAGCAACAGGAGAUUUUCGCAAGCAGGCCUUGAAGAUAUUGAGACGGGAAUCUUCAUCAGGUAGAGGAAUGUAGAUAAGCUGGUCGAGUCUUCCAGGUCGAAGAAGAGCUGGAUCGAUGAUAUCAGGUCUGUUAGUUGCUCCAAUAAUGAAUACUGUCUUCUUUGCGUUCAUUCCAUCCAUUUCUGUUAAAAGCUGAUUCAAUACUCUAUCAGCUGCACCGCCUGCAUCACCCACGCUGCUUCCUCUCUGAGUAGCAAUGGAGUCGAGCUCGUCAAAAAACAGAACACAAGGAGCAGAUUGACGAGCCUUGUCAAAGAUUUCACGGACGUUGGCUUCACUUUCUCCAAACCACAUUGUGAGAAGCUCAGGUCCUUUGACACUGAUGAAGUUUGCUUGGCACUCGUUUGCUAUGGCUUUGGCUAAAAGAGUUUUCCCACAUCCAGGAGGACCGUAGAAAAGAACUCCCUUUGAUGGAGACAUUCCAAACUUUUCGAAUUUCUCUGGAUGCUCCACAGGGUAUUGAACAGUCUACAUUAACACAAAAACAAAAAAUUGAUCAGAUCAGUUCUAAUAAAUGAAACAAUUUUGAUCAAAUCUAAGGAUGUAAAAACAAUUUUUACCUCUUGAAGCUCUCUCUUAACAUUCUCAAGACCUCCAAUAUCCUCCCAGGAGACAUUUGGAACCUCCACAACCUGUGAAAAUAAAAUGAAAUGAAAUUAUCAAUAUCAAACAGGGUAAGAAACAGGUUAGUAUACAAUUACAAGUAAGGAUCAAACUUACAGUUUCACGAAGUGCGGAUGGGUUGCUGUUUCCAAGAGCUGUAUGAAAGUGUUCAUUAGACACCGCCAUGGAAUUGAGGAUUUCGGCGUCAAUAGAGUCAUCUUCCAAGUCAAUCACAUCCAUCUUCUCUCUGAUACAUUGAAGGGCAGCUUCAGUGCAUAGAGCUGCAAGAUCAGCUCCAACAUAUCCAUGCGUGUCCUUGGAGAUUCUUUCUAGAUCCACCUGUUUAAAGGAAAAUAUAAAAGGUUAAUAUACAUUGCAACCAGAAAACAUCAAAAAAGCUUCCAAAUAUGCUUAGAUGAUAGAAAAUUUACAUCUUCAGCUAGCUUCAUGUUCUUCGUGUGGAUCCUAAGAACUUCAAGACGUCCAAUUUCAUCAGGAACACCGAUGUCAAUUUCCCUGUCGAAUCUUCCAAACCUUCUCAAAGCUGGAUCAAUACUGUUGGGGCGAUUUGUUGCUCCCAUAACAAUAACAUGGGCACGAGAUUUCAGUCCAUCCAUAAGCGUAAGGAGCUGAGAAACAAUCCUCCUCUCAACCUCUCCAUUUGUCUUAUCUCUUUUUGGGGCGAUAGAGUCAAUCUCAUCAAUGAAAAUGAUAGAAGGGGCGUUCUUCUCAGCCUCCUCAAAUGCUUUCCUGAGGUUGCUCUCACUCUCACCAGCCAGUUUCGACAUGAUUUCUGGUCCAUUGAUACAAAAGAAAAAUGCUCCGGUUUCAUUAGCCACAGCACGAGCGAUAAGUGUCUUCCCAGAUCCAGGAGGUCCGUAAAGCAGAAUUCCUUUUGGUGGCUUCACACCAAUUGAUUUAAAGAGUUGUGGAUGCCUCAAGGGAAGUUCAACCAAUUCCCUAAUCUGAGCCAUCUGUUUCCUGACACCACCAACAUCGUCAUAACCAACCUCAUCAAGCCUUUCUUCGUCCUCCCUCUUAACUGGUUCGCCCUCACAGAAAAUCUCUGUAUCUGGAGCCACCACGCAGUACUCAGCAGGAUCAGUCUCGAUUACUUUGAACUCCACACUCCUCAUUCCUCCUCUCACUAGGAAAAGAUCUCCCUUCCUUACUGGGCGGUAAGCCUCAAGGAAGUAAGCUGUUGAAAAAAAUCAAUAUAAGUUCAGAAACCAAUAAAAAAUAAUAAAAAAAUAUGUUACAGCAAACAAAGACAAGCUAGACUAUGAUACGAAAUAGAAUACAAAAACUCAAACAAACUUACGUUUCAGAUAAGCAUCAAAGAGGUUUCCAGUAACCCCUUCCACUGUAUCGUCAACUGGCAAGAUGUGCACACGCUUUCCAUACUUGACAUCUGGGCAUUGGUGAACAGAAAUAACAUCUCCCAGCCUAACCCUCAAGUUAGACCUUACAACCUUAUUCAUUCUGAUCUUGGGUUCCUCACAUGAUUCAUCAGCAAGGGCAAUGCACACAGUGUCCUUCCUUUUCUUACCCUGCAAAGCCAAAACCCAAUCAUGUUAGAAACAUAGAGAAAAAAACCAAUUCUCAAACUAGAAAAGUGAAAAGUUGUAACCCUAAUAUGCACUUAUUUACAAGAUCAUACAAAGUAAGAAAAUCUUAGUGAUAUACAGCAAAGACCCUGACGACCUAGCACAAUUGCGGACACAAAAGACAGUCUACUUUCAAAAUAUUAGCCAAGCAAGAAAAAACCCUAAUUUGGCAAACCAACAUUCUAUACUCAACUCUCAAGAGGGUCAUAGCAGCGACAAAAUCCAAGCAUAGCACAACUUAGUACUCAAUAAUAUAACACUCUAGACAUAAGGAGUAAAAACCUAACCUUGAUGAGAAUUGUAUCGCCUCGGAAAAGCUGGAGCUUUUCCAUGGUAGCAGGAUGGAGAGAGACAACAGAGUUGUCAUCGUUAAUAGCUUCAUCGACAACGAGUCGAUUAGGAGACUUCUUCCUCUCAAGAAUCGCAGUACUGAAAUCCUUCUUAGGUUUCCUGAAACAAAAAACAACACAGGAAGUUGGUAAAUCAGCUGAAAAGAUGAGAUCAAACUAAAAAACCCUAAUCACACAUCGAAAAAAGAACACCAAGCAAAAAAAAAUCGAAACUUAAUGAUCGGAAAACGAGAAUCGAAGAUCUGGGUGUACUUACGAGUCGGAGGAUUCAGGUUGGUUUGACAUAGUAAUAGCCGAAAUCGCCCAAAGAGAGUGUUUUCUCUGAAGAAAGUUGCGAAAUUUAUUUCUAAAGAGAAGGUUUUGAGAUGAUGAUGAUGAUGACGAUGAAUGGUUUAUGGGAUCUCAAGGCAGCUGGUUUUGGGAUUUAUAGCUCUGUGAUUUCCUUCUUGUUGGAAAAAGAAGCGGAAUUUAAUUAUUUCCUUUUUCCUUUUUUUAUUUAUUCAUCUUUAAACGACCCCUAACUUUUAAAUCAUUCCCAAAAAGUUCCCAUAUUUAUUUAUUAUCAUUAAACACCUAUUAUUUUCCUUCAAUUUUUUAUCAUUCAUUUUAUAUUAUUAUAUGAUUUAUCAAGCAUUCAAACAACAAUAUUAACUAAAUUUAGGAAGAAAAAAAAUGUAUUUCAUUGUGAGUAAUUUUAACCUUAAUUUAAUAAUUUCAUAUUCUGAGGAGGAUACCUAAAUGUGAAUUAAAAAAGUCAUGGGGGAAAGUUGAAAAUAAAAGUUAAAGUUGUUCCUUUGGGUUCUUUUUUUCUUUUUUUUUUUUUUGUCGACAAGUUCCUUUGGGUUCUAGUCUUCUAGGUGUGAUAACAAAACACAAGAAAGGAAUAGAAGUGUCUUACUUAGGUAGCGGUAUCAAGCAAGCUACAUGUUUUCUAUUUUUCUUUUUUUUCCUUUUUUCUAUAUAGAAAUUUUACUAUCUUACCAUUUAUUUUCUUAGGUCUAAAUUACAAUGCCCAACUCAAUACCAAAAAAAAAAAAAGAAAUACAAUGCCAACUUCUUCUUUUUUUCUCGACUUUUUAAUACCAAUUUAUAACCCAAAGAAAUAAAUGUCUCCAUCUAAAAUAUAUCUUAAUCAAAUAUGAAAUCUAAACAAAUUUUUUGGUAUUGAAAAGCUCAUUAAAAAUUGAACUUAUUUUUGUAAAUGGUUAACAAAUUAAUUGCAUUUUGUUCCGACUAAAAAUAUUUAUUUUAGAAAAAGAGUUUGUUUACAAGAUUAUGAAUUAAAAUAUUUUGUUAUCUGCCGACCAAAAAAAAAAAAAAAAAAUAUUUUGUUAUCUCAAUCUAGAAUAUCGGUGAGUGAACGUCUAGAAUAUUCUCAAUCUAGAACUACGCAGCGUUUAUUGAUCUCUUCGAUAUCAGACGUUGCGUCGUUUUCGAUUUGAGAUUUGCGAUAUUAUAAACUACAUGCCGUUUUGAAAACUCCACUGAUCGUCGUCUUCUAUUCUAGUUUGAUUCUCGGCGGAGGAUACUCGACGAGAAAAUCCAGAUCGGGAAUUAUCUUUGAGAAGAGGAAAAAGAUAACUGAACUUUUUUAAACAUGAAUUUAGGUUUCGUAGUUGGAGUUUUCGGCGUUCUGAUUCUCUCCCAUGCCGCUUAUUCAACAAUCCAAUGUAUGUGUCUACUCGUUUGAAUCCAGUUCCAGUUGAGUCAGAUCUACUUUAACUUUUGAGAUAGCGUCUAUAUAUCUUGAUUUGGGUUUCUCUUAUUCGUCUCAGAUAGAGGAUUGUUGAAGAUCAUGGAGGAAGAGUUUUCUCGACCACCGAUGAAUGUGAGUAUAUUAUAAAGGUUUCUCUUUUUCCCCAAACUGGGUUGGAAUUUUGUAAGCAGUGAUUAUAUGUCUUAUGAUUUGGUUUCUUAAGGUUAUUCUGGAGCUGAUCAUUGGACUAGCUCUGUGUAUGUGGGCUGCUUUGACUUUCCCUGGGAAAUUUCUCUCGAUCCAUCCGGAUUCCGAUGAAAAUAGGUUUGCUAUCAUGUUUCCCUUGAACUCUCAGUUGUGUAUCANNNNNNNNNNNNNNNNNNNNNNNNNNNNNNNNNNNNNNNNNNNNNNNNNNNNNNNNNNNNNNNNNNNNNNNNNNNNNNNNNNNNNNNNNNNNNNNNNNNNNNNNNNNNNNNNNNNNNNNNNNNNNNNNNNNNNNNNNNNNNNNNNNNNNNNNNNNNNNNNNNNNNNNNNNNNNNNNNNNNNNNNNNNNNNNNNNNNNNNNNNNNNNNNNNNNNNNNNNNNNNNNNNNNNNNNNNNNNNNNNNNNNNNNNNNNNNNNNNNNNNNNNNNNNNNNNNNNNNNNNNNNNNNNNNNNNNNNNNNNNNNNNNNNNNNNNNNNNNNNNNNNNNNNNNNNNNNNNNNNNNNNNNNNNNNNNNNNNNNNNNNNNNNNNNNNNNNNNNNNNNNNNNNNNNNNNNNNNNNNNNNNNNNNNNNNNNNNNNNNNNNNNNNNNNNNNNNNNNNNNNNNNNNNNNNNNNNNNNNNNNNNNNNNNNNNNNNNNNNNNNNNNNNNNNNNNNNNNNNNNNNNNNNNNNNNNNNNNNNNNNNNNNNNNNNNNNNNNNNNNNNNNNNNNNNNNNNNNNNNNNNNNNNNNNNNNNNNNNNNNNNNNNNNNNNNNNNNNNNNNNNNNNNNNNNNNNNNNNNNNNNNNNNNNNNNNNNNNNNNNNNNNNNNNNNNNNNNNNNNNNNNNNNNNNNNNNNNNNNNNNNNNNNNNNNNNNNNNNNNNNNNNNNNNNNNNNNNNNNNNNNNNNNNNNNNNNNNNNNNNNNNNNNNNNNNNNNNNNNNNNNNNNNNNNNNNNNNNNNNNNNNNNNNNNNNNNNNNNNNNNNNNNNNNNNNNNNNNNNNNNNNNNNNNNNNNNNNNNNNNNNNNNNNACCAGAAAGAGUUGCCGUUCGUCGUAGAUAUAUAUAUAUAUAUAUAUAUAUAUAUAUAUUUACAGGUCUUAUAGAUACAUCAUCUGGUUAGAUGUGGUCCAGUUAUUCAGCUUAAUCAUGGGCGUUUGCAGUGUCUAGUGAAAAUGUUUGAGAAGGUUUAUGGAUAUGUUUGUUCAUGAAAAUCAUUUGAGGAACUUGUGUUCUAGAGAUGUUUCGAGGAUCUAGCUUUUAUAUCUCUACUCUCUGUUGUGCAUCAGUGUUUAUCUAUCUGAAACAUGGAAAUUUGAUAGUUAAUAUUUUUCCCAUUGAUUGAGAAUGACCAGAGACUUACGUUUAUGAAUAAGAAAAUUGUCCUCUAGAGAUGUUCUAGGUUUUUAACAUUGAUGUUUCUCUAGUAAUUAUUGUGUAGCUAGGUUCUUAUAUUUUAUGGUUCUUGAAUUGGUUUUGAGUUGGUCGUUGUUAGAUGGAAUGUAUAUCUUCUGUUAAUUGAUUAUUUCGAAACAUUUACAGGGCGGUUUCUUUACCAGAUAGCUCUGAAUUCAUGAUAUUCAAUCACCGUGGCAGACUGUUCCCACCGGAGAUCGACAUGAAGUUUUGAUUUUUCAUUUUUUUUGUAAUCACAGUGCGUAGUCAAACACUUAUCUGUCUAAUACUAAGAGAUGUUUCCAUUGAAAUUUUAAGUAAAGUACUCUGUUUUUCAUCAAUUUUUUUAUAUUUGGAAAGUCUUGUGAAGUGGUUGUGUGUCAGGGUUUCUACAUGGAAUCUUAAAAUCAAGAAAUGCACAACAAAAGCAUAGUAUAUUAUUGUCAAAUCCAACGCUUUUUUUGCUUAUUCUUUACGGUUCCCUUGGCACUGUUCUGGAAGGUCCAGCUCCAAAUGUCAUGACGCUCAACUCCACGGCCCAUGGCACCGGAAAAACCGGGGUACAUUUUUUCAAGAAAAACCUUAGAAAGAUCUAAAUGGGCAACGAUCAAAGGCUUCUUAGGUUUUUUAACGUUUUCUGGCGCGAGUGUGACCGUAACCUUGGAGUUUCUAUACUCAAUCCAAGCCUUGUACCUCUCUCCGUUGCUCAACUUGACCUCCUUAAACGACCAGAGUAGCCUUUUCCCAAUUCUUGUCUGAACCCAAUAACCAGCUUUCUGUGCAACAACGGAAGUAACAGAGUUGAUAUUUAUCCCGACAUGGUUAUCAGUAAUGUCUCCGAAACUUUUGUCCUGAAAAUCGUCGAACUCGACAGCAAAGACGUGGCUGUUGGGGUUGCCGUUGGUUGUUUUGUUGAGGAUGCCGAGGAAUCCAGCGGGUCCAGGACCGCUACUCUCAAUGGAGGGGACAAAAACGAAAGCGAGGCCGUGACCAGGGGCGGGUUUGACGCGAGAAGUGAUGGAGAAAGUGAAAGAAGUUUCAAAUGGAUAAGGAGAAGAAGAGUUUGAAGAAGGCUUGAAAGAGAGAGGAGUGGACCAAAGAGUUUGGCCGUGAGAGCAUGGGUUUGCGUCUCGGGUCAUGGAGAGAGCUCUGGAGAGGCUGACGCCAUCAGAAGCAGGACCAAGCUCAGCGUCUCCAAGGAAGAUAAACUCUGAGGUUUUGAGGCUGAGUUUGACGGCGGAAGUGGUGUGAGAUAAGAGCAGAGCAAGAAAACAGAGUUUAUGAAUCUGCAUUGUGUUGCGUGUUUCUGUGUCUGGUUGUGUUAUUCUAGUGAGAGUUUGAAAGACUGAAGUGGAGAUUGAUAAAAGAGUAAGCUUCGUUACAUGACGUAAAGUAAACGCGUCACUCACAAGGUUUCCUUUAGCUUUUCCAUUUCGACCAAGAAAAACUGAAAGUUAUUAAUCAGAAAACUUUAAUUUGAUCGUAGGUUAGGAAGACGUGAAUAUAUCUACUGGAAAAUUGGGUGUGGUAAACUUUGUUGGACAGUUGUUUUUGGGCGAUAUAAUUUGGUACCAUGAUCUUCAAUCGGAGAUGGACAUACAGAUUAUUAAAGUUAAAUAACUUUAUUUUAGUUUGAGUUCUUUGUGUGUUUGUUUUUUUUCCAUUGCUACUUGCGUAGUUGCUAUAACUUGAUAAUGUACACGUUGCAAUCAAAAGUCAAAGCUAACUAUGCAGUGACUUGAUGUGAAAGUUACACGCGUGAACCUAGCACUCAUAAAUAAAAAUCCGAGCUCAAUUUAGAUCAUAAACUGUAAACUGUAAUAUUAUACUGUCCAUAUCUCACUAAGUCUCUAAAAUAAUAGUUGACUCUGCUGUAUUCGAACAGCCUGUAAUAUCUAUAGCCAGCUCUAAGGAUUCGAAUUUAGUUGUAUCAAAUUGUAAAACACUGUAUCAAAGAGGCCGUAUUAUAUAUAUUUAUAUGCAUACAUGAUACUCUGUCUCAACAUCAAUGCAUUAUUAUUUUUUGUUGAGCAGAUCAUGCACGAGACUAGUUUUGUUAGUUGAGAAACUCAAAUAAAAAAAGUUGUAGUAUAUUUCGUGCCUAGUCUGUUUAGGCAUCUAAUAACUUCCUUCUAUUACUAGUCUAGGCUGAAAAGAAAAGAAAAUCCUCAUUUACUCAAAAUAAUAAUGUCUCUCGGGAACUCUAUGGGUUCGGAGCCGGAGCUCAAAACACUGAUAAAUCAAAUAAUCAAUAUCACCGGGGAUUCGCAACCAAAACCGGAGUCUGAGCUUGUAUCACUCAUCAAUCGAAUAAUCUGUCUCGUCAACGCUAUGAAGUCGGAUUGGAGCACGUACCCGGAGUUAAAGUCACUCAUCCCUCAAAUAUUCUCGAUCAUCGUCUCUCAGGAUUUGGAGUCAGAUCCAGAUCCGUCUGAGCUCCCGUCACUCAUUACUCGUAUGAUCACCAUCCUCAGCUCUAUGGACUCAAAUUCGUUGUCGGAGCAGGAGUCGGAGCUCGUAUCACUCGUUACUCAGACAACAUCCCUCGUCACCUCUAUGGAGCCGGAGUCAUAUACGGAAUCAGAGCUCAAGUCACUCAUUACUCAAAUCAUUCCUCUCGUCAGCACUACCGAUUCGAAGCUCGUAUCACUCAUUAGUCAAUGGGGCUAUUUCCUAAGCUCUCCGGAUUUAAAGCAAGAACCGGAGCAUGAGCUCAUAUCACUUACUACUCAAACAAUUUCGCUCGUUAGUUCUAUGGAUUUCGAUUCGCAGCCGAAGCCGCUAUCGGAGCUCAUAGCACUCGUCACUCAGUUUCUAUCUCUCCUCAGCUCUGUAUCGGAUUCGGAUCCCGAGUCUGAGCUCAUAUCACUCAUCACUGAAAACAUAUUAUCUUACAUCACUUGUGUGGAUGAUUCAGCUUCGAAGCCGAUGAUGCCGGAAUUAGGGAUCUUACCACUCAUUUCUCGACUAGCAUCUCUGGAGCCGCAGCCAAAGAUCAUUUCACUCGUUAGACGAAUGUUCUCAAUCGUUGGGUCUAUGAUUUCAGAUUCGGAGCCAGUAGAUAAGCUUAUUUCCGUAAGCCCUCAAAUGGGAGUAAUUGUUGAACAAGGGAGAUUUCGCGUGAAUGAAAUGCCCAUAGAAAGCCGAGGAAAUAAAUGGAUAUGUGGCCCUGGAUUUCGGACAUUAUUCAGCUUAGCCGGAGAAGCCGCUACCCAUUUUUGGUGCCAAAAUUGCAAUGGCGACUACCAUGACGAAUGUGACAAAGCCUCACUUUUCGCCGACCACUUUCUUGAUCAAAAACAUCUUCUUCAGCUUGUCGUGGCUAGGGAAGGACAAACCAUGGAAUGUUAUUGUUGCACUGAAGAUCUCCUAUGGAUGUUUUAUUAUUGUGUGUCUUGCGAGAUUGCUAUCAAUAUAACUUGUCUCGAGAAACCACCGGUCUUUUAUAUUGAUUGUGCCAAGUGGCAUGAGCAUACACUUGCUCUGUUUCCAAGACAUGCUUCCUUAACUUGCAACCUUUGUGGCUUGCCCGACGCUAGAUCCCCUAUCUAUAUGUGUCCCCGUUGUAACUUUGUGGUCCAUCACAAGUGUGUCACCUUACCACGUGUCAUAAGGAUAUCUCGCCAUCCCCAUCGUAUUUCUUUUACCCCUUCUUUUUACCAAGAAGAGCCCUCCUGUUAUAUAUGUCGCAAAGAGAUUAAUAGAUACUACGGAGGUUUUGCUUGCAUCAAGAACGAUUGUUCAUAUACGGCUCAUUCAAGAUGUGCCACACAGAGCAAUGUGUGGGAUGGCAUAGAACUUGAAGGAGUGCCAGAAGAAGUUGAAGAAGAACUUGAGCCGUUUGUGAGGAUAAGCAACGGAAUCAUACAACAUUUCAGUCAUCAACAUCAUCAUCUGAAGCUUGCUGAGAACGAAGACAGAGAUUACGACGAGAAUAAGUUGUGUCAAGCAUGCAUCACGCCUAUCUACUUCGGCAACAUUUACUCUUGUAUGCAGUGUGAUUUCAUUUUCCACCAAGAAUGCGCCAAUCUUCGUCGCAAAAUGCAUCACCCGAUACAUCCACAUAUGCUCACUUUAACAGAACGCAUCGGCAUUAUGAACAAGCCGAAAUUAUGUUCAGCUUGUCCUUGGUUGUGCACGGGUGGUCUCAUCUAUGAGUGCGGCAAUAAAGGAUGUGAUUUCCAGCUACACGUGCAGUGCGCUUCACUUUCAGAGCCUUUGGUCCAUCCAAGUCAUACACAUCCAUUAUUCCUAACAUCCAAACCUGAAGAGUGGCAAAGAAGAUGUUCUGUUUGCAAAGAGUCAAAUCAUUGUUCCACAAACGAAUCCUUCAAUUGCAUUGAGGAGGCGUGUGACUUCGCUUUGUGUUUUGUAUGUGCUACUUUACCACAAAAGGUUAGGUAUAAGCAUGAUAAGCACGUACUCAAUAUGUCUUAUGGGAAGGAAACAAGUACCACGACUAAUUGGUGUGAAAGUUGCGAGGAAAAAAUAAAUCCAGAGGAGCGGUUUUAUGUGUGCGAUGAAUACUGUUGUGUCACUCUACACAUUGAAUGUUUGAUUGGAGCGGACAUUUACAUGAAGCCCGAUUCAUCGUUUCACUUCCACAUGAAACCGGGUUCAUCCAUUUCCUUACGCGGUAGUACCUUUGUUCAAAUUUGGGCCAAUAAUCAUAUGUAUCGACCUUUUUGCUCCAUAUGUAAGAAGCGUUGUCCACACAAAAUAUUUGUCACUGGGCACUUUGAACUUCUAUGUUGUUCCACAUUAUGUUUAUCACUACUUUAGAGAGUGACUAAGCUUGAUGGAUAUUGCUUUUGUUGUAAGAAGUAUUACUGAAUUUGUCAAACACUGAUGUCGGAUAUUGUCAAUAUGUUAUGAGUUAUUUCCCCAGAAGUUUUACUUAAAAGAAGUAUUUUGCUUUGCACCCGUGGUGAUUCUUGAAGAGUUCUUUUUAUUUUUUUUUUUAUUUUUGUAACUGAUCUCAAAAUCCCAAAGUAUUCCGAUAUAAUUCAUCUUAUUCUCACAAAACACAACGCAGGUUUAUAAACUCUGUUUUCUUGCUCUGUUCUUAGCUAAUUACUUAAUAUAAACUUGCUCCCAGCGACAUCUCUGAUGCAUCUCAAGAACAGCUUCAGGUGGUCCACAAAAAGAGUGCUUCCACAGAACCAUUCCUGCGGUUCCUGACCCAUCCCUUUAUCCCGAGCUGCUCUGCAUUCUCUCAACAGUUCAGUUCCUGGAGCACACUCUCUGUACUCUUCCCUUUAUCAAAAGUCCCUUAGUCACUCAGUGAAAGUUAAUUUUUACAUUCAUAUCUCAGAAUCUGUCAUAGUAACUCAAACAAGUAUUUUUGUUUGGGGGCUGCCGAGUCAAAGCCCCCUUUUACAUGGCUCGUUGUUCUUUUAAGUGCAUACUCUCUGAAUUUGCUGGUAUUACAAGUUUAAACAAAUAUCAAAUUGUAAACAUAUGACGUAUAUCAAAACGAUACAUGGCCUCUGUGUCUUAAAUCUCUCUCUGUCUCUUACAAGAGAAUCAAUCAGACGGUUGAUCUGUAUUCAAAACCUGCUCCCGGUUCUUCAGUGGAAGGGAAAGCCUCCAAGCCAGUUACCAUGGCUGCAGGAGGGCCACGACGACACCUCUGAUGCAUCUCAUCAACAGAUUCAGGUGGUCCAGAAAAGAGUGCUUCCACAGAACCAUCCCUGCGGUUCCUGACCCAUCCCUUUAACCCGAGCUGCUCUGCAUUCUCAACAGUCCAGUUCCUGUAGCACACUCCCUGUACUCUUCCCUUUAUCACCACCCUGACCUGCACCCACCGACAUUAGACAUCUUCAACCCAUAUAUUAUCAGAGAACUGAGGUACCAAGAAGCCUGUUGCUAUCCGAUGGUUAAAUCAUAUAUCGCAGAUAUCUAAUCCAAUCAGCAUGUUCUUCGGAUAGUGAUACCAAUGAACCUCAGUUCUAGUCCUCUAGAUUAAAUGAAGAGAAUCAAAAACAGAAGAAUCUAAACUUUGGUCACGAUUUCCAACGAAUUAGAAAAUACCGUUUUAGCAGAAUCGGAUUGGUGGGGAGACCCAGAUUCAGCCUGAGUGGUCAUGGAGCACACAGGGGGAGAUGAGCGAAGCCAAAGCAGGGGACGAGGAAGACGAAGAGUGGUAGAGAACAGAGGAAGAGUAAGAAGAGGAGGAUUCUGAAUGAAGAGGCUACGAUGAUUGUGGAUUCUUAACAGUGAAGUCGAGAUUUGUGGAACCUUGCCGAAACUCAGAAAUUUUGUUCGGAUUCCGACAAUUGAGGCCAUUCUCCGUCGAAGAAGGUUUCUCUCUCGUGUUUCAGAGUCUUUCCUUGACGAACGAUCCCGGUUCUGCUUAACUAAAACCGGUUCGAUUGCAUCUGGUUUGGUUUGCUCAAGAAUCCAAUUCCAAACAUGGCACACGAGAUGAUGUAAUCAAACAAUCCAAUUCUUCUUUCGGCCCAUAAGAAUGUUCUGAGCCCAUGGAAACCAAUCUUAAUUACCGGCCCAUAGAAGCUCAAUUUUUUUUUCUUUUUUUUUUCCCGAUUCCUUUCGGUUAUUUAAAAGGUCAAGGAAGUAUAAGUACUUAGUAGUGUGAAUAGAUGCAAAUUUGAAUGAGAAAAUAAAAAGAGAGAGGAAUACUGUAUAUUGUAAUUCUCAAACACGUAUUUUUCAGCAUGUAGAACAGAAGUAGAAGUAAUGUUAUACGACUUGGAACUGAAAAUAAUUAUCUUAUUUGGUCAUAUAAGAAAUCAAGUCACCUUAGCAUUUAAUAAGCUAUAAGUUCAAACUGUUUGACAAUUGACAAGAAACAAAAUAUAAAAAAAACGAAUGGAACGGUCAAAUGUUAGUAUUUUGAUAUAAAAUAGUAAAAAAAAUCAAAUAAACGUUUCAUGGGAGACUUGGACUCCUCUACAUACAGUAUAUAAUUAGUGGCUUCCUUGUAUAUAUAUAUAUAUAUAUAUAUAUAUAUAUAUAGAGACGACUCUUCUCAGGAACGAACGAGACGACUCGAGGAGUAAAAAAACGAAACAUGGUGGAAACAUGGUUGCAUGCACGUGUGGCUGCGCGACUAAAAACACCAGUUUUGACAAGUCAGAAAUUUUACUUUUUUAAUAAAUAAUUCAAACUGUUUUAUUACACGUUGUUUUAGUAGUUAUUUUCAAAGAGUUUGACAUGGUGGUGGAAAAUCUCAUCAGACGGUGUUUGAAAAAGUGUCUUAAACCCAUUAUUACGAAAGAAAAAAAAUUACAACGUAACCAAACAAACAAACAUAAUGAUGUUAAUAUAUAUAAUAUUAAAAGAAAUUAAAGAUCAGGUAAGCUGGUAAGUCCAAUUUAUGUUUUACGAAAAUUAAAAAAAAAAAAAAAAAAAAGACAAACACAUAUAGCAUUAGAUUUAGAAAAUAGUAUUUGAGAAAUAGUUAGUACAUUGUAAUGAGAAGACCUUUCUAUUUUUGUAAUGAAUAGUAAUAUUUCCAGGCUGUACUUUGGUGGUAGGGGGAGAGAGAGAGAGAGACUCGUGCCGUGCAAUCCAAUCCGAGAGACAACAAAUAUAAAUUGCCAUGUGGGCCUGACGUGGACCGGUCCGGCUCAAAUGAUCAAACAUAAAAACCCCACACACACAUUAUAAUGGAAUCAAUCAUACAUCAUCAUCAAUUAUGACCAUGAUUCAUGCUUCUUAUGUAAUGCACAUACAUUACAACUUGAUCAUAUUCCCUUCCUUAACAAAAAAAAAAAAGAAAACUCACAAAGUCGUCAUCAUCAUCAUCAUAAGUAACCCACAUGUAUCAAUCUUCUCAGUGUCUAAUAAAGUUUUCGAAAUAGCAUCUACUCACAAAAAUUUGCCAUUUAUAUUUAGCAAGAAAGAUAUGUUUAUAUCAGAAAUUAGUGAAUUAACAAUUAGUAGUAAUCGAAAAGUUGGAAAAACAAAUAAAGUGGUAAUUGUUUUAAGUCACGUUCAAAGCUGAGUCAGAAACACGCGGCAUUGUUAAAGUUGAUGGUUCUUGCCACUUCAUUCUACAAUUAUUUUAAUGUUGCUGACGCUUCUUCUUUAUUGCCUUUUUAUUUUUUAUAAGUGCUGGAUUAGGUUUUCGCAUCAGCAAAUGAUUUUGUUCUAGUCAAUUUUAAUUAUGUUCAUAUGUUGUGUUUUUUCUUUUCUUUUUCUUUGGUGGAGCUCACAUUGAACCUAAUGGAUAGAAAUAUUCGAGUUUUUCGUCUUUUUUUAUACAAUUAUUAUAAAAUCUGGAGGAGAUCAAGUAUUUAUAUAUGUUUGUACGUUCAAUCUUUAGAUAAUAGUAGAAGAUUAUGUAAUGGUGGAAUAUUCUCCUAUAUAUAUGCAUAUAUCUUUCUUGUUUUUCUAUAACCCCUUUAAUGUAAUAUCAAAAUUGUCUUUUUUCGAUUUUUGUUGCGUAUGAUAGAGACAAGGGAACCAUUUUAUAGUAUUUGUUUAUAAGCUAAGGUGUACUAAUAAUAUAUUUAAACAACAAAAAAAGAAAGCUCAAGUGUAUACACAGUACACACAACUACAAGACUACAAAAUGUGAAUUGCUGAUGUAAUGAAAACGGCAUGAACCUUCUUAUCUUAAAAAUCAUUAUUCGUGAUGAUAAUCACACACGUAAACGUGAUCAUACGUCGGUCCGUCCAAAUAACUACCCACUCUUUUAUAACUCUUUAAUUAAAUAAAAUCAUGUGGCUGUUUAUCAUAGUUGAUUAUAAUAUCAAAUAACCAUAUCCUUUUGUUCUUUAGUUAUAUCUUUCAAAUUAACCGUAAACCGACUUUGUAACUUCUGAUGUGAUUUACAUAUUUAAAUACUGUAUACUUCUUAGUUCUUACAUAUGACAGUUGAAAAUUUCUUGUUAAGUUUAAAUUCUAAUUGCCGACAAAAAAAAAAAAAAAAAAAAAGUUUAAAUUCUAAUUAACUAAAUGAUACUUAAUUAGUAUAAGAUGUAGAGAAUUAAUUAAUGAGUAGAAGAAAAGGGUUAAGAUUAGCUUAAUCUGCCCCCACUAACUUUAAAUGAGUGUGAAAGGAACCAACAAAUUUUAUCUACCAAGGCAAAACAAUUUAAUAACAUUUUUUUCAUUGGUUUGUAUUUCAUUUUCGUGUCCAGGCCAUGCAAACGGUAGAAGUUUCAAGACCAUUCUCGAAGGAUGGAUUGUUUUAGUUUUAGCAAUCAACAAUAUAAAUAUACUACUAGUAUUGUUUGUCGAUCAAUGGCGAUUCUAAACUAAGUAUUGUAUACUCUAAAGUCUAAACAUAAGUAACUGUUGUUAUAUAUAUAUUAUCAUCAUCAUCAUCCAGAUAUAUAAGUCAUACCUACCUAGGAACAUCAUCAUCUACAGAUUGGCUUUCCAGUAACUAUUACACAAUUGGUUAAGGUUAAAACAACUAUAAAUAAUGUUGCUAAUAAUUUGAAAACACCCCGUGAAUAUAGAGAAUGGUUAAGCUAUUAAAUCGCUAUCUCCGUAUAUAAUAAAAUGUAUCGAUUGGAGAAUGCUAAUAGUUAUUUGUCCCUUGGCAAUAUCCUGACCACUAGCUCGCAAAUGAUCAUAUCAUGUCCCCGAUGAAGACAGUUUUAACUUUAGCACAACUUUUCUUCUCUGAUGCAAUAAAGGCUAACUUAAUACAUCCAACCAUUUCGAUCAAUAAAUCAUUAAAAUUCAACUUUCAUAUAACUUCGUUCGUACCUAACAUUCAUAAAUAACGUCUCCAUCGUCACUUCUUUUUGGCCUUAUUAAACCAAUGAGUCAAAUAUUGUUUCCGAUUUAUACACAUUAGUCUUCUUAUAGUAUAACAAUUUUAUGCAAGUUGUAUGUGUGUUUUAUGAUGUGUUAACCACUAUAUUGUCACCUUUUAUGGUAAACGAAAAGCUAUUAUGACCCUUAUACGUAUAAACUUUUGGAAACACUAAAAGAUGGUUUUACAUGCAAACGGUAAACCAAAGACGACGAAUUCUCAAUGUUCGGCUUCUUCUUAUUAACAAAUAAAACCAAAUAUUAAAUGUUGCGUUAGAAUUUAAAACUUGCACCUAUUCGAACCAAAGACUAGCUAGUAUGAAUUGGAUUCAUUCUUCUCCCGACGUACGAUAUGCUUGGUUUUGAAAUGCGGUCCUGCAUGACUUAAUUAUAAUUUUAGUCGGUUUGUGUUACGUACUGAUAUUGGAUAUGUACUACUUUAAUAUCCUUGAGAUUCCUUGCACAUCUCAUGUUUUGGAACGAACCACGAGUUGAUAAGGUUCAUCUCAAGAUGAUAUCUCAUACACAAAUUAUUUUAUAUUAGAUAUGUUUAAAAACAGUUUUAGAGUAGUUCAUUUUCAUUACCGUGGUAGAUGAUUUCCAUGAAGAAAACAGAGACAGUUUAAUUAGGAUAUAUUAUUAUAUUUUCAUUAAUGAUCACUUGAAAAUUACACAUCAACAAAAGUUACGAUACAAAAUUAUACCUAUAGUAUAGAAGAAAUAAACCAACCAACCAACCAAUCCACGCCUCUCAAAAACCGGUUCUAUAACCGGCCAAUCCAGCCGGUUUAGAUUACCGGACUCGGAAGUUUCCGUGCUUUCGUAGUUUACAGAUUUGUCAUAUCUACCAUUCUCUCCCUAUAUUUUUUAGUUAUUUACAUUUUCCUCCCCACUCAUUUUUUUUCCACUCACAUGACAGAACACCCAUUUGGAUUCUCGUCGCUAAACAACUCUGGCGCACGCAUGUGACCAUAAGGAUCUGCGUAGCCUUGGUGGUUCAUAUAUGGUUGUGGUGGUGCUUCUUGUCCAUAACCUUGACCGUAACCUUGGUUCGCAUACGAUUCUUGUACGUAUCCUUGGUUCGUAUACGGUUCUUGUACAUAAGACUGAGACGAUUGUCCUUGCAUCAUGUAAUGCUGCUGUUGACCGUAUACUUGUCCUGGUGGGUAAUAAUACAUGGGCUGUGGAGGAUAACCGUAACCGUUAUACUCCGAUUUCUUCACAUCCACCAUAGCACCACCGUCUCCUCCGCCGACAGCAACUUCUUUCUUCUUUUCACCACCACCGUCAACUUUCUUUUCUGCGACAUCUUUAAUAUCUUUCUUCUCACCAGCACCUUUGUCCUUCUUAUCCCCACCGGCCGGAGCCGCUGCAGCUGCUGCUCCGUCGUCCUUUUUCGCUGGAACUACUUCGACAGUACGUUUAAGCUUCUCCGUAAGAUAAGGAGUGAGCUGUUUCACGUCGAUAAUCCCCUUAACUGUAACCAAAUCCUUGGCGCUAUCAAUGGAGACCGAGUUAACCCCUGUAAAGGGUAAAAUUAAAACGUUAAUUUGAUUAACAUGUUAAGUGCGUAAAAUAGAAUAAAUUAAGCUAAGAGAUUAGGCUAACCACUUCUUAGCUAACCAUAUGAUAUUUAUUCAGUAAAAUAAUAAAUAAGCUACCAAUAGGUAGUUGAGUUCAACCUAAUUUUUUAAUAGAUUUGUUUUUUUCUUUUUUUUUGUGUGUGUUCUGCUUCCGUUAUCUUCAAAUCACCAACCGGAUCAAUUUCUUUUAUUUUAAAGAACGUUUGAAAAUUGGGGGAUUAAGGAAGGAACAGAUAAACAUACCUUUAAUUUUGUUGACUAUUCUUUUGAUUUUGAUUUCGCAACCUUCACAGUGUAACUUGGUCUUCAAAACCACAGUACUCUGUAAAAACACAUCAAAGGAAAAUUUACAUUAGAAAACAAAUUAUCAUAAACGGGGAAAGUCAUAAAAAAUAUUUGGAUAUGAACGAGUGUAAAUACGGGAAAGUUUGGAAGUGGACACACACACGUUACAGACCACAAAACAAAAGGCACUGACGUAUGAAACUUUUAUUAUAUAGUUUUCGCUAUCUGACUUUAUUUUUAAAAAAUUGUCGUUUAUAAUAAAAGUUUUGUUAAUUACCUCUUUUGGUGGUGGUGGGGGAGAAGCUUUCUUCUCUCCUUCCUCUUUCUUCUUCUCUUCCUUUUUCUCCUCCGCGGCUGGUUUCUUCUCUGCCGGUUUCUCCUCGGCCGCGGCAGGCUUCUUCUCACCGCCUGAAGGAGGAGUCUCUUUCUUCGGCGGCGGCGCUACCAAAGAGACGAGUUCGACUGGCCUCUUGACUUUGUCGGCAACUUUAUCACGAACCGCCACUGGAUCUACGUUUCCGAUCACCGUCAAUUUGUUAGCGUUAUAAUCAAUCUUCACAUCUUCAACACCUAAAAUCAUUAUACAAAAAAAAGUCGCGGUUUAGGGUUUUUCAAAAUUCGAAGCAAUCUCAAAAUAAAAAUUGGGGAAUUGAAUGAUUUGGUUUUAUUAAAUAAAAAUUACCUUUGAAAUGUUUGAAGAUACGUUUGAUUUUCUUGCCGCAACCUUCACAAUGCAUAUCAAGCUUCAUAACGACGGUGGUGACACCGCCAUCGGUGGUGGUAGGCUUCUUCUCUCCUUGAGGCUUCGUCGCCGUUUCUUCCUUUUUCUGCAAAAUCGUUAAAAGAGAAAUCCAAGUCAAUCCCGCGUUCGUUACAGAGAUCGAGAAAGAUCAGAGAGAUCGAAGAAUAAGAAGUGACUAACCUCACCCAUGUAGUUAGUAAUAGUAGAGAAUCAGAUAAAUUCCCUUUUUUAUGGAAGAAUUUUGAAUAUACACUCCUGGAAAAAAGUACCCACAGAGAGAAUAUAUAUUUUGUUCUGGUUUGGAGAAUAAGGAAAAGGGGAGUAUGAGGGAUAUAUAUAGAACCUUUUUUUUUUUUUUUUUUUUUAAAUGUGUGUGUAUGAUGAAAUUAGUAGUGAUGGUGAUGAUAUAAGAUUUUUAUAUCACAUAAUAAUGAUGUGUAUGUGUUUUAUAUACAAAAGCACGAGGUCAGGAUUAGUACGCGGUUUUUCCUUUUUUUAUGCCGUCGAAUUGGACCUCAUCAUUUAUAAGGGCCCAUUUACGACGACGCUAUACGACGACGUUUUCUACUUGUUUUUCAUUUCUUUUCUUUUCUCAUCCAAUUAAUGACGGUUGUAAAACUUCUUUCUCUUAACCGGAACUGAUACGAAUUGAGGAUACUGUUCUCGGCCAAUUGGAUUUGACUUUAAGCCGGGUAUGAGUCAAAACUUGUUUUGCCUUCACUUUUGUACUACGUACCAUGCUUUUUAUGUUGAAGAACUGUUAGUGAUUUUUUAUUUAAUUUUUGUUGAUGAGAUUACUGUUAUACUUUUAUUCGAACUAUCUCUCUCUAUACCGCGCUCACGUUAACGAAUUCGGCUUGGUUUGAUUUUAUUUGGUUAUAGUUUCUUAAUUUUGUCACGUUUAACCGAAAUCGAAUCAAACCCACUGAGUACUAUUUAAUCGAACAACUAGAGGAACCGUGUUUUGUGCCAUUAGCCCAUUACUAAUGAAGGGAGAAUGCUAGCAAAAAUGGAAAUUUUGGGUAAAAGGGAAAAAUGGAAAUUUUGGGUAAAAGGGAAAAAUGGAAGUUUUGGGAAAAUGGGAACCUCGACUCCAGUGGCGGUACCUUAAGGGGGUUCUAGGGUUUUGGUUAGCCGUCUAGGGUUUUCAAUUCCAAACAAUGUCUCAGCUUUUGUGUCGAAUCGUUAAGCUCUCCUCAGCUGCAGUGAAGAAGUAGAGACUCUGUUUCAGUGAAUUGCGGUCUUUUUCCACGGCGGCGACGCCGUAUCUGCUUUUCGACAACACUAACUACAGGAGGGCGAAGACAGCGUCUGGUGGAUGGUGGACAGCGUCUGGUGGAUCAUAGAUACAGCUUAAGGACAAGUAUUAAUUGUUGCAGAAACAUUGUGUAAAUAGGGAAAGAAUGUAAGAUUGAGACAUCGAGAGAUACUGCUGUUGCUUUUAUUGGAAUACAAACCAAUAUCCCACAUCGGAAGAUUAGAAAGAGAAGUUUCUAAUAUAUAAGUUAAGUCCAACUCCAAUUAGUAUGAGGCCUUUUGGGAAAGAGCCCAACAAAUCCUUGCGGGCUUGAGUGAUAAGCCCAAAGCGGACAAUAUCAUACUAAUGGAAAGUUGGCUUGGUUAUAGAGAUUCCAACAAUUGGUAUCAGAGCCUGGUUAAGAUUGUGGACCUAGGGGAAUGGAUAUUGGUUUGAGGGGAGUAUUGGAAUACAAACCAAUAUCCCACAUCGGAAGAUUAGAAAGAGAAGUUUCUAAUACAUAAGUUAAGUCCAACUCCAAUUAGUAUGAGGCCUUUUGGGAAAGAGCCCAACAAAUCCGUGCGGGCUUGAGUGAUAAGCCCAAAGCGGACAAUAUCAUACUAAUGGAAAGUUGGCUUGGUUAUAGAGAUUCCAACAACUUUUGUGCUUGUUCUGAUCACUUGAAUUUUUGUGAAUGACACCACAUAUGUUUUACAAACUUUGCCAUGCGUAGAGAUGUAUCUACCCUCAUGAGUUGAUAAAUCAUUUGUUUUGUUGUCUCUUAAUAUAUUGCCUUUAAGGUGUGACGCGUUCUCGGACAAAGGAGAAGUGGAUCAAUCAGAUCCUACUGCCUCUCGCAGGAGCAAGCCUAGAGCCUUUGUGGUGUUUAGGCAAGACCCCGAGCAAAGGAUGUCUUGUUACACUGAAGACAUUGGUGAUCUCUGCAUUUUCCUAGGCAAGAACGAGGCCUUUUGCGUCUCUGCAACCGAAUAUCCUGGACUUCGCCCUAAUUCCGUCUACUACACACGCAUGGAGUCGAGGUUCGGUUUCUAUGACCUCUCCGACAACACUCUCCAUGAUGUCUUAGAUCAGCCACCUUCUUCCUUUUUAAAGCUCUGGCUUGCUCCUUUACAGUGAUUUUAUUAUAAGCUUCUGUGUGGCUUUUAAACUCUUGUUGUAACUCUUCGGUGUUGUGAUAUGCGCGCAUAUGCCCUUCCUUUUAAUUUUAUACUAUCUUAUUAUUUAUUUCGGUGUUUUUGACUUUUGUCUGUGCGUGUAUUCUAUCUAUGUAAUGAUAUUGAACUUACUCCAUAAUCCCACUCCGCGCGAAGAUCCUUUCCCCUGCUCUUCACUCUCUCUCAAAAGAACUCUGCAAAAUCAAGGAAACAUGUCGAUCAUAACCAAUUAAUAUCAUCAACACAGGGGCCAAACUGUUGAUUUGGUAUUGGAAUACUUCAUGAAGAAAUUAUUUUUUGAUUACAUGAUUAGUUGUACAAAUGGUUCUGAAACUCAUAAUAUAAAGAGAUGGGGAAAGAGACAAAAAAAAAAAAAUAGAAGAAGUUUAAAACACAAAAGAAAAAAUCAUUAUGUAAUGUAAUGUGCCUUUCGUGAACCUUAAGUUUCCUUCUCAAACGAAUGAACGAUCUUAGGAAUUUAGAUCUCUUCGUCUCCAAGUUAUGUUUAUAUAGCACAUGCAAAACUAAAACACCAAAAUGAGUAAAUUAAUUUUAAGCUAUAAUUAUCCAUUUAUCAAAACUCAUAUCAAAUGUGAUUGACGAUUGGUAUUAACAUAUUGACGAUUGGUAUUAACAUAGUAUUAUUUUAACUUUUGUUUACUCCAUUAUCAUAUACAUUAUGUGCUUCUUCAUGCUCAUUAAAGCCAUUUUUUCCUUUCAAUAUAUAUUUUUUCGAAAAAAAUAAAGAAGAAGAAGAAGAUAAUUUUAAGUAAGUAUUUUGCAAAAACAAAACAAGAAAAGAUAAUUCCAGUAUUAUUUAUUCUGAUUAACAAAAGACCUAAACGUCUCAAAAGAGAAUUAAUCUUUUGGUAAAAUAAAAAUAAAAAAACAAAAAAAGUAAAAGGAAAUUAUCUUCUUUACUGCUUUUUUAUAUUUAUUCUAUUUUUUCACCUAUGAGUCAGUUUUGGUCCCUCUCGCAUCGUGGACAUCUUUUCAUCAUCGCACAAAUAACAAACCUUCCAACUCCGAUCGACUUAUCUCUCUCCUUCUCCGGCGAAAUCUCUAACCUCUCCGCCGCGAAAUCGCAGUUUCAGAGAAGUACCACACUAACGGAUCAAAUGGUGAUCCGCCAUUACUGAAGCUUCUAAUAUCCCUUUUAUAUCCCAAAGAACCAAGUCGGAUUUUAAGGUCAGUACUCAUCUGUGUUUCCUCGUCAAAAUCAAUAAGGUUCCGGAACAGAUUUGAACAAAAUAUUUCUUCUUUUAUUGUUGAAUUAUCCAGUAGCGCUUUAUGCGGUAGUUCGUUUAGGUGAAGAAGAAUGACAACAGGGUCUAAUUCUAAUCACAACAACCAUGAGGAUGGUUCUGGUAAAAGCAACAGCAAUAAUAAUAAUAACCCUAGUACGAGGUCUUGGGGCACGGCGGUUUCUGGUCAAUCUGUGUCUACUAGCGGAAGUAUGGGAUCUCCGUCGAGCCGGAGUGAGCUGGCAAUCACCGUCGCUACAUCUGCUAGCGACAGUACUUUUCUACGCCUGAACAAUUUGGACAUUCAAGGUGACGAUGCUGCCUCCCAAGGAGCUUCCGGGUAAGUAAAACCACCUCAAUUCUGUGAUUUGGUAAAGCUUUAUUGUGGUGUUGGGUUUAGCGAUUUAGGGUUUCAUUCUAUUGCAAUGGCUUAACCUUGUGGAAGCUGAACCAGUAGAUAUAAUAAGAAUGAUGUGUGGAUCAUACUUGUACCAGCUUGAAUUUUGACUCUCCUGAUAUGUAUUGUUUGGAUACAUUGCUAUUGCUUGAAGUUUGCCUAAAAUCUUCCACUAAUCUGUCUAUUUGUAUAAUAAACCUGUCCCAGUAUCCUUGUUGGGACAAAGAACACUUUUUAGGCCACUGUGUUUGUGUGUUAAUUGUUACAUUUUUUCUGUAUAGUUCAAUUUGAUCAUUAAGCUAUUAACAGUGGUAAGAAGAAGAAGAGGGGACAACGUGCGGCUGGGCCAGAUAAGAGUGGAAGAGGGCUACGGCAAUUUAGCAUGAAAGGUUGUUAUAUCUUAUCUCUGCCUCUUUUCUGCUUCCAUCUAAAUGUCUUUGAAGUUUCUAGCUACGAAUUGUGGAUAAUGCCUCCUAAUUUUGGUUAUACUAUUAACUGAUAUUUUUUUGUUCUUCUGGCUUCCUCUCAGUUUGUGAAAAGGUGGAAAGCAAAGGAAGGACAACUUACAAUGAGGUACGGUAGUUUCCUUAAAACAGAAAGCUUCACAAUAUGUCUGCCUUACAAGAUCCGUUAACUUCCGUUUACGUUAUCUCAUUUGAAACUACUUUCUUUUGCUUAUACAUUUGUCAAGAUCACAAAGUGGAAUAUCAAUUUGACUCAUGAGAAGUAUUGCACACGUGUCGCUCUGCAAAACGGUAUCUGACAGCUUUAAGUACUUUCAGGUUGCAGACGAGCUUGUUGCUGAAUUUGCACUCCCAAAUAACGAUGGAACAUCCCCAGAUCAGGUAUGCGUUUCUUCUCUAGUUUAUUACUCAAACAUGUGCGAUACUUGUUGUAAACUCUGAUAAAAUUAUAUCACAACGUUUUACCAGCAACAGUAUGAUGAGAAGAACAUAAGACGAAGAGUAUAUGAUGCUUUAAACGUCCUCAUGGCUAUGGAUAUAAUAUCCAAAGAUAAAAAAGAGAUUCAGUGGAGAGGUCUUCCUCGGACAAGCUUAAGUGACAUUGAAGAAUUAAAGGUUUACACCAAAUAUGCUGUUUGCCCAUGUUCGAAAGCUCGUUCAGAGAAUAUUCCUUAUUUGAGUUCAUUUUUGUUUUGCAGACCGAACGACUCUCUCUUAGGAACAGGAUUGAGAAGAAAACUACAUAUUCCCAAGAACUGGAAGAACAAGUAAUGGACACAAAAAAAACUCUGGGCCUAUAUGCUUGAUCUUAUUGUUACUUUUAUCAUAGAUCCUUACAUGCUUCUUCUUUCCUCUCUGUAUGUCUGAAAGUACGUAGGCCUUCAGAAUCUGAUACAGAGAAAUGAGCACUUGUAUAGCUCAGGAAAUGCUCCCAGUGGCGGUGUUGCUCUUCCUUUUAUCCUUGUCCAGGUAACUUUACCAACAGCUUCAUAGGAUCCUAGAUUAAUCCACAAGUAAAUCUCUAGAACAUGAAAAAAUGCUCCUUUUCAUCGUAUCGGGUCCUUUAUCGUCUGAUUGUUGUUUGUUUCUCUGCACCAGACUCGUCCUCAUGCAACAGUAGAAGUGGAAAUAUCAGAAGAUAUGCAGCUCGUGCAUUUUGAUUUCAACACGUAAAAAUCAAACACCAACUUUGAUCUCUUUUCAGCUAAAUUCUCUACUAUAUUGAUUACUGACACUGCUACAAUUUUGCAGCACACCAUUCGAGCUCCACGACGACAAUUUUGUCCUCAAGACUAUGCAGUUUUGCAAUCAACCGCCGCAACAACCAAACGGUCACAACAGCCAGAUAUUAGCGCUGGAAAACACUAACGAAGUCCCCAGCGCUGGUCCAACGACGCAGCCGGAUAUGUACCAGUCUCAUCUUCAACCGCAACAACAUCAGCUACAAAUCAUUCCUACGCCUGUGACUAACGAAGUUGCUUCAGCUACUGAUACUGAUCCAGUGGUAUUACCGUCUCACUCUCACCCAGAGAUAAUGAACUCCAUCGUGAAGCCGGAGAACUGAAACACGUAUGAAGGCCAUUGUACAAUUUCUGUAAAACUGUAAAGUAGUCUUGAAAAACUACCUGGUUUUUUUUGUAAUGAUUAGCCGGUUUAGCGGUAUAUUUGUACCGGUGUUCGGUAUUAGUAAUACCGAGUCUAAGAUUAUUUCUCGGGUUUAGCGAUUUUAACAAUCUUUGCCAUAGGAAAAAAAACAACUUUGUAUGGGAUCGUGUAGAAAUGAAUUUUCUUAACCGUUUGGAAAUUGCAAAAUUCGAUUAGUCGAUGUUUGGGUUUAGUUAUAAACCGAAACCUUGUAAUGGUUCGAGAUUAUAACCGUAUGGGAUUAUGGAAGAUGGCGAAGAAAUUAGUUAAAUAGAUUCCCGGUUAUGUGAAACCGAAAUCCAAUAAUCAAUCAUAUGAUUAGAGAGACAUAUAUUGUUGUGUUGUUUCAUGGUAUUCGAAUCUCUCACUGAGUCGUCAUCUUAAUAAAUGCUGGGAACUUGAGCAAGUCCGGCCAUGGCGACCAUUUCUCAUAUACCUUUCUCUAUGUCCUUCCCGUCUUUCGAAUUUCGGAAACCAUCGUUCUAUUAUCAUCGUCAUCAGCAACCUCAACUUUUCGUUUCGUACUUGAAUUCCACGAAGAAGCAUGGUUUUGUCUGUUUCGCUUGUUCCAUCAAACCAACCAGGUUCGAAAUUUCUCCUGUCUUUUUAGUUUUUUGCUUCGAUCUGUGGAAGAAAUUGACGUACUUUGGGUGUCAAUUUCAGUUACUGUAUUGGACUGUGUUGAAUUCGAUCGAGUGUUUUGCAGAGUUCGUAAGAGAGUGAAGAGCAAUGAGGAGCUUCGGAGUGAGAUUACGGAGUUCGUUGCUUCGGCUGGUCUUCCCGAAGGUCACGUGCCGUCCAUGAAGGAGCUCUCGGCACAUGGAAGGUUCCAAAUUCGAAUUUUGCAGUUUUUGUUAAAUUUCUAGCAGUCUGUAAUGUUGAUCAGUUGGUAGGCUCGUUGAAUCUCUCUAAAAGUCUUCUGAUUUUUAUGGAUUCCUUCUGAAAUCUCUUGAUUUAAUUUAGUUUUGGUCGUGGGAACAUUUUUUGUAGAGUUGAUCUAGCCAACAUUGUCCGACGAAGGGGAUAUAAGUUUAUCAAGGAACUUCUUGCAAAUUCAGAUGUGGAAGAAGACUCUAUAGAGGUAGUCCCUGAGAAAAACGCGAGCGUGGAAACAAGUGCAGGUCACAUUUCUUUGGAAGAUUCGAUAACAGGUCAACACAUAAUCAACAAACAGAUAAGAAUGUUAUUAUAAGAUAAUCUGAUAUAUUUUCUGGUGUAGAAGGUCAGGGCGAAGGAGCACUGAAUGUGGUUGAUGCAAUCUUGUCUUUUGAACUACCUUCGAGCAGUGAAAUAUACUUAACUGCAACAGAUGGAAGAAUGCCUCUUGAUCAGGGAAAAGAUCUAAAUGAUGUUGUCACAAAUUCAAGUACCGAGGCUGAAGAACACGGAAAUUUGAGUAAAAAUGAAUCGUCAUUGGCUGGAUUUUUGAGCAUGGAAAACUCCCUUUCUAACUUGGGUGACAAUGAUCAUUCAGGAGAUAUUACAGAAAACAAUUUGAAGAUUGAGAGCGUGGAGCUUAAUAAUAGAGCUGCCAUUGAAAACUCAUCUUCUGAAGCUUCAAUAUCUGCAAACCAUUCUCUAGUUUUAGAUGAUACUUCAAGCCGCUGUCCCGACAUAGAAGCUGACAAUGUUUUGAUGACAGAGGAUGGGGAGGUCAAUUAUGUGGAGAAAGAUACCUAUGGCCAUUACACCAGUCCUACCUAUGAUCACUACACCAGUCCUACCUAUAAUCAUUACACUAGUCCAGAUCCCAGUUACAUCAAACAUGUUGACAUUGCUACUGAAUCCUUGCCUCUUUUGACCUCGGAAAACACCAUGUCAAGUGCAGAGAAUUUUCAGAGUCAGCAGAUUGAUGAUAUGGUUGGAAAUAGUUCUGGUCGUGUUGAUGAUAGCUUAGUUGAGUCUGAGGAUAAGGAUUGGAUGUUAGGAUUUUCUUCUCAGACUUCAAGCAUAGAAGAAAAAACAACCAGAUUUAUUCAGAAUGGAUACUUGGAUACAGGUGAUGGUAAUUUUGAUCUUCUGAAGCCUAUAUGUGGCAUGUCGGAUUGAUAUCUUCAUUAUUCAUGCAUGUCUCUGUAGUAAAACUUUACCUCCGUGGUGAAAUAGUUAAUUGAUUGUUGGAAUCUGUUUCAGAUGAGGAAAAUGACAUACCCAAUGGAAGCUGUCCUGAAACUGAAGAAAGUGCAGAGACAACCAUAGGAGACAGUCAUGGUGGUAAGAGAAGUGUAAGUACUCCACCAAAUGGAAGUGCCCUAGCAUUGGAGGAGUUUACGUAUGCUACAGAAGUUAAUAGCUCUGACAGGUGAGUCUAACCAUGAAGGUCAAGUCUGGUGCUUUUGAUCAUUAUUUGCAUUUAAUAAUGAUCAUGGAUAGUAAAUCCAAGCUUAAGACAUUAGGUGUAUCUCAAGAAAUUGGUAUUGUUCAGAUUGUUUUUGCAUUAAAAGAACAUUAUAUCGUUAGUCGAUUAUUGGAAGUCACGCCAUACUUUUAUAUCAUUAGAACUUGAGUGAUGCUGGUGUACAUUGAUUGGACACCAGUCUUGACUGAAAGCCUGGAUUAGCUAUCCUAGAAGUUUUUCUCAUGUUCAUUUCUAUGUUUCACUUCAAUAUCUCUGACUUUUAAACUUUUAUUUACAGGAAUAGUGAUCAGAGAGAUGGGAGUGCUGACAUGGAUACGGAUCCACAUGAUGAGGUCUUGAAAGAUCCUUCUCACUAACCUCUUCAAAUUGAUCUGAAGUCAUUGCACUUUAACUUUUUUUUGUAUCCAUGCUCAUAGAACCUUGUUCUAAAAUGAUACAGACCAGGAAACGGGAAAAUCAGGUUGAAAUUACUCGGCUGAGGUCCAUGCUGGUACAUUGAUUGCUUUCUCUAAAUAUGUGGACCCUAUAAAAAUGAUUUUUGCUAACUAACUUUGUUGGUAAUCUAUUGCAUGGCUAGCUUCAAAAAGAGCUGGAGCUGUCAAAGUUGAAGGAGCAGAUUGAAAAGGAAAAGGUAACCUACUCUCUCGGAACAUAUUGUACAUACUACAUAGGUAUCCAUCAACGAAAAUGUUGAAGAGGUACAUGAAUGGUGGAUUCUACACAUCUGACUAUGCUUGGAUGAUACUCGACUUGAUAUUUAUCUAGUCUCAUGUAAAGGCUGAUACUUGUUUGUGUUCCUAAUCUCCAAUUUCCUGGGUUCAGCUGUCUCUAUCAGUUCUCCAAAGACAGGCUGAAACAGAGAUCCAAAAGGCCCAAACGCUUAUCGCAGAGAAGGAAGUUGAAUUGCAAGAAGCUGAGGAAAGUCUUUCAGGAUUGCAAGAGGUAACUUAAUUUUACUUCAUAGUUAAUUGUUUUAUCAUGGUUCCAAUGUAGACAAACAAGUAUCAAUACAAUCCCAGAGCCAGAGGCCUCACUGCACUCUUACCACUGAAAGCCAAGAUUCUUAAAAGUAAUUUUGCACUUCAGGUUGUGAUUGAAUAUAGCGGAGAUGGUAAUGUUGUGGAAGUGACUGGUAGCUUCAAUGGGUGGCAACACCGAGUGGGAAUGGAACUACAAGCAUCCAAGUCAAUGGGGUUAGUAUUUGUCCUGAAACUCUCUACUUUUAUUGAAUUGUCUUCUAAUGAUGAACAUGUGAAGGUCUCUUUUAAUAUAUGGGUAAUGUUGCUUGCAUAAAUAUGCCUUCAAAUUACAAUCAUAAUCCGUUAAAUUCAGAUUCUACCUGUUUAAUUUUGUGCAGGAAACAGAAAUGCUGGUCAACAUUACUAUGGUUAUAUCCCGGUACAUAUGAGAUAAAGUUCAUCGUGGACGAGCAAUGGAUAACGGAUCCUCAGAGAGAUUCGGUUACAAGAGGACACAUCACAAACAACAUUCUCAAAGUAGACAGCUGAUGAUUUCUUGCUUUUCUUCGAGUUGAAAUUACUUUACACGAGCGGAGUGGGCUUCAACAGGUGAAAGGAACAGUGCAAAUCGUUUCAAAGUUUUGUUAGCCUCUUCAAUUAUUUCAAGUCAUAUAACGACGUUUUGCUUUUCUUCUGAAGCCUUAGGGGUAGUAGACUUUGUACAAAACUGUAAUUUCAGGUAAAUGAUUAAAUAAUACAUGAUUAUGUAUCAAGGGUUCAAGUCCCUUUAGAAUGCAACAUAAGCAUAAUUCUUAAACCUUUCAAGAGAAAAUGUGUAAAAGCAGAACCCUUAUGGGUUACUUUCCUACAAAUUUCAUUAUUUAGAGUUGAUAACAGAUAAGACACUGAAUUUAAAGGUUUUGAUAAAUAUGUUUUUGCCACAAUAACUGCUUCAGAUCCUUAGAAGUGUCAGAUUCUGAUCCUACCCUCUCCAGUUACUUCCUCUCAGGUUCUGUGACGGAACAUGGAAGCCACUCAAGUAGACCAUUUGAAGCUGCCUCUCAUGCUCGACCUGUACUCAAACUUGUGUCUAUUUGAUUUCUACUAACACAUCUUUCUUGAAUUUCUUGCAUAGUGCUUGUGCAGCUAAGUCAAUCCGUGCAUUAUCCUGUAAAAAAAACUUGUGAGCCUCGAAAAAUGAGGAAAGAAAUGAAACCAGACCUUGUGUGUUUGUACCUUCCCCUUUAAGCAGAUGAUGAUGGGACCUUGUCUAGAUUUUCGGUAACACCCUGUGAAAAAGAUUGCGGUUAAAAACAGAGACUUUGGAUGCUCCUUAGUCCUUACAGUUAAAUAAUAUUAGACAGGUCAAAGAUUUAAUACCAAGAUAUAUAUCUGGGAAUUCGAGUCCAAGUUUGGACAGAGGUUCUGCAACUUCAACCUGCAUUUUGAUAGUGAAAACUUAAGCAGCUCGAAGAAAGCACAGAUCUAUCAACAGCUAGGUUCAAACAAUGAUGUUUGCAUGAAAUAGUGGAAAAUAUUUGUUUAAUCAGUUGAAAGCAAGCCAUGGGAAAAGAAAAACAUACAUCUGUUAAAGAUGUCAUCAGGCGCCUUGACGAAUAUUCUAGGAGUGAAGAACCUCCACCCAAUUUAGUAAGUUCCGUCAGACAUUCCCACUCUUUCUCAAGCUCCUCAGUGUUUGUAGCAGCAAGAACAAUCACAUUGCGGCACUUGAUCUACACAAAUUUACCCGACGAUCAAAUGGGUAAGAAAAUAAUGCUGAAACAUUAUAACUUUGAAUUUGGUUCUGAAAGGACAUACCAAUGGCACUGAAAGCUUUUCAUGAUGCAGUAGUUCAGUAAUCCCUUCUGGUAACUGAGCCAUCUGAAAUGUGAGAAAGCAACAAAUAUUAUUUCUUUCUGGAUAUUACGCAAAUCAUUAGCAUGGAGUUAACCCCACCAACAUAUACACAGAAAUGAUUCUGCUCCUGUUUAGUUUUAGCUUAUCUUUUCUGAAGAUAUGUAGAUCUAUAAAAACUUUUAUUUUCAAGACCGAACUCACCUCAUUCCUGUCACCUGUGCACUGCUCGCUUAUAAGAUGCCUAAGGUAUUCCUCAAACUCUUCAUCAGGUGCCUGAAUAAAUGUGCAUCAUGAGCCUCUCACAUUAGAACUGAGUGGUGAUUUUUUUUUUUUUUCAUUGAGAUGCUAAGGCAAAUAUCUUAACCAUCAAAGAGAAACGCACCAGGCGAACUCCAAAUGCCUUAGCAACACCAGCCAAAGUAACAUCUGAAUGCAAAGGACCAACUCCUCCAUAUAUAAAUACCUUCAAAAGCAUCAAUCAGAGGAAAUCUGUCAGUCACAUCUUCCACAACGAAAUUUCUAUUUGACUUUGAUUUUUGGUUUUAUGAUAAUCUUUUUAAUGUACUUACCAGAUCACUCGUAGACCUUUGGCGAUCAACUUCCUCGGAUACAGAAUCUAUCUAAUUAAAGAAACACAGUGAAACAAUAAUAGAAAUUAAUAAACGGACUGAAGAAAAAAUUUACAUUCUCUAAUUAACAUGUUCUAUGGGUGAAAAACUGAUGCAACAAAGACAAUGCGUAAAUCUCACUCACAUCAUUCCGAAGAACAGUGGUUUGCUGCACCGACCAACCGACAGAAGUCAACUUCUUACACAAAGACAAUCCUAAUUGAUCCUCAACAGUGCCAGACCUGAGCUAUGGAACAGAUAAAUGGGUCGGAAGAACUUCAUUGGACCUAGUAGAUAAGUGACCAAGCAGGACCCUUUUCAACACGUGGUUGGCCUAAAUCUAAUGUCAUUGAUUGAUAUAUAUCUAGCAUAAUGUUCUCUUAACAUAAAUAUCUUUAAAAACAGAGCCUAGUCUAAGAAUUAAUGACUUACAGAAUCUCAUCACCGACCGCAAUUACUGAGGCCAAAAGCACCUCGUGUUUCUGUGAUUCGGUUUCUAUGUCAUUUUUGAGUGAAGCAAUUUUCUUGACUCUCCCUGCCCUUUCUAAUCUCCCAUCAGAAAGUAGAUAAGCGGGUUUGAAUUUCUCUUUACUGCUAGUGUCGUUAACAGACAAUAAUGAGUUGGGAACAGUAUCAUGAAUACUCCCAAUUGAUGUAUAUCUGUAUAUUCAGAAAAGAGACAAAAUAUAAGACGAAUUGGUCAAAAAUGAAAAAAUCUUGUUAAAGUGAAUCUGUUGAGAGGACUUUUACCCCUGGUCAUAAAGGCUGCAAUACUUGACCUUGCAAGUUAGGAGAAAUGCCCAAACAUCUCUGCACAAGAAAAGUUAAUAAAAAAAAUCAGAAUAAAUCAAAUGAGAAUAAGAGAUCACAGCACAGUAAAGAAGCUUGAGUUUUCAAAUUUCCAAAGACUUUAUUUGGGUUACACAAUCAUAUUAUGGCUGUACAUCUUACAGGACCACCAAAGCUGAAAGUUUGAUAGACUUUAUCAUUAUAAAAAAUCUAAUAUCAGUAAAAUUGAGCUUAAGAUUUUCUGUGUCACCCAUACCAAAACAUAAGUAAGAAUAAACCACCAAUCCAAUUUUACUGUACAUAUAACGGAUAAAAGCAAUAACAAUAUAUUAUUACAGAGAAAAAGAUACCUGUACGACCAAUCCAAUAUAGGAUUCACCCUCAUAAAGGGUGGCCAUCCAGGUGAACUAGGAGAGAAUUGUUCUUGACCAACCUGAUAAAAUUGAGUGAGAUGUAAUCAAUCACAACAAACACUUCUUUCACUAGUUUACAAAAUAUUUGCAUCUGAAUCUUAAGAUUAAAGAUUUGAAGUGAAGCUAACCGCAGUAGGAUCACCAAUUCGGACGCCAAGGAAGAUAGCUCUGAUAGGGUUAGCCUUUAAUAAUGCCUCCAACCCAGAUUUGAAAUCCUGGCGAAUGAUAUCAAGUUGCAGAUUGUAACUGCCCAUAUAAAAUAAGAUGAUUAGCUAACUGCACAAAGAAUAUCAUUCUGGAAGCAUAUGCAGUUCGAAAAUCUUUACCCGAAAUGCUAUCAUCUUUAGUUAGAAGAUAUAAAUAUGAGAAAGAAAAAUGAACACAGAGGAACAGUACUUUUCUUACGUUUGAGCUGCAUCAUAUGUAAAUGCAUUAAUUUCAGUGAAGGCAGAAGGGCUCUCAAAAUAUAUGGUCCGGACUGGAAAGCUUGAUAGACCUCCAUUAGAACAACUCUGCUCUUUCUUAUGCAAAAAAUAGCCAGCUCUAAGAAGGUGCAACAGUACCUAAAAUCAUGAUGAGAGUCAUUAUUAUUUACUUAGGAAACAGGGAAAAAAAGAAGAAGAAAAUAUCCAAAACGGAGACUUUCUGAAGGGAACAGUUGUAACUUACAGUAGAGUCUUUUCCUCCAUUGAAACUAAAGGCGACCUCUUCAAUACUGCAGAAGUCGACAAGCUCAAUAUUUUCAGGAAUCAGUAAAGUAAAUUUCAUUUAAUGAUCUUGAAAAUGAUCACUUUAUCUACAACCAUAGUGUAAUAUUUGGACAGCAUACACAAAGAUUGAACAUGACAAGUACACGGCAAACAAGAAAUGAAAAGAAAUCACUUUUCUAAAGGUACAAAACACUUGACAACACUUAUAACUGAUUAAAAAGACACCAAGAAGGGUUAGCAGCCAAGUGUAGUGAACUUGUAGUGGAAAACAAAGUCAAAUUUUCUUUCAACAAAUUCGACAAACCCAUGAGUCUUUACAAGAUCCUCACGUAGUCACACGUCAUAACUCAUCCAUAGAGGAUGAAGUUUUCCAUAAUGCCAUGGGAUAUGGUUAGAAUCUAGGCAGUUUAUCAAGAAUUACAUAAAAGCAAAAUCAUUGCCAAGAAUCUUUUCACUGAGAUCGUCAAAUUCCUUUCUAUUUUAGCAAAAUCCAGCAAAAAUCUCUCAACGUUCAACUCCUAAUAACAGCAUCACAUCAAAAUAGUAUAUUUUUUUUAUCAGAUUUUCAAAGUAAAAUGUUAAAUCUCCAGCAACAAAUGAAGAAAAUGAAUCUGAAGAUCGAGAAGUAAGAGUAAACCAAAGGAAGUGAGAAGAGUAAAUGAGAGAGGGACUGACGAGUAAAGAGCAAGAGCUCUUUUAAUGACGAAGAUGGCGUUAUUGUACUUGGUCUUCAACCUCUUAUCAUCGCUUUCCCCGAUCGCUUUGUCGAUCUCCAUCUCUCCUCACCUGGUAACACAAAAUGCAAAGAUCAUAAGAAACCCAAACAAGUAAUAAGGCCAAUGCUUUACAAUUCGGAUUGAGUAAGCCGUUGUUUGUGCAGAUUGAGUAAUCCACAGAUUUAGGAGCUUUUGGGACGAUAAUAAUAAAAGUUCUCACCUUUAUUCCGACGACUCGAGAAUCUCGUCGGAAGUAUUUACCCGAUUGCCGGAGAUGCAGAAGGAGAGAGAUAAAACACACAAAAACGAGAAAUUCGUUUUGGACUCUUAAGAGCAGAUUCUUCUUCUUCUUCUUCAAUUUUAUUUAUGGAUAUUUUCUUUUCUUUUCCUUAUGAAAGAAUUUUUCAAUUUUUUAUUGCCACACCCAAUUUAUCUAAAACCCACCAAAAUAAAUUCUGAAAAAAAAUCAGAGAGAUAACAACUGACAAUAAAAUUUAUAAAAAAAAUAAUUGAAUAUGAAAAAACAGAGAAGAAAGACAAAAAAGCUUUGGUCAUUCAAGAUUUUCUUAUUUGCAUAAUUUUGAAGAAAAUAAUAAUAAAUAUAAAAUAAAUUUUCCUUGCAAAAAUAAACUCAGUUAAUGGAAAAACCAUGGAUGCAUACUAAAUUAUAUCAUCAUUUCUAUUGGGAGGACAAAUUUUGAACUUUUGUUUAGAAGCAAUACAAGGAUUAUGAAAUAAAAAUUUAAUGAAAUGCUAUCUACGUUGCUUGUCAACCAAAUUUUGUUCAAAUACAUUGAACCUAAUAAACCAAUGGUGGUUAUUUUAUUAUUAGCUCAGAUCAAAUACAAAUGUUCAGGUUUUUGUCGACGAUGUUAACUAUUAUAAUUACGUUACAGCAAAAUAAAAAAACUGUAAUACCAAAACGUCAUUCAGAAUCUAGUACACACAUUUGACCGACUAAUCUUAGUUAUCAUAAAAUUAUAUUCCCUAAAUAAUAAUACGAUUUUUUUUUUUUUUUUAAGUUACAACUUUUGUUAAGCUUCGUUUUCGUAGAAUGGAUUCGUCACGGUCAUCGAUUUCCUUUUCUUUUACUUUUCUAUGGGUUAUCUAAGUGAGUGCGUUUCGACACCUAAAACACACAAUCGCAAUCACCAAACGCAGUAUCACGAUCAUACACGUUUUCUUUGCCUAACUAUUGUAAAUCCCAAGUUCAUCUCAGCCGUUUCUUUUAAUGCCAACGACACUAAAAUGAUUACUCAAGAAUAUUUUGCACUGCACAAAAUAUCACAUGGUAAACAUCAUUAGAUCAACCAAAUGGCAUCUUUAUGUUGGUCGAACUCUUAUAAGCAUUAGAUAAUUCAAACAGGAGCAUGAGCCUUCCUUAGUUUUAGGUGAAAGUGUCAUGGAAGAGAAUCUCAAAAACACCUAAUCAAAGUUUAGUUAUAUAUUCAUGGUAUGUCAAUGAAAAACCAGAGUUUCUUCUAAAGACAUUGGAAUUUGAUCAUUAGAGCCUGCAACUAAAUUCUGUACCAAGAAUACUGAGAAUCCCCUCUCGUUGUUACCUACUCGAAAAGACCAUCCCCGUGCCAAAUAUCAAACAGAAAAUCCACCAUUUCCUGCAAAUUAAAGAAGAUUGCAACCAAGUUAAUACCACCAAUGCGGGUUGAAAGAUUAUUCUCCAAGGCGGACAACGAAGGAGAUGAAAAGUAGAGUAUUGUAGCAACUCACAGCUAGAGGGAUGGGCUUGUGAAAAGGAGUGGUGGACGUGAGCAAGUCUUCAUAAGUAGCGUUGAAGCUACAAAUUACAAAAAACAUUUAUGGGUUAGAAAAAGGAGUUAAAUAUAUGUAAACCUGGAGCUUGGCGAUUUUAAAGUGGUGAGCAAUGAAUAAUUAAGCUUUACCUUAUUACAGGUUCAACAGGCAUCUCUGAAGUCCUAUUAGAUGGAUCACCAACCCACUUCUUUCUCAUCUCUUGCCACGCAAUCUCAGCUGUAGAAUAAAGGGUAAUCACAAUCUAAGAUCAUGUGUACUUCAGUCUAAAUCUGACACACUAAAGUAACUGAGGAGUGCUGACUUAGACUAAAUGUGACACUGGUUAACCUGAUGAGACAAUCAGUUUCCCUUAAUUGUCAAAAGACUAUCAAUAGACCUUGUUCGAGACAGCAUAUAGAAAACCCUAAAACAACAAAUUGUGAAAGGUGACAAAGCUUACCACUGUUCACAAAGUUGUUCUCAGUGGAUACUUCUUUAUCAAUAUUACUUGGAGUAGUUGAAACAUUUGCAGAAUCAACAUUAGCUUCCAUUGUCCUUACAAAGACCUCUUUGCAGAAUCAAAAGGCAGAUCAGAAUGCCCAAAAACUUGAAGCUUGAACCGAGAUAGGAAAAACUCUGGAAAAAACAAAAACUUUUUAAUCAUGAUCACGACGAAACGAGAUUCAACAGUUUAUACAUACAGAGUAAAGACCAUGAGCCUACUAUAAUCGUAUCAAGAGGAAGACAGGCACUACAAUAUGAUUCGCACAAUCAGAGGCAUUAGUUCUAAUCGGCAUAAAAAACCCUUAAACUUCUUCUGGAACCCGAAAGCUAAAAAGAUCAGAAGAUGAACCUAAUUGAAACCCUAGAAUUGGUUCAAUCACAAUCUGGCGAAAUCAAGACGAAGACAAACGAGAGAGAGAGAGAGAGAGGUGGAGGAGGAGGAGGAUGUAACCUAAGCUGAUUGGAAUCUUCGACGACUGAAAGAGAUAAUUCCUCUCGCCGAGAAAGAAAUCGGAAACGUGUAAAGGUAAAGUAGAAUCCAAUUGAAUCGACGAAUCUUUAUUUUCCUUUUUCUUUUAAAAAUCAACUUUAUUAUAUACUCUCUAACCAUAUAUAAUUACUCUACUUAACUAAUUAUAAUCAAUGAUUUGGUAUGACCGACCUUAGCUCAGUUGGUAGAGCGGAAGACUGUAGUAGUUGCUGUAAUCUUUAGGUCGCUGGUUCGAUUCCGGCAGGUCGGACUUUUUUUUUUUAUUCUGGAAAAUUUUAGUGUUUUCACAUCAGUUAACUUCAUCUCUCUUUCCACGAUUUUUCAUUGUCAUUUUCUUAAAUCCACCAACGAAUCAGAACCUGAUUACAUUAAACUUAAACAGUAUAUUGCAGGCUGCAACAAUUAGAUUCAUAACUAAGACUAUAUAUAUAUAUUAAGUAAUGGCUACUCUAUUAGCAUCUCCAGUUUACAAAAGAUAGAUAACUUAGCCGCUUUACAAUACAUGUUUGCUUUUCAACAUACACCAUCUAUUAUCCCUGCAUCACUAUCAUAUCUUUUUUCAUUUUCAUGGCGAUUCGUUCCUAAGAAGCUGCAAUUUAUCAUUGUUUAAGAGACCAAGCAGACCCGUGCCAUUGAAGUGAGUGUAUUUCACGUCUUGUAGCGGAAGAUGACUUGACAAUGGGAACCGCUGAGAGACUGCAAAAUUCAACGGAUCUUGCAAGAUGAACUCCCGAGUGGACUCGUCACAAGAUGCAAAAAGUUGAUUCUUUUCCUCCCCAAAGUCUAUAAUCGUUGUUCUUGGCAAACGGAUGGUGUCUACAAAUGCUUGUGUGGAUGACAGUUUCUGGUAAUAAGAAUCAGCGCCUCUUCUCUUGAGACUAACAUGAAAUCCAUUGACACCAUUACUAUUGCUAUUAUUGACUCCUAUUUGGGUCAACGAAGGUUGACUCACAGUAUCAUCAGAAGAUCCAACUCUCGGUCUAUAAGAAGCCACUAUAUGAUCACUGCGAGGACAAUACGCGGAUGAUAUGCAAACUCCUGGGGUUCCUGUUUCUGAAAUUAAUGAUGGGCUACACACACACAAAAAAAAAACGAAACUAUAACAAGUUAGAGCCUUGAAAAUGUAUUGAUAAACUUCUCCAAGCAGGUGCCAAAGUUCUGUGAUCACUAUUUCCUUUCACGUAUUUUUUAGUCAACAACAUUUCUAGGUUUGGUUUCAUGAGAUGUGAAGAAGCAUCAAUGUCAGAGAAACACAAAACCUCACCUUCCCUCGCUACCAUUAAUGUUCCACUGACACAGCCCGAUGGAAGAAGCUGACAAGAGGGAACGAACAUCAGAAGUUGGAGUAGAAUCGGUAGAGAGAUGAUGGAUAGUAUGGACUGGAUUGGUUGUUAAGCCAGUCAAUGAUGCGAAAGGUCCCGUUGUUUGACGCCUAUCAAAUACUAAAACCAUUCCAUUCUGUAGUCCAGCAUACAUAUAGUGAGAGCUGUUGAGAUCCCAGGAGCAAGACCAAGGUGCAGCCGGUAGACCAUACGAUAAGACAGUGUUGUGGCUCUCCAAAUUUAUAACAGAUAAUUUUUUUCCUAGAGAACCAAAUACUGCAAGCCCAUUAUUGUGAGGGGAAAGGUGAAGAUCUUUAAUUGCUCUAGUGGUAGGAGGCAACAAAAUAUCAUCAAUCUCACCCGAAUGUAGGCUCAUCUGCAACAUGUAUAUAUAUAGUUUCAUCAUUAAAACUUGCGUAAGAUCAAAAAAAAAAGGCAAAAAAGAAAAAAAAAAAAAAAACUUACUUGCGUAAGCACAAACGUUCCACCAACACCUGAGAGCCUACGAGCCAAUAACACAAUUUUUCUACCACCAUCUAUGUCAAAUAAACGGCCACCACUAACUAGCAUUUCUCCCUACAAAAAAAAUGAAUAACUGCGUUAGACACAUCAACACAAACGGUACUUCAGUCAGAAAAUUCUAAAAACAGUGGGACUGAUAUGGCAGACUAUGCCACACCUGAUAUCUGAAGCUGCAAGAAGGUGCAUGUCCGUGAUGUUCUUGGGAGUUCGCAUAACCUGCAAGGCAUGCACUUACAACUGUUUAGAAGUACAUAUGCAUUAAAUUUCAAGGGGGAAAGAAACUUAUUCAUCCCACUUAGGGAUAAACCUCUAUUACUGGUUGGGUAAUGAAAUGCCCUGUAAGUCCUAAGGUCAGAGUGGAAAAAUCGCACAACAGCAUAUCAAUUCUACUUGAACAUAUAUCCCAUUGAGACAAUUCAUCCAACAGAAUGGUGCAAGCAUAGAAACGAAAAUAGAGGAUUUUAGGUAACGCAGAAAGGGCAACCAUAUAAUAUCUGAUCUUAUAAGUAUAUUUAGUUUUAACAACGCGCCAAUGUGUUGCAACCAUUACGCACGUAACUGUGUACUUACCAGGUAUAUAUUGCUUCUGAGAAGCCAUAUUAGCGUUUCUCUGCGCAUCCAUAGUAAUAAUUUCCAUAUCAGCUAUCUUCUGCAAAAACAAAAUUUUGUGCAGAAAAACAUGUGUGACAAUUUUGUGCAGACAAUUAAAACAAAAUCCUUGUUAGCGGAUAUUAGUCAAACUUAGCUACCUUGUAAAAGACAGACAACCAACUUAAUAUUCCAAAUUUGACUAGUUUUACACUUCGUAGUGAUCAUAAACUAUCAUAAUCUUUCCAAGCAUAAAACAAAGUGUUAAGAGUGACUACGUUACAGCAAACUCUUAGAAGUGUACCUUCUUCAGCUUAUUAACUUCUAAUUGUAGCUCUGCUUCCAUUUUCUUCCAUUGAGCUUCUUUGUUACUCCAACUCGCAGUCUGUGAAACAUGUAAGAGGAUAUUAUUAAACGCUACAAUACUAAUACGAGGGGCUCACACAUAUGUUCCAGUCUACUGACACAGACAUAACCUACAUAGAUGACUUAUAAUAAACACAGAGAGGUUUUAGUACUCAGGUAAAUCUUCUUCUGAAAGAUUUCAAAGAAAUUCAAGAACAAAGCUCAGAACAAUGCGGACUGAGUAUAGAAAUAUCAUGAACUAUCCCGGCAAUAAUUUUGGUCCCACCUUCUGUUCAAUUGAACUUAACUUGGCCUCCAGAAAUAAGAUUCUCUGCAAAUAUAAACCAAGAAUAUCAGAUUUUGAUACUGUGAUUUAUAAUCAUGUAUGUAACUAGGAACUACACUCAUUGUAUUACCUUGUGUGCUUCAUCAUCUACUGCCGCAACACGUGAUGCAUAAAUUUUCCGGACAUCUCUCAGGCUACAUUUUCUGUUGCAUUGGGGACACUAGAAAAGAAACCACUGUGAGUCUAUGCGCAAGAUAACUAUCAUUGAACAACUACACAACAACCACACACCUUUCCUGCACGUUGUCGCUGUUGUAGCCACUUCUUGAUGCAGGAAAAUCCAUACAAGUGUCCACAGGGAAGACAACUUGAAUAACACCAGUAAGAAGUAAAGAGAAGACCAAUUAGUUGCAUUCAAAAUAUUCGACGUGACCAGAGCAAGAGAUGCUCAAAUUUUUUGCUUUGACAGAACCUAAUCAACUACGAACUAGAUGAUUUCCAGUAACAAAUUGCUGUGUAAGUAAUCAAAAUUGAUAGAACUAGAUCAUGAAAUCAUCAAAUUGCUAAAGCCUGUAGCAUAUAAAGAGCCUACGAAUUCCAAAGACAUAAACAAUUAAAGAAACACAAUUACUGGAAUUGAGAUUACCAGACUUGGUGUUCGCCACCGUUGGUCCAAACUUCCAUACAGAUCAAACAAGACAAUCCCUCAGUGUCGCCGUGUUUCCAUUCCACAUCUUCCUGCGAUCCUGAAGACGAACAAACACCUCGUGACCUUUUCUGAUUCUCUAUCUCAUCAUUCUCGUUCUGUGAAACCCUAGGUGAGUCUUCAACAUCGAUGUAUUCCCUGGUUUGCCGUUCGGUAUCUUCUUCCUCCUCUUCGUCUCCAUCGUCUUCUUCGUCUCCGUCGUCUUCUUCGUCUUCUUCUUCUUCUUCUUCUUCUCCAUGGUGGGCAUACCUAUAUACUUCUUCUCCAUAGAGUCUUUGUUGAUUUUCAAGUGCAAUUAACAGUGCAAUUCUUCCUCCGGGAUCACGGAGGGGCAAACCCCGGCGAGGCGGCAUUAGGUCGAACCCCAAAAAUUAAGCGCCAAACGACUCUGUCCGUUUCUGCCGGUGGAUGACGAACACCAAAAAAAAACUUUCACUGAGAGAUCUCGAAGAACAAAUAAUAAUAAUUUUACAAACUCAAACUCGCUGAUUCGAACAGAGACUGUCCAAUUAAAAUAAUUUUAAAAUAUUAAUAAAACAUUAAUGCGGUGAGCGUGGAUCGAACACGCGACCUUCAGAUCUUCAGUCUGACGCUCUCCCAACUGAGCUAUCCCCGCUUGUUGUUAAUGGCAAGAUAGUAAACUAAAUAAUUAUUAAACAAGCGUUACCUCAAAUUGGUCGCAGUCUUCAAUGGAAUUAUUCGUUACUUUAGGGAAGAAAAGGAGUUAGAAGAUGGGGAGAAGCAUUUUUUCCUUUUUCGCUAAAAAGAAAAAAAUGGCGAUGGCGAGAAGCAUCUCUUACAUCACCUCAACUCAGCUUCUCCCUCUCCAUCGCCGUCCUAACAUAGCCAUCAUCGAUGUCAGGUACUUCCAUACGCGAUUUGAUUUCGUCGGUUUUUGUCAGUAAUCUGAUCUCUUUAGCAAAUUUUAGUUCGAAUCAAUCCGAUUGGUCUUAGGUUUGAUUUUGCUCUACCAUGUAUUACUGAUAUGGAUUUAGGAGAGUCAUUUGCUUUUCAAUUCUGGUUAGUUCUGUGAUUAGAGAUUAUGAACAAGUGGAAUCUCAAUGUUUUUUAAAAACUGGAAUUUGUAGUAGUUUAAUCGGAAAAAAAAAUAUUAGGAAUCUCAUGAGCUUGGAACAAAGUUUUUUUUUGUUAAAUGGUCUUAGGAUCGAAGAGAAAGAACGUAUCUUUCGUAAUUUUUAACUAGGUUCUUAUUCAGAGAGAGUUAUGUCUAAAAAUCCAGCUUUGUAUUAAUUGGAUGUGUUUUGUUCUGAAGGGAUGAAGAGAGGAAUUAUGACGGGCAUAUAGCUGGAUCACUACACUAUGCGAGUGGCUCGUUUGAUGACAAGAUCUCUCAUCUUGUUCAAAAUGUCAAGGACAAAGACACACUUGUCUUCCAUUGUGCCUUGAGCCAGGUGUGUGUUUUACACUCUUUUCAGCUUCCCACAAUAUCUCGUUUUCCCCUUGUUUGAGUUCAUAUGAAACAACACACAUUAUAAAGCACUGUCCUGCAAUGAUUGAAUGAUAGGUUAGUUGAUUCAUGUUUCAUAGGUUUAUUAUGAGAAUGUGAUCUGUAUCUCUAUCUCCUGCAAUAUGUAUCAAAAAGUGGGUCAAGGUUGCAAAAUCAAAUGGUCUUUCGUGAUGUUUGCCUACUAGUUGAUCUAUUCUUAUGUAUCCUUUGGAGUAGGAACCUGUUACAUUCUUAUCUAGGUGGUAGCACUCCAAACCAUCAAAGCUCAGUCCUUUAGCAACCAUUGAUUUGAGCUAGUUUUCAAUUCUUUGUUCUGUCCUAAGUCCUAAGUUCUAAAGGAAAUGAGCUAAAGCUGUGAAAUCGAUUCUUUCUGCAGGUUCGUGGCCCAACAUGUGCGAGAAGGCUUGUGAAUUAUCUCGAUGAGAAGAAGGAAGAUACUGGAAUCAAAAACAUCAUGAUCUUGGAACGUGGCUUUAAUGGGUGGGAAGCUUCUGGAAAACCAGUGUGCCGCUGUGCAGACGUCCCUUGCAAAGGCGAUUGCGCCUAAACCUGUGGUUUCCCUUGCAAAGGCCAUUGCGCCUAAACCCUACUGAACCAUAUUAUUAUUAUGGACCUAAUUGAUCUUCCACAUUGACAUGUAUUAAAGUUGAAUGAAGAUUAUUCAUAAAUAGCCUCUCCCCAUCAAUAUGUUGGUUUACAUGGUAGACCUCCAGACCAAACACCAAACGUUGAUACUUAAGGGGCUUUUUUGGUAUUGAACGUUUAUUGAGCGUCAAAGCCACGUUAAUAUGUUAACGCCGUCAAUUAAUAAUGGAUUUUCUGGAAUCUGCUGCUCUGAAAGGGGGACGUUAGUUUAUAAACGCCGUCAGAAUUCUCUCUAUGAUAGAGAGACUUUGCUUUUAAAGGAUUUUUAGUUUUUAAAGUCAUAAAGCAAAGCAACGACGACUUCAGGGGAAGUACAAUCAUAUCUUUGAUCUCUCUCUCUCUCUCCAAUUCUGAAGUCGCGAUUCAUCUUUUUCUCGAAAAUUCCCAAUUCCUGAGUCAAGAACCCUAAUUUCAAUAUGGUAAGAUUUGCUCGAUUUUAGCUUUUCUGUAUAUUGAUCUAGUCUUCGUUUGUCAAUUUUGCGGCUUCCAUUUCAGAUUGAUUGAAUCUAUGAAGUUUCUGAAAUUUCACAGGUUUGCGUUAUGUGUUUGGUGCCGCUGUUCCUCGUCCCGCUCGUCAAUUUAAUGCCUCGCAUCAUUGAUUUCUUCAUGGUAAUUGGCUCGUUAUAUCUUGAAAAUCGUUAAGGUUUUGUUUUUUUUUUGCCUCGACAGAAUGAUCGGAGUUAAUGUCAGAACCUACAAUUCAAAAUGCUAGAGUGUUGUAUUCGAUUGGUCUUAAAGGAGAUAACUUUAUUUGAAUGACAAAAGGGGAUUACAUUAACGAAAUAGGAGAUUAGAAAGGGAAGAAGAUAGCAUUGAUAGAAAUCGCUGAAGAUGAUAAUCAAGGAUAACCAAGAAUACAAUAUCAUGAUUUGUGCCUUGUAAAAGUAAGAAGUGAUAGAGCUUUGGUUAUCUGCUUCAGAUGGGCUCUUGGAAAGUUGAAGAUGCUAGCAAUGUUUAAAUCUUACUUCUGUUAGUGUUUCAUACUUAUUAUCUUUGCCUGUGCUAUGUGUACGAAAUAUCAGUUUAUAGAGGUCAUGCUUUAGUGAAUCUUGCUGGUAAUAUUUUUCUCGAAUCAUUUUGCUAACUCUAUGAGUUUUGACUGUUCAUGCUAAAUAACUAGGCGAAAUUAUACGCGUGGCUCGGGUGGGAGUACAGGAAGCCAGCGAGAGUUCCUCCAGCUUGUCCUUUCAAACCAGCUGCUAAAAAUGAUAACGCCACAAAAGUAAGUGUAAAGACUGGCUUACUUGUUUGGCGCUUUUUAGUAUAGACUUUCUUAGUUAAGUUGUUUCUUGGUUGAAGCAGUUUAGUUGGUGAAAUAUAGGUUUGAUGCUUCACUUGGCUGUUUCAUGUUAAAUACUUCAAUUCAACAAUAUUUCAUGAUUCCAUUAGCUUCGAUGAAUUUCUUUACUCUCUCUCUCUUUGAAUAUUCACUUUGUAUACAGUUUCUGAGUUUUCCAUCCUUAUAUCUGUUGUGUUUGCAUUUGAAUCUUAUAUGUAAAGCACAUUUUCUUUUGUUGUAAAUGUAAUAGGUGGGUGCUGAAACUGGAACUGAAGGUUCAGAAACAAUAGCUAAACAUGUCAUUGUGGAGGAGACGGAUGGGGUUAAGCAGGAUUGAAGCCCGGGUCCUUUUUUUUCUCAAUAAAGCUUUUGUAUUUGUGGAUAUGUUUUGGAUCAGAGAAGCUGGGAGAUGAAAUUACCCUCUUGUGAUAAUGACGUACGUUGAAAGAAACUUAUUUGGUAAUUUUCCCCGUUAAAAAUGCUACGUAACAGGUCUAUUUCUUAUAUGUUCACUUGUCUUCUUUUUAUUUUUGUCUAGAAUUUUUGCAUGUGGGAGAUGUCGAAUUCCUCAGUUAAACUCGGAUCACUGAAUUAGUUGAGGUAGAAACACUUUUAAUUUAAGAUAUAGCCACUUCAAAUUCUUACAAGCACAGCCAAUCGAAUCAUGCCUUGUUGUUGUAUCCAUCCCUUCGUUUUCUUCUAAGGUUGUUAUUAUCCAUCCAUAGUGAAAUUUUGGAAUAUAUAAUUUUAAAGAUUUGUCUAUAGCGACUACUCUGUUUAUUUGAUUUCAUCACCAUCAAAAUCUAGUGAUGACCACUUGUAACUAUUUAAUAUUGUCAUCUUAUUAUUAAAUUGAUAAUGAAAUUUAUAUGUGUGUAAAAUUUUAUCUUUGUAAAGCAUCUUUUUACAUAUAUAUAUUUGAAUUAAGGAUCGUGUUUGCAUAAAUUCAUAAUGAUCAUAAUUUCAAAUAAUGGACCAAAUUGUUAAAGUUGCGAGCACUUCACUCACAAGCCACGUGCACAAGCAAUCACACUUACGCUAACGUUUAGGAUAAAGAAAUAUCAUAAAAUGUGAUUUCAAAAAGAUAAAUAAAUAAAAAAAGAACAUCAAAAACAAUUUUAAACACUUUUUUUUUUUAAUAAAUAUCUUCGUGUCUGGUUUACAAAAAAAAAAAAAAUAUAUAUAUAUAUAUAUAUCUUCGUGUCUUGGUUGUGAUCGAGAAGAGAAAGAGAGAUUUUGAAUAACAAAAGAAUAUUUAAAAUAACGUUACCUUUUAAUUUAUACAUUUUUCUGUUUCCACUUUAAUCUGAAGAUCCUCUCUUCUCUCUCUCUCUCUCUCUCUCUCUCUCUCUCUCUCUCUCUCUUGCUCUCGCUCGCUCGCCGGCAAAAUUCGCUGUUCAAAUCUCCGGUCAUUUCUCCGAGGAUCUCUUCGAUCAAUCCAACGGUUUCAUUUUUAUCAUCUCAGAUCUGACAGAGAAGAUUGAUGCUGAAGAAGUGUAGUGGAAGACGGUUUUUGAUGUAAAGCAGUUGAAUCUGAAUACGUAGAGAUUCAAUUCAUCUUUCGUUUCAUGCUUGAUUCAAUUUGAGUUCUCUUUUCGCUGAAUCUCGUUCGCCAAACCUAGGGUUUCUAAUAAUAGGGAGAAACGAGGAAACAACUAGGGUUCUCUCUCUGAGGUCUGUUUCCAGUGCGUAAAGCCAUGUUUAAGAAGAUCAUGAAGGGGGCUCAUCGAAAGGCCUCUAGAACUGAGGCGAAUGAUUCGUCUAUGUAUGGGUUUGAUCCACCAGGUAGGUCAGGUCCUGGAUCCAAUAUGGUUGUAAAUCACGCAUCUCGUGGUUCUCUGAUCCCUUCUUCUCCGGGUUCAAUGGUGGCCACCGCACAACCGCCUCCUAUGUAUUCAGUCGAGCCUCUUCCGUUGUUCAGAGACGUGUCUGUUUCCGAGCGCCAAUCCUUGUUCUUGAGGAAACUGCAGAUUUGCUGUUUUCAAUUUGAUUUUACAGAUACGUUGAAGAAUGCGAGGGAGAAGGAGAUUAAGAGGCAAACUUUAUUGGAGCUUGUUGAUUUUAUACAGUCUGGUGCAGGGAAGCUCACUGAAGUUUGUCAGGAAGAAAUGGUAAAGAUGAUUUCUGUUAAUAUAUUCCGGUGUCUUCCUCCAGCUUCACACGAGAAUACAGGUCAAGAGCCUGCUGAUCCUGAGGAAGAGGAGCCUUAUUUGGAACCAUCUUGGCCUCAUUUACAGCUUGUUUAUGAGUUGCUGCUAAGAUACAUUGUUCCUUCUGACACAGAUACAAAGGUUGCAAAACGGUAUAUUGACCAUUCCUUUGUGUUGAAGUUGCUUGAAUUGUUUGAGACUGAAGAUCCAAGAGAAAGGGAGUACUUGAAAACGAUUCUUCAUAGGAUUUAUGGGAAGUUUAUGGUCCACAGACCCUUUAUUAGGAAAGCAAUGAAUUACAUAUUCUAUAGGUUUAUCUACGAGACUGAGAGACAUAGCGGGAUUGGGGAGCUUUUGGAGAUUCUGGGUAGUAUUAUAAAUGGAUUUGCUUUGCCAAUGAAGGAGGAGCACAAGCUCUUUUUGAUCAGGGCGUUGAUACCUUUGCAUAAGCCGAAACCAAUCGCUAUGUAUCAUCAACAGUUGUCUUACUGCAUUGUCCAGUUUGUGGAGAAAGAUUAUAAGCUUGCGGAUACAGUGAUCAGGGGUUUGUUAAAGUUUUGGCCUAUGACAAACUGUACAAAAGAGGUUCUCUUUCUCGGUGAACUUGAAGAGGUUCUGGAGGCAACACAAACCGUUGAGUUCCAACGCUGUAUGGUCCCUCUGUUCCAACAGAUUGCUCGAUGCCUCAGUAGCUCAAAUUUUCAGGUUAGCAACUCUCGUAUGGCUUGGUUUCUCUUUUCAAUCUGGUCAUUAAAAGUUCUCAUUUAUGCAUAUUAACCUUUAAAUUUUGGAGCCUUUGCUGUAUGAAAGACUUAUGUUGUGUGGUAAUAUUGCAUAUGGAGGCUAUGAUCUAGAUUCUAGGCCAGUAACCUCAAACUCAUGUUCUGACUCCUCCAUUCGAAAAAAAAAAAAAAAAAAGUAUGUGCUUGGCAUGGUUCACGUUGUUUUAUCUUCUUUUCCUUUUAUUCCAUGCUUCCUCAGCAUAAUGAAUCUGAUCAUAGCCAUCUCUGUGGAUAGGGUUAUCUCAUGUAAUUGCUAUUACAAUCUGCUAAAUGAAUUAUUUGAUUCUUUUCAUGAAUCAUCAAUCAUCUUGUGUGUCACUCGUCUUGAUUUAGCUCUGCCAGACAACCAACUCCGCUGAAUUGAUUGAAACCUUUGCUUUUGGUUUGUUCAGUUAUGAUUGAACUCUCUUUGCACAAAUAGCUACACCAUGGUUUCAUCUUCUCUACAGGGGUUGAUAGCUUAAAGUUUAACCAACAUAUUGCUUGAAAUUUACUUUCAAUCUCUCAUACUCAAAAGUGCAUAUAUUAUCAUGCAAUGCAGGUUGCAGAACGAGCUCUGUUCUUAUGGAACAACGAGCAUGUAGUGGGUCUAAUCGCUCAGAACAGAAGCGUGAUUCUUCCUAUCAUAUUCGGUUCGCUGGAGAAAAACACAGAAUCUCACUGGAACCAAGCAGUUCACGGUCUAAGCGCGAAUAUAAAGAGAAUGUUCAUGGAGAUGGACCCUGAACUUUUUGAAGAUUGCCAGCAACAGUACGAAGAGAAACAAGCGAAAUCUAAGCAAGUGGAAGAGCAACGCCAAGAUAGGUGGAGGAGAUUAGAUGAAGCAGUAGAGGAGCGAGAAAGAGAAGAUCCAAUGAUCACUUGUUAGAAAAAUUUACCAAAUCAUCAAGUAAAAUAAUAUUCUUUUUUUUCACUUCUUCUCAUUUCACUAAUCGUUGCAAAUUAUCAUAUUUUAUUUAUUUUAUUUUAAAGGUCUGGAUAAAAAAAAGUCCUUAAAUCUAGCCAUUAGAAUAUAUAUUAUUAUUUUUUUCUCUAUUUGAGAAUCUUUAAUGGUGUGCUGCUCAAUCCAGCUUUAAUGGUCAACUAUGUAAAUUUGAGAAUAUAAGAAAUUGAAGAAGGGAAAAUAACAAAUAUAAGUUUUAUUAAAAAAAAUAGAAAAGGAAAAUUUUGAUAAGGGUAACCAAGUGAUAAGUAAAAAUUUUAGGUUACCAAAUCUCUUCUCGCUUGGUUUCUCUUUUCAAUUUGUUCCUCUAACGUUUCUAUUUAUGCAUAUCAACCUUUGCUAUUUAGCUUCCUAUAUAAAGGCUUAUGUUGUGUGGUAAUUUUGCACAAAAUUUGCACAUUGAGGCAAUGGUUGGGCCUAUUACCUCGAACUCAUAUUCAAAUACAGAAUAUAAAGAGAAUACUAAAGCGUGGAACCAAGUUGUUCAAGGACUAAGCGUGAAUAUAAAGAGAAUGUUAAUGGAGAUGGACCCUAAACUCUUUGAAGAUUGUCAGCAACACUACAAUAGAAACAAGUCAACUCAGUUUGCUUUGAAAAACACCGAAUAUAAAGAGAAUACAAAAACGUGGAAACAAGCCGUUUACAAACUAACCGAUAAUAUAAAUAGAAUGUCAUGAAGAUGGAUCCUCAACUCUUUGAAGAUUGCCGGCAACAAUACAAAGAUUAAAAAAACAAAUAAAAAAUUAAAAAAUAAAAAAAAAAGUCAAACCAAACAAGUGGGAGAGCAAAGCCAAUAUAGGUGGAGGAGACAAGAUGAAGUAGUAGACCUGUAAUCACUUCAUACAAAAAACAUAUUUUUUUAAAUGUUAAAACACAUGAAGAUGAAGAUUAAAACAUGGGAAAUGUAAAGGGAAACAAAGGGAAACUCACAGUAUAUUUGCAAAGAUUUUUCAAACAAACAUUCUUCAACGAAACAAGAUGCGACUUUCAAAGAUUAUAUCUGGAAUGGCAAUAACGUCUGAUUUUGUUAGCAAGAAUCAAGAUUCUAACAAGAAGCAAGAGCAAAAUUAUGUACUUACGGGCGUAUAGCCAGUAGUAGUGCUGAGGCGCUGUCUUUUUAUUAUUAAAGUUUAUCUUAUCGGCUGGUCAAUCAUAUGGAGAGAUCAAAGAGACUGGGGACCUCUCUGAAUUUACGUUUUUGGAUUGAUACUUAUGAAUACAUAUAACCCACGUAACAUUAUACAUAAGACUUGUUUGAUGUUCGAGCUCUAGCUUUGGUGGACUAAUAGAAGAUUAUUGAGCGGUCAUUUUCCUAAGAGAGAGCCAUCUCCUCAUCCUCCAUCUCCAUACUCUUUUUCAUGUCCAUAUCCAUCUUCACCAUCGUCUUCAUAUGCUUCUUAAUAUCCUUGUCAAUCUUCUUCAGCUCCAUCUUCAUCUUCUUUUUCUUCAUCUCAUCCAUCUCCAUCUCCAUAUCCAUCUCCAUCUUCCUCUUCUUGUGCUCAGCCGUAUCCAGUAAAACACCUAAAAAUAUAAAGUAUACACAACGAAACUGAUGAGAGCAGGUUCCAAUAUGAAUUAAGAAUCUCACAGAAACCAAAGAGCGAAUUUGUGUACUUGGGGGCGUAUAGCCAGAAGGAUUGCAGCGGCGGCGUCUUUGUAUUCUUACUUUUUCCGGUCCCCCAUGAAUAGGUCCAACAAAAAGAUUCAUUCCUCCCAUGUUAGAUCCACUUAGUUUAAGUGCCUUAACUUCACAUCUUUCUCCUUGAAGAUAUAUGAAAGCUGCACCGCUGCAAAAUUAAACAGAGACAAUGUCUUUAGUAAGAAUUCAAGAAUGGGAGAAAACAACAAAUAUCACAAAAAUGGGAGGAAGAAAGAAGGCACAAACCAAGGGAGAACCACAACUCGCGUAACCUCUCCACAUGAAGAGAAAUGUUCACACAGCGCAAUCUGGGUAUCAAUCUCAGGAAGCGAAGUGUCAUAUCCGGUAACACGGACCCUAAGAUAAUAAUAACAUUGAUUGAAGGAUCGGAGAGAAAUGUUAUCAACAUGCAAAAGCUAACACAUCUGCCAGAUAAACAAGAAUUAACAUCCUAAGAAAAUUUGAUUUUGAAUAAACCUGUGGGUUUCGAUUUUCAUCAGGACAGCAGCAGACCAAGGAUCCCUGCAUUCUUUCUGCAUGGGUGCAGGCUUAACGAUAGCAGUCCAUCCUCCCACGUCAGUUCCACUAAGUUUCAAUGCCUUUUCUUCAACAUCUUCUUCUCCCUCGAUCCACAGGAAGGAUACACUUGCAAAACGAAAGAUACACAAACCAAAAAAAACAGAAGUAUUAUAUUUUUGAGUUUAGCAAAGCACUAAACAUGAACGAGAGGAGCUGGGAGGGAAUUAGAAGCAGCAAAAAUAUUAAAAGGUACCUCUUGAGGAUGCCCCUUUUACGAUCCCUUGGAACAUAAACAUAUCCGACCUUUCCGCAUGAAGAGAAGUGUUUGGUCAAGGCGAGCUUGAGAGAAUACACACGGAGCCUAGUGUCAUAUCCCUCUACGGAAAUCGUCGUCCUAGGGAUAAUUUGAUUUUGAUCGCAGCAGGAUUUCCCAAUAAAAUAUAUAAAUGUGUUAAUAAAUUUUGAUCGCAGCAGGAUUUCCCAUAGUACUAUUUAGUCAUAGUUGUCUAAAUUUGGUAUGGUAAAGAGUUAUGUAGUAUACAUAUACAUAUACAAAUUUAAUAGUCAAAUAAACCAACCAAAGUGAUCUUCUCCGACUCCGAAGCAGACGUCUCAGACUCAGUCCCCAUCUUCUUCUUCUUCUUAUUAGCCUCUUCAAGUAAAAACCCUAAUAUAAAGAAUAAAAAACGAAACUAAUGAGAGGUUUUAAGUUGUUAACAAGUUUCGGUAUAAUUUUGUUUUUAUCCAGUUACAGAAAAAUACGACAUACGACCUAUUCGUAUGACGAUGUGGAAUAUACAUAAACAUAUAUGGAGCCGCUAGCGCCUAGCUAAUAAACAAAACGGUAUUUUAUUUUCCAAGUUUUGUCUCUUUGGUGAUCCUUUGCAAGUUGCAACAACUACUUAACGGUUUCGGACAAGUCUUGCAAAAGGGUUUUGUUAGGAUGGAUGAUGAUGGAUGAUGACCGAAUAUUGAAGAAUGGUACGUGUGAAUGAUAAGGUGAUUAAUUAUGUUGUUCAUGAUUUGAUUAUUACCAAAAAAAAAACAAAAACAAAAAAAAGUAUAUGCUUUGCUUAGGGUGAGUAGUGAAGCUAGCUAGUUGGCAAGUUAUGGCUUCUUUUGGCGGCCAAGCAAUUCUCUAUCUCUCUCUCUCUCUCUCUCUCUUUCACACACACACAAUCCUCGACGCUAAGACUUCAAAUCAAUCCCUCCUAAUAUAUGAUUUUAAUAUUGUAAAUUAUACUAGUAGUAGCUUCACAAUACACUCAAAUAUAUUCUUCUUAAUAAUCUAAUAACACGUUAGCUUAGAGAAAUAAUCAUAGAGACAACUAAUGUGUGUAUAAUUAGAGUUGAAUGAGUAAAAAGUUGGAUAUCAUCAAUCCAGCUCUAAGAAACUCACCUUUUGCAGAAUUUUCAAUCGUAUUAUGUAAAAUAUGAUUAUUCUAAAAAAUAUUUUCCUGAAUUUUAUAGAUUGCUGCCACCGAGUCAUUGGUAUACUUACAAAGACCUAGACUACUGUUCACACAUUAUAACAACAAUAUUUAACAAACUAUAAGAUAAGGGAGGUUACUUCACCAAAUACAUAUUAUUAGCUAAUCACAAGAUUAAUCAUGGUUUUUGAUCAAAUAAUUGGGUGACAUCUUAGAAACAGGCGCAAACAUAGGGAGUGAUACUAUAUUUUUAAUUCGUUAUUUCAGCUAAUAUCACUCUAUUUUUAAAAUAUUAAAUAUAACUAGGAUCAUGAUCAUAAUUGUGUGUUGUGUAAUUGUGGGUUGGCUCAACUGCACAUGAACUGCUCUCGACCCAAAAAUUCGAUUGCCUUUUACUUUCCAAUCAAUUAACUCAAUUAUUUUAAUCACCAAGUUAAGUUCAGUGUACAUAAAUCCACAAUGAUUAGCAGUACUAAGGCACAAAUUCAUAAUUCGACGUAUUGUCAAGUUAAUUAUGUAUUUUAAUAGCUUAUAUAUAUACCAUAGUUGGGCUCUCAAAUCGUAAAAUGUGUUACAGUACGUACGUCAACUUAAGUUUCAAAUCGAAUUGUGAGUUGUGUGGUAACUGUGUUGCGUGUUAAAACUCCUAUUUGAUUGCGGGUGACUUUAACUACCAAUGAACACAUGUGGACUACAAGAUUUUUUAUUUACAAAGUUAUAAGAUUUUAGUUAAUGAUAAUGUAGAAACAAAUAAAUUGAAUGUCAUAUUUAGAAUACGCAAUCCAAUUUGAUUUUCUUCUUAAUAUAUUACACUACAUUCCAAGUGUCAAAAAAUUGAUGUUCAUUUUUUUAUUUAUUUUUCUUAAAUAUGCAGUCAGAUUGUGUAGGAUGACACUCUUCUCUCUACUACCAAAAAAAAUAAAGUCUAAGUUUCCUUCUUGGAAAGAAAAAACAAAUCUCCUAAGAUUAGUGCUGUCACUGAAUCCAUAUUUUUGUUAUCUAUAAAAGCUAAUGUGAACCUAUGUAAUUUAUGAGUAUGCUUAUGAGGAUUUAAUUUAAUUAAUACUAAUCAAUUUUUUAAUGUGAUUCAUAAGACAAGCAUUAACCAAAAGAAGAGAAAAUAAUUCAAAGAAAGAAAAAAAACAAGAAGAAGAGGAGAACAACAAGUGGUUCCAGGCUUGCAAACCAAAACUUCCAGAAAGGAAUCCUUCACCAAAAGUUAUUUUGGGGUUUGCUUCUUUUCUCAUCUUUUCUCUCUUUACCCAUUCAUUAUUAAUAUAUAUAUGCAUAGGGAUACAUACACACAAAUGAGUACUGUGUGGUAUAAACAAAUACAAUCACAUAUUUAUAAAUAUAGAUAGAUACUAAGACAUAUAAACCAAACCCACCAAACACUCUUUGAUACUUCUCUCUCUCUCUCCCUCUCUUCAUAAAAUACAUAUAUACCUCGAUCUCUUUGUGUUCUUGAUAUUAAUACAGAGAGCCAAUCAAAUUAAAGAUCGAGGAUAUCAUGACAAGUGUUCUUGAGGAGAGUGGAGAGCAAGCUCGUCUUGUUCUUCUCAUCAAGGGCAAACGCACCAAACGUCAGCGCUCUGCUUCUCCUCUUAUGACUGCAGUAUCCAGCGUUUGCAGCGGUGAGCGAUCGUCGCUGGUGGAGGCGAGAGAAGAAGAAGCUGCUGGUGAAGUCGAAUUCCAAGGAGCUACCGAUGAAGACGAAGACAUGGCGAACUGUCUGAUGCUAUUGUCGCAAGGACAUAAGGCUAAGAGCAGCGGCGAUCAUAAAUUGGGUUUCUUUAGCAACAAGAAACCGGUGGCUUCUCUAGGGUUAGGUCUAGACGGUGUUUACCAGUGCAAAACGUGCGAUAAAAGCUUCCAUUCGUUCCAAGCGCUAGGAGGGCACAGGGCUAGUCACAAGAAGCCCAAACUUGGAGCAAGCGUUGUUUUCAAAUGCGAAGAGAAGAAGACCGCAUCUGUGUCUGCGGUUGAAACGGUGGAAGCUGGAGCUGUAGGAAGCUUUCUUUCUCUACAAGUGACUAGCAGUGACGGUAACAAGAAACCGGAGAAAACACACGAAUGUUCGAUCUGCAAGGCCGAGUUCUCUUCAGGACAAGCCUUAGGAGGUCACAUGAGGAGACAUAGAGGCUUAACAGUAAACGCAAACGCAGCUUCAACAAUCAAAACAGUGAUAUCAUCAUCAAGUCAUCAUCAUGAAGAAUCCAUACGGCCAAAGACCUUUCUCCAAUUAGAUCUAAAUCUUCCAGCGCCAGAAGAUGAACGCUGCUGCGAGAAACCAAAAUUCACGUUUGCGUCCAAAGAUCAGAUUCUUCUCUUCGCGGCAGCGUCCAAUUCUUUGAUUGAUUGUCAUCACUAAUUAAGUAGUUCUCUGUAAUUACUUUUUAUGACCUUGAUAUAUUUUAAUCAUUAACCCUCUUCUUAUUAUGAUUAUUUUCGCUCUAUAUUCAUUCCUGUAAUUUGACAUUGAUUCAAUUAACUUCAAAUUAUUUCAUUCUUUGAAACUAUAUAUGUAUUCAUUAUUGCUCCAUAUAUAUAAUUUAUAGCACAUUUCUAAGAAUCAUCGAUCGAGGUAUUAUAUAAAAUGUAAUACUUAACUUUGGGAGAAUGAUUAAAAGGAUUCUGAUGAGGAUGUUCCUUGGAGAACGGAAGAAGCAUGUGACGAUGACUUUCGCAUAAAGUCACUUCGUUUGUUAGCCGCCACUAGCUCCUUUCGAUACACUUCACUUCCGUUUGGGGUUGUUCUCUUUUUCAAGAUUCUUUUAUAGAUAGAAUAAUACAUAUAUCAUUUCAUUAAUUAGAUUAUAUAUAUAAAAAAGACUACAUCUGGAGAGCCCAAAGCUAGGUUGAUGUACAGUAGUAGAUGUAUCGAUCCCUAACUUCGACUACUAACUUUGAUGAUAGAGUCAAGACAUUCAUGUGAUGUAGCAGCUAACGAAUCUUCAUGAUCAUGCUAUUAUAUAUGUAGUACCAAUGGAAACUAACAGUAAACUUUGUUACAAACUCAGUGGUUUUGACUAUAUAUGAUAUAACAUGUUCUAUCAAUUAAAACUAAGCCUACUUACGCUACGUAACAUUUAUGGUAUAGUGGUAUCUCUAAAUUUAUCAUGUUGAUGUCUUUAUAUAUAGUCUAUGACUCGUCUGUGACUCAUCUAUGUUUCUCUUUUGUAGAUAUGAACACGAUAUUUGUAGAGAAAGUGCAACGUAUUACUAACAGAAGGAGUGAAUAUUCCUAACAGUUAGGUAGAAAAUAAAGGACGACGUUUGAAAACGAUCGAUACAAAAGUGUUGCAUGACAUUUGUGAUUAACGAUGUCUUCUACAAAUUGUUUCAUCUGUUUAAAGUAAUAGCACUAUACAUGUUUAGUAAAAUUAAUUCAGAAAAAAACGUCGGUGAGACAUUUUAAACUAAAUGUAGCUCUGUCCUUUUCGCAUUUUUUAAGUUUAUACAAUUACAAACUGUCUAAUUAACCACACUUGUAAUAAGACAAACAUAGAGACCAUCUAGUGCUAAUUGACGACGGUUUUUAAAGAUUACUUGAUAAAAUUAUCUUGUAAUAAAACCCUAUACGGCGUUUAUAUAUCAUUUAACGCAAUGAGGCGUGACAAAUUCAAUGUUGAAUUCGUAAGAAGAGUUAUAAAUGUAAUGUAUAUAUAGAUAGUGGAGUAUUAAAAAGAUCAAAUAAACAAAUUAGAUUUCAGAAAAUAAAGAAUAAAAAGUAUGUGGAUGAAUAUAGAAUGAACUCUUGACUUUGUUUGGAACCAUGCCACAUGUAACAGAGGCUCUGGCAUGAUUGGAUACUUUGCUGGAUUACGCUAGUGUACGUCGUCUAUACAGCGAAGCAACCGUUUUCACCCACUUACUGCUUGACAGCUCACCAUAAACUCCAUUAUCCUUUUCUUCUACUGUAGACCGACCGCACUUGAUCAUAUCAGACCUACCUUUUCCUUUUCCUCCCCCGAACUUUCUUAUAUGUCAUACAAUCACCCCAAAUUGUUUUACUUUCUCAAAAUAUGUCCAUUAUUCAGAUUUAGCAAACUUCCUUUUCACUCCUUAGGUAUAUAUAUAAAUGAUUCCGAUCAUGUUUCUUACUUAACUCGGUUGGUUAGUGACAAUAAGUCAUUUUUACAUUAAAUUUAAUUCUGAUUCCGGUGUAAACCGGUUAAGAACCUCUUAGCCAGAGAUAUUUACGAAGUUAUGGGGCUAAAUACAAAUAUUUAAAAUUUCAGGUACAAAGCUAUAAUUAAACAAAAAUAACAUCCACCGAAACAAUUUUGUAAGCAGAGCCAUCAACUUGUUUCUUCAGCGACAUUAGAAGCAUUCCAUUAGCUUUUUUAUUUUUGCUGUGUGUCUGCAGAAAAAAAUUCAAUCUUUCGUCGGAAAAUUAAAGCAGAGUUCGUUUUUAGCUUUUGCUGAGAAGCAAAGAGAUCAAUUAAUUAGUAUUUUUUUUUUUCUUUUUUUCUUCUAACAUCAACUGGUGAUGGCGGUUGCGCCGGCAAGAGCUCGUUCAGACUAUGAUUACCUCAUCAAGCUUCUUCUCAUCGGCGACAGCGGUAAGCUUCUUUCUCCGUUUCUGUGUUCUCGAAUUUGCAAUUGAAUAAUCUCUCAACUGUUUGAUUUUUUUUUUUCUUCUGAAAUUAUUUUUUUGUGUGUCUGCGAUCUUAAUUAGGGUUUUAUGAUUUUGAUUUGUUUAUGCUAGUAUUAUUAUUACUAAGUAUAAUUGACUCUUUAAGAACUUGUGGAACCCGUUGACAAAAUUAGUUCUUUUUUGAGUUGAAUUGUUUGUUUGAGCUUUAUUUGUAUUUGGUGUGUUCAGGUGUGGGGAAGAGUUGCUUGUUACUGCGUUUCUCUGAUGAUACUUUCACUACAAGUUUCAUUACUACCAUUGGGUAUGUCUUCUUCUUACUUAAAAGAUUGCCUUUUUCGUUGUCUAAGUUUGUGUAUUUACUACUUUAUCUUUUUUUCUUUUACAGGAUUGACUUCAAGAUAAGAACUGUUGAGCUUGAUGGGAAGCGUAUCAAAUUGCAGAUAUGGGACACUGCUGGUCAAGAACGUUUUAGAACUAUUACUACAGGUAACCAGACGGAUUUAGAGUUGUUGUUACCAAGUGAACGGAUCUUUAGAUUCAUAGGUUGAUUGAUUCUUGAGUUUUGUGUUGAUGAUAACUCUUGAGUAUUUCCAUACUUUCAUUAAGUAAAAGACAGUCCAUUUGUUUCUGCACUUUCCCUAAAGCGUUUUGGUCCACUUUUGUCACUUGCAGCUUAUUACAGGGGAGCUAUGGGUAUAUUGCUUGUCUACGAUGUAACGGAUGAAUCUUCUUUCAACAGUAUGUCUUGUUACUAUUUUAUCUUUAUAUAGUCAGUUUUGCAAUGAUAUAAAGAUACGAUUGUUUCAACUGAGGAAAUGGGAAUGUGAGACUUGUGGCAACUGAAUACGAUUGUUUCAACUUUCAACAGAUAUUAGGAACUGGAUGAAGAACAUCGAGCAACAUGCCUCAGAUAACGUCAACAAAAUAUUGGUCGGUAACAAAGCUGAUAUGGAUGAAAGCAAAAGGGUAAGUAAUCUUCAGUUGCGUACUUACUUUCAUGACUUAUAGUUUUUACUUUUUAGUAUGCUGAUGUGUGAUCUUCUUUUUCAGGCUGUUCCAACAGCAAAGGGCCAAGCUUUGGCUGAUGAGUAUGGAAUCAAAUUCUUUGAGACGGUGAGCUUGAAAAAAAACACAACAUGUCUGCUGUUUUUCAUUAAUAUCUUCUUGAGAUUACUGAUGUGAUUGCAAUUGUUGCAGAGUGCAAAAACAAACCUCAAUGUCGAAAAUGUUUUCCUUUCAAUCGCGAAAGACAUAAAACAAAGGUUGACAGAAACCGAUACAAAGGCAGAGGUAAGAACUACAGGAAUCUACUCAACUACUCAUUCAUCAUACUCUAAUACCUACUCAAUGUACUGUUCUUGUUGCUUUGCAGCCACAAGGCAUCAAGAUCACUAAACAAGAUACUGCUUCCUCUUCUUCUACAACUGAGAAGUCAGCUUGCUGUAGUUACGUUUAGGAGUAUGAUCGCUCUUUUUCGCCUGCACUGGUCUUUACUGUCUUGCCAUCUUUUUCAUCUCUUACGUCUCAAAUCAGAGAUAAUUCUCAUGUUGUUACCUAGAACGAGUAGGAAAAUCUCAUUGAUGGCUGUGAUCUUUAUGUCUAAUUUGUUAUCUCCAUAAUUCCUGUACAAUGAUCUUCCUGAUAUGGAAGACUGUGUUGGUAAAAAAACUAUGUUAAAGACUUUGAAUUUAUGAAAAAUGAAACUGUUGUAGUGUGUAUAACUCUGAAUUCACAGUUCAAAUCAGGAUUUAUGGUGUUCACUUUGAAUGCUGUUCUCUACUCAAAACCCCAUAGCCUGAGCCAAAAUAAACUCGGAUUUACAAAUAAAACAUUGGAUGGGGUUUUAUUCUAUUAUGAUAUUAUUACAAAUCUCAUUUCAGAAGCAAAAGAAGAACACAAGUAAUCCCACAAAUUUACAUUGAAGCUACAUUAUGUUCUACACACAAAAGAGGCAACUGCAGAGAAAAGAAUCAGAUUCAGUUUUGGGAUACACAACAGAACGAUUAAGUUUUUAUAUGCAACAUCGACUUGUCUCACUAGCUGCAACAGCCAGCUUGAGGUCUGGUCUGGUGUUCAGGUUUCUGCUUCAAGAUGUUUCUUUUCACAGCACUUGAUCCUUCUUCCAAUAGACUAGGUACAUCCAUUAUCUGUUUCAUCACAAUCACACGACCAUUCAUUCUAUAUAUGUUAUACAUAAAACCCUCUUUCCGAAUUGUUGUUUUUAACAGAUUAAGGAUCUUACCUUCAACGCCAGCUCUUCAAAACACUGCUCCACGUUUUGACGAGUUCUAGCACUACACUCAAGAAACAUGCAGUUGAGUUCUUUUGCUAGAGCAAUUCCUUCUUCUCUGCUUACUCCUCUCUCAGAUUCCUGUAAUCAUAUUUUUCAUCAAGAAAAUUAUCAAACGACCAAACAGUGUUUCGAUAACAAGUGUGAUUUCGACUGCAACUCACUCUAUCGACUUUGUUCCCAACAAGCAUCCGAACACAUUCUUGGUUAGUGGAGUAAAGCUCAAUCUCCUUACCCCACACAUCUACUAAAUUUGUAAAUGUCUCCCUUCUGGUCACAUCAUAAACUGCAUUCACCAAGAAACAUUAACUAAACAGUUAACAGACAGAGAGAUCUCUUAGUCUCCUCUGAUUCUGAUUAAAUGACUGAUGAUGGUCAUUACCGAGAAUAAUUCCUUGUGCGCCUCUGUAAUAAGAGCUCGUCAGUGUUCUAAACCGCUCCUGUCCAGCUACAACGGGAAAAACCAAGAAUAUUAGCAGGACCAAUACUUUUCUUAAGAGGAUAAAACUUCUAUAAUCUCACUAUAGAAUCAAAUCACCUGUGUCCCAUAUUGUGAGUUUCAGUCUUUUGCCUCCUACUGUCAAUUGUUUGAUCUUGAAAUCAACACCUGUGAGUAAUAAUAAUUGGGCUGAAUCAAACAAUAUAAUACAGACAAAACAGAUUUCCUUAAACCAAACCAAGAAAAGACUGCUAGAAUAACAGACAUAAAAGUAUCUAAUUGUCUUACUACAAAGUGAAUCAUCAAGAAAGUAAGAUUGUUUCAGUGGCAAUUCGAUCAAAGAUAUGCAUGAUCAUUAUAAAGAUCACUUCAAACAAGAAUUAAACAGAUGGUCAUCAAAGUCAAGCACUUGCAUUUUUUGAAAACUACUAUUUGAUCAACAACUAGAGCAUCAAAAGAGAUGUGACAUAGCUUCAUCCUCAAUUCUAGCUCUCAAGACAUAUAAAUCUGAGACCUUUUCCCUGCAGUUCAAAGAGAAACAUAUUUACCAAUAGUAGGAGCAAGAUCUUCAACGGAGCUGGAAAUGAAGCUCACAAGCAAACUGCUUUUACCAACACCAGAGUCACCAAUCAACAAGAUCUUAAACGACAGAUCGUAUCCACUUAGCCCAGAAGAAGAUCCCAUUUUCUAAAACCCAGAUUUGCUUAAUCUCUUCCCCCUCAACUGUUUUUGUCGAUCUGUAAUUCUAGAAGAGCAAAUGAAAUCCUACUUAAACACCACCAACUACUAUAAAGAAGCAAACUUUUAGGAAAUAAAAAUGAAUCUAUUAAGCUCUGUAAUGAUGAUAAUGAUAAUGAUGAUGAUGCUUCCUCGUUGAUAAUUACAUCUAUCUGCACAUUGCUUUCUAUACUUUAUAAGUAGCAAUCUAAAGAAGAAAAAAGGGAGAACUUUUUUAAUUUUCCUGUGUAUGGAUGUUAAGAUUAAAAUAAGAAAAGAAAUGUGAUGAAGAAAUUGGAAGAUUAUAUUCUUUACCGAGAAAGAGAGGAGAAAGAAACAGGUUUGUCUGAUUAUUAUUUUUUUCUUUUUGUUAAAAAGUAUAUGAGAUUUAUGGAAGAAGACAAGACACAGCAGACCUGAGAUAGUAACGUUUGUUCUUUGCUUUGUCUCCAACACUUUACUUCACUAAAACGUCUCUGUUUGGUUCCAAGUUAUUUACUUCCAGCUUUCUUUUGUCGACGAGUCUGUAGCGUUUUGAAAAUCGCGUUUGAUUUAUGGUAGCCAGUCAACAAACCAUUGUGAUUUAGGUAAAACGUUUUGGUGGAGCAGCAAAACGGUUGUUUUUGGCGGUUUGUAAAAGGUUCAAGUAGACGUUUUACUAAAAUAUCAGUUUUAAUUAUUUUUCUCAAUUACAAUAACUAAAAAUUUAUAGUCACCCCAAUUAUUUUGUAAAAGCACUUUUAGUAAGGCAUCAUUUCAGAAGUACUGUUAAGGUCAACUUUUAUCUUUGUUAACCACAAAUACUAAUUCGUUUUUGAAAUUGAUUAACGAAUUAAAAUAGUGAUAAUGGUUAUGGAGUCGGCCAUUAAUGGAUAGUGGGAGCCAAAACAUGGCCUUUCGUCUGCUGUCAGCCGAGCCCCCUGCAAAACCCCACGUCUGGCCUGUGCAAAGUUUACACGCGUAGUCAAGGUCUCCGAUCGUGACGUCACUUAACGAUGCUCCUUUUUUGUCGUCACUCGUCACACACAAAAGGAUCCAACACUUCUUUGCUUUGGAAAGCUUAUUUGCUGCUAAAUUAGUUACAUUCACGAAGCUUAACAAAAUUCAUAGUAACAAAAUUGAGAUAUAAAGUGUCUAUAUGUUCGGUGUUAUUUCAACUUAUAGGAGGAUAGGACUCUUUUGUCGAAAUCGACCCACCAAAGGGCCAGCCAAGUUGAGUAAAGUAUAAAGAUCAUCUAGACAUGAGACAUCUAACACACCUUAGUCUACCACAACACAGCCAUCAUCAUAUGUCAAAUCUUUUUUCUUUUUUUUGGUUCAACAAAUAAUGUCAAACCUUUAUACAUUUUUUUUUUUUAUAAUGUCAGACCUUUACGAAAAUAAAUAAAUAAAGUAGUUUGUGGCUAAAAGCCAGUUUUGUGGCGAACUCAAAAAAAUGGGCAUCAGUGUUUAAUGGGCUGUUGUGUAUUUGGGCCAUAGCAUUUUUAUUUGGUGGGUCAGAUUUCCUUUAUUAGAUAUGUCAACACUGCUAUAAAUUAAUGUUGUUGUCCAGUACAUGUAACCAAAAUAUAGACUUUCUGAAGAAACAAUUUACACGAGAGAAUUAUAUUAUGGUUAACAUAUCUGACUAUAUUAAAUUGAAACUUACAUUAUUUGGUUUAAUGGAAAUACAAAUUCAUUGAAAUUUACUUUUUUUUUUUUUUUUUUUUUUUUUUUGUCAUCAAAGGGCCUACGAUUGACUCAAACGAGCCAGAUUGAAAUUUACUUCUAUAAUUAUUGUUUUAAGUAUAUAAAACAGAGGUCAAAAAAUUUAAGCGAAUGUUCAAAGUUUUGGUUUAAGUAACGGAGAAAUUAGAAAGCGUCGUCGUAGCUGGAUUUGUACCGGCUCGGCUCUGCUCUGUCACCACCAAAUCAAACCGAGUCGUAACUUCGUCGUCUCUUUUUCUUCUCUUCAACUUCCAUUAUCGAAGGCGACGAGUAAAGAUAUUUUCCAGUGUUUUGGAUUUUGCCAUGGCUGUAGAUAGCAGAGUCGAUCUGCUCAGCGAGAGAGCUGUGUUGAUGAGAGAAUCUCUUCAGAAGAGUCAAACCAUCACCGACAAUGUUGUUUCUAUCCUCGGCUCUUUCGAUAGUCGUCUCUCUGCUCUUGAAACUGCCAUGCGUCCUACUCAGGUAUGUGUGGAGAGCUCCAUCUUAUUUGAUUGUUCAGAUCUGGAAACUAGUUAUCUCUAUGGAGUUUUGUUGACUUGAUCGGAUUUUGGUUUGACUCUGUUGUUUUGAAAUCUCAGAUUAGAACGCAUGCUAUAAGGAAAGCUCAUGAGAAUAUUGAUAGGACUCUUAAGGCUGCUGAGGUUAUUUUGUCUCAAUUCGAUCUCCUCCGUCAGGUUUGUUUUAGAAAUCUUGAUUCCCUCCAUUUAUGUGAGAUUUCAUUCAUUCAUUGUAUUCAGAUCGAUCGGUAUAAAUAGAUAUUUCUCGAGCAGAGGUUGCAUCGUUAUGUUAUUUCACCAAUUUUGUAGUCUCACUCCCACCACUUCUGUUAGCAUAUGUUAGAUUUACUAUUUUUAGCCAUCCUUGGCUCAGUUCUUGUCAUUGCUGGGCAAGGAUAUGACUCGAAACGAUACCUUUCAUUCUACCUCACUCUUUUCAGCUACCCAUUUGGUGGGAUUACUAGUCUUAUAUCUUCUAUAUUUAGCGAGUAUAACUUCAAAGUGAAUUAGGAUGCUGAUCUUUUGCCGAGGAAUGCAUUUUUUGUCUGUUUCUUUGGUUGUAAUUUCUAGUUUGCUGUUUCUGAGUUACUUCUUUUUGUAACAAAAGCCCAAUCACUAAUUAUGCUCUCAAUUCAUUUCUAGGCAGAGACUAAAGUACUUAAGGGGCCACAUGAGGACCUGGAGAGUUAUCUGGAUGCAAUAGCUCAACUCAGAAAAAUUAUUCGUUAUUUCAUGAGCAACAAAAGCUUUAAGAGUAGCGAUGGAGUCCUCAACCAUGCAAAUAGCUUGCUUGCUAAAGCACAGUCAAAGCUGGAGGAGGAGUUUAAACAGUUGCUAGCUUCUUACAGGUUCGUGCUUCUGUGUCUAAUAAGAGUUUCUGAACACAUCCUCAGGAAAAUUUAUGCUAUUGUGCAUGUUAUAACCAUGAAUCCUACCCUUUAACUACAUGGAACAUAACUAACUGUCGAUUUUAGCUACUUUUUCAAGCUAUAUAUUUUAGUAACUAGUUUUCGCUUCUAUGAGGGUCUUACUUCUUUACCUCCCUUGCAAAUAACCAUGAACAGUUUUAGCAUGGGCAAACGGCAAUAUCUUAGAAUGGCAUUUUUUCUGAAUUUAUUGAAGUUGUCACUCGGCGAAUAUUUUUUUUAUUGAAACAAGUGCCCUAUGGUAUGAGUGUUCCAGACAACUGGUUUUAAAUGGAAGAAUGGUGAAGCCAUCUCUUAUUAGGCUAAUCAUAACCUUUUCCCGUCUAAAUUAAGACUCCUUUUCAAAUCAUUUUGUCCUCAUUAUCCUAUUCGAUUUGUCUUUGUUAUAAUCAGUAAAGCUGUGGAGCCUGAUCGCCUUUUUGAUGGCCUUCCCAACUCACUGAGACCAUCCUCAGACGGCGAUGGAGGUGGAAAACCACACGGAGGACAUCACAACGAUGAAUCAGAAACUGCUUCUUAUACACUUCCAAUCCUCAUUCCAUCAAGGGUUUUGCCACUUUUGCAUGAUUUGGCACAGCAAAUGGUUCAGGCUGGUCACCAACAACAGUUGAAACAAAUUUAUAGGUGAACUUUUUGAUUCUUGGUCAUUCAUCCUGUAUGUUUUUUCUCAAAACAUGCUCUUAGAUUAAAUUUUAACUCAUAAUUCUAACAUGAGUUCUGUUUCUCUGUCAAAGUAUAUUUGCUUUAAACAUAUAUGAGUAGUACAAUUAUUUUACCUAUAAUACUCACCAUGGUUUCUGCUAGUUGUGAGUUUAUAUUUGACUAUUCCUGUGCUGUUUCACUAUUUAAGCUAGAGAGAAAUGUUUUUAAUAUUAUGGAUAUUCGUGGGUUUUCUGCUUGGUUUGAUCAGAAUCAAACUGUUUGAUGUGCACAUUGCAUUUCGCUGUUUUUGCUUACCUAAUCUGAAAAAAUAAAUUGCUCGAUGCAAUUUUGGUGGUCUCAUACAGGUAAUGCAUUGGAACAGUUUAGUCUUUUUUCUUCCAUUUGAACUAUGUGAUACUGCAGCUACUACUAUUGCCAUAUUUAAGCAGUGAAUUGUGUAAUACUACUAUUCUCAAAUUUGCGGUGAAUUGCAUAAUCUAGUGGCAUUUCCCAAUACAUAUAUAAGAUGCAUUUGUAUAUUUUGAGUUUGUUUUUAAUCUCCUUCGGUUUAAUCUUUUGUGUUUUGUUCAGCGAAACACGUUCUUUUGUCUUGGAUGAAAGCCUAAAGAAAUUGGGCGUUGAAAAACUUAGUAAAGAGGAUGUUCAGAGGAUGCAGUGGGAAGUAUUGGAGGCCAAAAUUGGAAAUUGGAUCCAUUUCAUGCGCAUUGCUGUAAGAAUGCUAGUUAAGGUUUGAUAUAUAUUUAAUAUGUUAUGUUGACCCUUAACUCGAGAUAAUUUUUUCAUCAGGUUAAAUUACUCUUCGCUGGAGAAAGGCAAGUAUGUGACCAGAUAUUUCGAGGCUUCGAUUCUCUUAGCGAUCAGUGUUUUGCAGAAGUUACAGUGAGCAGUGUCUCAAUGCUACUUAGCUUUGGGGAUGCUAUAGCUAGGAGCAAGAGAUCUCCAGAAAAGUUGUUUGUGCUCUUAGACAUGUAUGAGAUCAUGCGGGAGCUUCAUACAGAGGUAAUAUUUUCUCUUUCUUCCAAAGCGAAGUUUCUGUGAAUUAGAUGGGUUUUAAUAAUUGAUUACAUGUAUUUUCCUGCUAACAUCCCCACCAUAAUAAACAGCAUGGCACACACAGAAAAAACUUUGUGAUACAAAUGUGGUUGAAGUUUGCUAGCUAGGACUAGAUAAAGUGUGAAUUAAUUGAUGACCAGUUAGUUUUUGUGCUAUGUUGUGUGGAUAGCAUUAGCUGAUACAACAAUCUCCUGAAAUUUGUGUCCAUGGACAGAUUGAGACAAUUUUCAAAGGUAAAGCAUGCCUUGAAAUUAGAGAUUCUGCUACGGGCUUGACAAAGAGGUUAGCGCAGACUGCUCAGGAAACAUUUGGUGAUUUCGAAGAAGCUGUUGAGAAAGAUGCUACAAAGACUGCUGUUCUAGAUGGAACUGUCCACCCACUAACAAGCUAUGUCAUCAAUUAUGUGAAGUUCUUAUUUGAGUAAGUUCCGCAUAUGUAGAUUUGAUUAGGACAAGCCCAGUUAAUUUCUUUGAAUCUCUUUGCGUCCUGCUAUAUGCAUAUUGUCUCUUUCCACGCUUUAACUGAUGAUCUUUGGUGUCAGCUACCAAACAACAUUGAAGCAACUUUUCUUGGAAUUUGGAAAUGGAGAUGACUCAAAUUCGCAGCUAGCAUCCGUAACAAUGAGGAUAAUGCAGGCACUUCAAAACAACUUGGACGGAAAAUCAAAACAGUACAAAGAUCCUGCACUGACACACUUGUUCCUGAUGAACAACAUUCAUUACAUGGUCAGAUCUGUGCGAAGGUAUGUUUAGUUUUACAUUUUGAAAGACUGAUCUGGACUUAAUUAAAAAGGAAACCGACUCUCGAUUGAUGUAGUUGGCUUUAUUUGUAUCAUAACUUUUCAGGUCAGAAGCCAAGGAUUUGUUAGGCGAUGAUUGGGUUCAAAGACAUAGGCGUAUCGUCCAGCAACAUGCAAAUCAAUACAAAAGGAUUGCGUGGACAAAGGUACUUAGUAUUUGUCAAACUCCUAUAAGUAGAUCCUGUUAUAUUAAAAUAUUUUUUAUAUUGUUAUCAAGAAACUGUUAUAUAUAUCAUGUAGAUAUUACAAUCCUCAUCGGCGCAAGGUUUAACAUCAUCUGGGGGAGGAAGUUUAGAGGGAGGAAACAGCAGUGGAGUUUCAAGAGGAUUAUUAAAAGAGAGGCAAGGCUUACACAGCUAAAAAUACAGUAAUUGUGAAAUGUUUAUAUAUCUGGUAAUGAUGAAUGAUUUAACUUUUAAAAAAUGGAACAGGUUCAAGAUGUUUAAUAUGCAGUUUGAUGAGUUGCACCAGAGACAAUCUCAAUGGACAGUUCCAGACACGGAGUUAAGAGAGUCAUUAAGACUUGCUGUGGCUGAAGUAUUAUUGCCUGCUUACAGAUCCUUCCUCAAACGUUUUGGGUAAAAAUUCUCCUUUUUCUCUCUCUCUUUUAUCUACAAAAGCAUCUUUGAACAUAUUUGAUCGAAAUGUAGAGAACCCCUAACUAGAUUUAAAUGGAUGAUCGGUGUAGGCCUUUGGUUGAGAGUGGGAAGAAUCCUAAUAAAUACAUAAAGUAUACAGCUGAAGAUCUUGAAAGACUGUUGGGUGAGUUGUUUGAAGGAAAGUCUACGAGUGAACCACGCCGGUAAAAAAAAAACAAACAACAACAAAAAGAUUAUGAAAAACUUAUCAGUGUAAGGUAAAUUUCUACCAAAUCUUACCUUUCAAUAAUUAGGUUUGUUGCCAUUUGUAUAUGGAGUGUUCAAUUUUCGUUUUUGUAUUCUUACUAUUCUUUGGUCAUGGAAUGUGAAAAUGUUCUUUUCAGUAACUCAUACGUUUGUAAAUUACUUGGAGACGAUUUAUUUCAUUUUGUUUACUUUUUUUAAAAGAAAAGACGCAGUGAAGUAGCUAACUAAUAAUAAUAACAAUAAUAGAAAGUAGCCAACUAAUUAGUAAUAAUUAAGCUAAACAGUUCUAUUAUUAUUAGUAAGCUAGGCAUGGGGACAACAAAUUUUCAUUCGGACCAGUUCCGUUAUUUUCUUUCUUUGUGGGAAUUUAGGCGAUUAAACCAGGUUGUCUAAUGGUUUCUAAUCGCAAUCUUGUGUUGAUAUUGGCACAAUCAGUCUAAUUUAAUCAACUUAACAACUAAUUAAUUAAUCAGCUCCACCACACUCCACACCUUAUAAAUUACCUAACUUUCAUAUUCAAUUAAUCGGUCAAGAACAUAAACAAAUCACCUGAUUCCUUUUCGUUGAUAUGAACUUAUGAUGUUGCAGAUUGCAGAGUAGCCGUGAUCAAUUAAACAUUUAAUUAUAUAUGUGAUUGGUUAUAUAUAUAAUUCUUUUCCUGUUAAGCCCUAAAAAGAACUUAGAAAAGAAAAAAAUACAAAAAGUUGGCGGUAAACAGUGAUAAGGCGAUAAGCAAGUAGUUCAAGAAAAUUUUGUUUGGAUCAUCAAUCAUACCAAUAAAUAAUCUAAUAAUAGUACAAGAAGUAAUGCAAAACAACCCCCAAGCCAACCAUAAGAAACCGACCAAAACCUCGUCAUUGAACCGGGACAAGACAAAAUAGAGCUCUACCGACGCACAUAUUACUUAAAUCGCAAAAAAAGUGAGGAAAGAAAUGAAACUUAUUAGUAAAGUAAAAAAGGAGAGUGAUGAGAUGGUUUCAAACACACAUGUUUGGUAAUGGCAUAUUCCUUUUGGAAGAUCCAAAUUCUCCCAACAUCUUUACAUGGACUUCCCCAUUUCCAUCAUCUCCUCCCACCUUUUUUCCCAAAGUAAUAUUAAAGUUUAUUAUUUGAUUUCUUUCAAUGUCAUCUUUACACCAAUGAGAAAUCUUACUUUUAUUCCCCUUUACACCAAUACUAUACCUAUUUUUCUUUUAUUCUUUUUAUUUAUAGUCAUUUACAAUAACUCACAGAACCCAAUUCUUUCAAUAUAUUGUAUGUAGUUUAUACAUACAAGUAUAUUGAAACAUAGUUUUUAUAUUAUAUAUACAAUAAAUAAUAUGCAAAAUACAUGUUAUAUUUGUAUUCACUUUUGGGUACAGUUUAGAAAAGCACAAAAUAAUCUAUCAUCAACUGACACGGGAUACAGUGGUUACACUGAGUUGAUUAAUUAUUAUACGGAAAAAGUAUUUUUAAUUAAAGGAAAAGUGGAAAGAACACUAUAGCUUAUGCAUUGAGUGUUUUCAACCUCUCGUUUAAUUUGUCUCCAUGACCAAAGACAAAGGAGAGAAGCCAUAAAAACCCUAACAACAUCUAUUGUUGAAACUCCCUUUGGCACAACACCACACACAAAAAGAGAUGGCCAUCCCCUAAAGAAAAGUGAAGCUGAAGAACCCUCAAAUGAUCAAUCAGAAGAUCUCACCAACAAAGGGUUUUGAGAGGUUCAAGUUUCUCUUUAGGGGAUGGCACCAAAACACAAAGAGUACUCACAAAAGGUAAGAAGAAGGUGUCUCUUGGAGAUUAUGACCAUAAAAUUGUGUUUAAUUAUUUUUGUGGGUGUUGUCUGAAUGAUCCUCGUCACUAUAUUAUCAUUAUCAACAUGGUGAUGGUGAUGAGGAGGAUUGUGUGUGAAUGAAUGGAGCGAUGAAGAUUGCAUGAAGGUUGAUGAAGACAAGCUUGAUGUGUCUUUUGUUAUCCCUCGUUUGGGCAACUUCGAUCCUUUGGCAAGCUUCGGUUCCCCUCGGAAUCAGCAGAUUAUUAUCUUACUAGCUACCUCUCUUUUUGUCUAUGUUCUUUGUUUCCGGUUUAAUUUUGGUUUAUUGUCUUUUCAUGUUUCUGUUGAAUGUGUGUGUGUGUGUGUGUUGGUAUCCCGUGUGAUUCACCGUUCAGGUAUGUUCCUAUCUGUGUGUGAGGAAUAAAAGAAUAUUCGGUUUUUUAUAUCUAAGACCAAACACCACUUCUAUCUUUCUUUAACAGUGUCUUCAAACAAUUUUUUUCUUUUUCUGUAUACCUUUAGCAAAAAAUACUUUUAAAGGUGGCCCAUUCUUAGCCCAUUAACAGUCCAAUUCUAGCCAAUUAAAAUCGGGUAAAUUAAAAAAUACAUUAUACGGAGCCAAGAGAGCCCUAAUCAUAUUA